This 113992-nucleotide long non-coding RNA is filed under the name Citrus sinensis (sweet orange). Its description in RNAcentral is "long non-coding RNA (CSIN_LNC000102)". Lineage: Eukaryota; Viridiplantae; Streptophyta; Magnoliopsida; Sapindales; Rutaceae. The record is from RNAcentral.
AACUCUCAACUUAAGGGUGUGUGGGGAAGAGGGAAACGAGUAAGACCCAAGAGCCCCAAUAAACUCACGGGUCCAAGAUGGGGUCUUGGCUGAGAAAUCAUCAGUGGUGAGUUUAGCAAAAGGGUUGACGGUGAGAAGAGAGAUAAAGGUGUAUAAAUAAUGUAGAAGGCUGUGAGUUAUGGUCGUGGCUGUGGCUGUUUCUUUGGCGGAGGCUGUUGUGACGGCGGCGGCCGACGUGGUGGUGGCGGUGUCGAGGAUUUCGAGGUAGCCUGAGUCACGAAGCCAUGACUCGAAUGCUGGGUCGGGUACGUUUAGAGAUAACGGGUUGGAUGCGAAUACCUUCCCCAUUACAAAAAAGCUAUCCGAUUUCGGUUGAAUGAGAGUAAAUAAAUGUCAUUAAUUUAAAAUGCUUAAGGAUUUUUAGUAUUUUAAAGACCGUACAAAAUAUAACUUAAUUUUUUUAAAUUUAAUAGAUGAGUGUGUAGAAUAAUAGAAUAUUUAAAGUAAUUAUUAGGUGAUGUUUGGUUGGAAACAGAGAAUGAGAAUAGGAAAAUAAUUUAAAUUCUACUUUUAUUUUUAUUGUUUGAUUGUACAAAAUAUAUAAGAAUUUAAUUUUUAUUAAAAUUUAAUAUCCUUUAUAAUGUAGAAUUUAAAUUCCAUACCAAAGAGUGAAGAAUUCAAAUUUCUCUUAUGGUAAAAACCCAAGCUUCUAAAUUUACCCUCCAAUAUUUUAACUUAUUUAAUGCUAUUAAUAAUUAUUAUUUAUGAUUUUAUUUUAUUAAUUUAAUUUUAUAAAUAAUUUUAUAUUAAUUAAAUUUAAUGAAUGAUUUAAGAAAUUUAAUAAAAUAAAUAAACUUAUUUAUUUUAUUUAAUAUGAAAAUAUAUAAAUAUAAAUUAACUUCAUCGGACCGUCGCCGGACCCUUUGACAUCGCCGGAAGCCGCUGAAAUUCCGUCGGAAAGUCACCGGCCACCGCUGAUCGGUGUUAACUUUUGUUGACCGAUGUUGACUUAUAUUGACCGCUACUGUUGACCGGCUUUUAUUUAAAUUAAAUUAUAUUAAAUAGUUAGUAUAUUAAAUUAUUUUAUAUUUUAUAUUAAAUAUAAAUCAUGAAUUGUUUUAGAACUUUUUGAAAUUAAAACGAUUUAGUAUUAAUAUCAAAUUAUAUUUUAUUACUAAUAUAGAUAAUUUAAUAUUUAAGAUAGAUAAUAAAUUUAUUCAAAGAAAAAAAUUAUAAUUUUUUUUCUUAUCAAAUUUUAUAUCAAACUAAAUAAUGAAAUUUAAUUUCACUAUUCUCAUCGACUCAUUUCUCUUCCAUUCCACUCUUUUAUUCUCCUCCCAUUUCUUAAAACCAAACACCACCUUAGAGCUUGUAAUGCUUUGGCUGAUUCAUUAGCUAAAUUAGCUUUAAGUUUUGAAAGACCUGCUCUGUGGCUGGAAAAUUUUCCAUGACAAUGUUUUGCUGUUGUUUUCAAUGUCAGUUUGGAAAGCUUUACUUUCCCUUAAAAAAAAAAAAAAAAAAACACCACCUUAGAGGAUAAAUAGGCAUAUCCAAUACUUUAACUUAUGGUUGGUUGUUUUUUUCACUGAUUUUUUUUUUUAUUUGAAUUGAAUUAAUUACUAGUUGUGACUCGAGCUCAAGAGAGUCGAAGAGAGAGAAAAAGAAAAAUGGAGUGCUUCUCUUGUCCCUUUUAAGUGAAUAUAUUUAGGUUGGGUACCAAAGGCCAGUUUAAUCUUUUAUACUGCAUGGCAGCUUUUUACUCAAAUAUCAAAUGAGCUUGCUCUUCACGUGACGCUAAUUUUACCAAACUUUAUUUUUUUUCCUUGAUUAGCUCGUGUAGGACAGUUGAGGUGGCAACUUCUUAUUUAUUAUUCUUAUACCACAUGUCAGCUUUCAACUAGUCCAUAAAUAUCCUUCAAAAUUUACCUCCAAACAAAUCUAAUAACCUCUUGAAAACGAAAAAUUAAAAAUUUAUUCAAUCAUUCAAUGUUAAGGAUAUUGGCCAAGUAAUGGAAUGCUAACAAACCAAAUUAAAUUUCUACACUUACUCUUUUUCUUUGGCCUACACCAAAUUUCAUCACUUAAUUUUCCUUUAAUUAAAUAAAACAAAUACAUUAUAACUGCUUACUAUUUACAUCUGAAUAGAGCAAUGAAGACUGGUUAUUAAAGAUCGGUUGUUAAAUGGAUAUGGAUGAAAAUGGUGUUAAAAGACUGGUUAUGAAAAAUCUUUUAACAUAAAUCUUGCGUUUAAGAAACUUUUAGUUCACAACCAUGGCAUAUGGUAGCAAUGAAAAAGGCUCUUGCAGGAUAUAUUCAAGCAAAUUGGUUUGGGUAACGACAAACAAAAAAGCCUUGCAAGUGAUAAAGUUCCUCCUUUGCCCACUCAAAUGCAUUACAUAAUGUCGCAGUACAUUUUAUUUAUGCAAAUACGUAUAUACAUGCAUAUCUUGAUAACUAUUUUAACAUGUGAUCUAAUAUAAAACAUAAUUUCGCUCUGAAUAUUUUUAUAAUUGAUUUGUUAUAAAUUUGAACGAGGGAUUGCAGUUAUACCUUCUUGAAUUUUAUAGAUGUUUUCAUGCAUGCUCUACGAAAAAAUAUUUGAUGUCGUGUCAAUGCUCACUGCAAAAUAUAUCUUAGGUGCUCGCACAUAUACCGUAGGCUAUAGCUAUACAAAAACUUAUACUUUGCUUUCUCGAAUGCACACACUUGCACGCAAAAUUCUAUUAUUGAAAGUCGCUGCUUACUAUACACGGCUUUUUUCUAGCCUUUUAUUAGACGUGGUUUCAAUUUAUUGAACCAUUAGAGGGACACAUCAGUAGUCACAAAAAAGCCCCUCUAAAUGGCAAUUCUUGUAAUCAUUUCGCUGCCGCUCUUCAUUCCAGUCCCAAGUACACGGCCCAAACUUCAACUUUCUCCGGGAAGGCAAUGAAGCGUGGCUCAGUCUCAGUAAUAUGUCCCUCAUAUUCCAUUGAAUGAGCCAAAGGAGGAAUACUUCGAUAGUUAGUAGCAACUAGCAAUCAUAUUGAAGGAAUUUUCUGUAUCAGAUAAAGAAAGAGCAGCAGAGAACAAAGCUGUUAAUCAAUCAACAAAUGUAAAGCAGUAUUAGUAUUUCUGCCUUAUUGUAGUGCCUAAGCGGGUAUUAGGAUUUCUCCACAAGAACGUUUACUAAGAUAUUCAGCCAAGUGUGAAGUUCAUCAAUAAUCAAUCUUUUCUCGAAAUAAACGAAACAUAUUGAGUGCCAGACUUGCCCAGCCUCUGAAACAGGAUUUCAGAGCAAGCAACAGAACAAAAGACAGAAAACACAUUCAACUCAACCCAAACACUAGAAAGCAUCACAAAUAUUAUUUAUUUUUUGUACACAAUUAACGAACCGAGGCUGAAGCACAAAUCAAUGAACUCUCAACUGAAAAAUCCGAAACGAAACUUCUUAUUUAUGAAUAGACAGCGGAAACAAAGAAACCAAAAAAAAGUCCACCACCGUAGGAUCAGGAUUUAUUUGUGUAGACAGCAGAAGUGACGACGGAAAGGAUUCUGGUUGAAAUUGAAGCUCGCACUGCAGUCAUGAUGUUUUCUGCUCUGAUUUCACCUACACAAGUCAUUUAAGAAAUUGUGAAAAAUAAGAAAUUUAAAUUACAUUUUUUUUUCUUAACUACUAAAACAAAUGAACACCGAUGUCUGCUAGGUUCAUGGUUGAAUAUGGAAGAGUACAUAAGUCUCCACUGUUGCUAAAGAGGGCUUGAUGAUUGGGGUGAGCAUCGGAAACUCUAAAGGGUACUUAAUGUUGAGACAAAUUAGAAGAAAACACUUUGUAUAACCAUUUUUAUAUUGGAGAGAAGGGAAAAAAAGUACAUGAAAUUGGAUAAAUAAUUAAAAGUUGAAGAAAUUGGUUAAAACGAGAAACAUACAUCAAAUUCCGUAAGGAUAUAGUUGAAUGCCGCACUGUUCCUUAUCCUCAAAUUCCCGUAGCUUUUGUCUCAGCUCUGGCUGAGGCCACCAGCAAUCGAACUUGUUUAAGCUCUUUAUGUACCAGAGCUGUUCAGGCAUCUUUUUCAAGUAAGCACAAGGGUUGAUAAUCAAGCAUUCUAGUUUUGGCAUGGCUGCAUUCCCCAUAGUCCACUCCUCUAGCCAUAGCAUUGAUUUCAGGUGCAACACCUUGAGGUUCGGAAAACCAUAAGAGCCGCAAGUCAGCUUUCUACCUGAAUACGAGUUUUGCUUCAGUUUGAGCACUUGAAGAAGCGGCAGCUUUUCUAGUGUCGGCAUGGGAUCAUCCAUUAGGUCAGUAUUAGAAAAACUCAAGUGGGUUAGACUAUGAGGAAAUAGGUAUUCAGCAAGGACGAUUUUGGAGAGCCGUGGCAUCUUGCUUUCAUUCGCCAGCUUCAAUGACUCGAGACAGCUCAAUCUGCAGAGACUUUUGGACAACAAAGAUUGAUUAUAACUUAAAUCUCCCCGUAUUCGGAGAUUUCGAAGAUUAGGUAGUCUGCCCAAUAUAUCUUCAGUACAGCAGCAAGGAUGCAAGGCUGAAAUGAAAUUGAGAUUUUCCAGAGAGCCACAGAAUUUUCCUGGAUGCGCAGGAAGUGUGAUUGAGCCAAAAUUUAGAUGCCUGAGUUUGUUCAUCUUCCAAAAUUCAUCUGCUGUAUGAUCUAUAUAGCUAAAGGGCAUGUCUAGGGUGUAGAGGUUCAGAAGAUUGCUUAACAAUGAUGAAGGCAGGCUGUUGAGGGAAGGGAUAUUCAACUUCAAAUAUCUCAAAAGAAAUAAAUUUUCAAUUCCGGAUGGAUACUGGAUGAGAACAAGAGAUCCCAAGUCCAAUACUCUGAGAAGUUUGAACAUUCCACAAAAUUUCUCCCAAUCUAUAGGGUCAAGGUGGCGGGUUUCUGGAGAGCAGCACAACAAAGAAUGCAGUUGCGAGUCAUAAUCAUCUAAGCAAGCAAAAUCACCCUCUCUUUCAACAGCGUUUAACCGUUUGGCUUUUUUUGGUGAUUUACCUUUUGGAUCCAUGAAAGGGGAACAGAUGAAUUCCACCAUAUAAGGAACUGUGUGCAGCACGGGACGCCAACGACCAGGAAUAGAGCAUGUGUUGAUAGUGCCUCCGGCUUUUCUCUUCUUUGCUUCAACAAAGCCUUCCUUGAUAAGUUGUUCCAAGUAACUCUCAGCAGUUGCCUCACUAUUGUCUGGAAUGAAACCUUCAGCUAUCCACAACUGAUAUAACUGCCUGGUGGAUAUCUCUUGGUGUGCGGGAAACACAGAUAAGUAGAUAAAACAAGGUUUCAAGCAAAAAGGUAACAUUAAACAUUUGAUGUACCGAAGCCCAAGGGGUGUCUCCACUGCUUCCCGUAUAUUUUCUUCUAAUGAGAUGCUUCCAUGAUAUAAGAUGAGGAAAGGCCGUCCUUUAUAUGUAGCUCUCAAUGGUCCUCCAGUGGGCACUAAAUCAAGCCGCAUGUUCUCUCCGUCUUCGAACUGAAAUGAGAUGAUGAUCCUAAUGUCAGUGAGUGUUAUUAAUACUCUACUUCCAUUCUGAUUAUCCGGAAGUAUUUCUUGAAUAACAUCCCACAUAUCAAUGCUCCAUACAUCAUCAAUCACAAUCAAAUACCGCUUGGUCAUCAGAUAUUCAUGAAGAAUAAUUUUUUUCAUUUCAUAAUUUUUAUCCAUUAUUUCACUCAACCUAGAUGAAGGCAUCAGAAACUUAAUAACGAUAUCUAAUAUUUGGUCAGCAUCAUAUUCAUUGCUGUAAGGUUCUGUAAUCCAAGCGUGACAAUCAAAAUAAUGCUUCACAUAACUGCUGUUGUAAGCCUCUCCGGCGAAAGCCGUCUUGUCCAACCCAAUGCUAUCAAGUAUGGCCACCACUGAAAGCUGAGGUGGUCCCUCAAUGUUAGAGCAGCUCAUUAUGCUGAACAGAAGAAGGUGAAGACUAAGAUGAAGAAAAUACAGAGCAAGUUACAGGGCAAGUGUGUCAGCAGUGCCAGCUCAGCUAACAGCUCAGCAGAUUAGUUAAAGAUGGUUGUAAGCAUGAUGUGCAUUGUACUGAAGUUAGUUAGCUUUGAUUACAGUUAGUCUUUGGAUUAGUUAAAUGAAGUUACCGUGAUUGCAUUGUAUAUAAACAGGUGAUGCUUUGUAAUUAAAUGUUAAGCAAAAUAAAAAUCAAAGUUUGUUAAGGAAAUAUCUCCAGAAUUAUCAAUUCAUUUUCUUAGUAACCAAACAACUUUAUUUCAUUUUCUUUCAGUGCGGAGAGGCCGAAAAUUUGCUGGAGGGAUACCAAUUAAUUUGGCAGAUUUCUGAAGAGCGAAAUGUGUUUGAUCGGAGGCAUAAACAACCAACUUAGUAAUGUUGUCAAAGCCUCCUCCAAGUUUUUCCAAUGCUUUGUCUCUUGCAGCUGCCAGAGUGCAAACGAGGGAUUCACAAGUGCUUCCGUGCAGGACACCACCACCUGUUCCGGAAAACAAAAAUGAAGAAGGAAGCUUGAGCAUUUUCCCCAUCCAAUCCAUCACAAUGGAUUCGAGUUCAGUUGCUACCGGAGAAGCGAGCCAGUUGAAGCCAACCACGUUGAACCCUGAACAAAGCAUCUCACCAAGAAAGCCAGCAGUGCUUGCAUUUGCUUGGAAAUAACCAAAGAAAUUGGGGCUUUGCCAGUGAGUGAGGCCAGGUAAGAUGCAGUCGGUGACAUCUUUUAGAAUAUCAUCCAAUGACUCUGGGGAAUGCGGGGCUGUGUCAGGCAACCGAGCCGACAAAUAACCAGGCUCUACUUUGCUUUGAACAGGGUAUUUCUCGAUGUUUUUGUAAUAAUCAGCAAUGAAAUCGAUAACAGCUUUCGAUUCGUCAGAGAAGCUCUUUGGCAUUACUCUUAACACAUGAGGCAAGAAUGGAACAAAAUCAUAAUACUAAAGAUCUUUUUAGUGCAAACUAUGGGAUGAUGAAUGCUAACUACUCUCAGUUUAGAGGAAAUAAUAAGAGAGGUGGUUAUAGUGGAUAUCAAGGGCAAUUUAAUGCUGGAAAUAGGAAUCAAAAUGGAGGAAGAGGAAUGUCUUUCAAUUCAUUCUCAAGAGGUUUUCCAGCUGGUGGAUAUACUGGUAAUGCUGGUGGCAGAGGACAGCAAAUGAAUGCAUAUGCUUAUAAACCUGUGCUUAACAACAGGCAUAAUUUCAAUGUGAAUCAUGGCUCAACUUCAAUGCCCAAUGGAAAUGGAUCUGAUGAUAAUGUGCUUAUCUGUCAAAUCUGUCAUAAAGCUGGACAUGCAGCUGAUGUUUGUUGGCACAGACACUUUGAUGGCUAUGCUCCUCAACCCAGACAAUUUGGAAGGGGCAGAGGGCAUAAGUCUGCUUAUAUGGCUAACUUUGAUCCACAAAUUGGCUUUACUUCACAAUUUGAAGAUUCGUUUGCUACAGAAUAUCCUGGUUAUCAUGGGUACCAUCCACCUGAUAUGAAUGCAUCAGUUGCAUCAGUAAGUCAUCACUCAUCUGAUAUGCAUUCUGUACCUGGAGCAGCUUAUAUUGCAAAUUUUGAAGGACCAGCUGAUGAAGGGUGGUAUCUUGAUAGUGGAGCUACGCAUCACAUCACUAACAGCAUGGCCAAUAUGCAUAUCAGAGAUCAAUUCACUGGAGCAGAUCAGCUCAUUAUUGGAAAUGGACAAGGUUUGCCCAUAACUCAUGUUGGUGAUGCAUCAUUUCUCUUUAAAAGUUCCAAUUCUACACACAAACACUCACCUAUAGUACUUAAAGAUAUUCUGUUGGUGCCUUCCUCUCAGUUAUCAUCAUCUUUUCUUUCUCAUAUGUGUUCCAAUAAACCUUUGUCUAUGCUUUCUUGUUGUUGUUUCAAUUCUGUUCCUUCUGGAGUAUUUACAGAAUCUUAGAAAUCAUGUAAUCAAACUGAUGAUUCAUCUUGUAAAACUUCAGUUAAUAAAGCUAUUUUGCUUCAUAGAAAGUUUGGUCAUCCCAAUCAUCAAAUAUUAACUCAUAUACUCAAAACAGCAAAAUCUAUUCAUUUACCUGCAUAUCAAAAGCAACAAAUGCAUCAGUACAUCUGUGAGGCCUGUCAAAUGGGCAAAACACAUAAACUUCAUUUUCCAAUUACUGAAACCAAAACCUCCAAAACUCUAGAACUUAUACACACUGAUUUAUGGGGUCCUUCUCCCAUUAUUUCUAGAGAUGGUUAUCAGUAUUAUAUAAGUUUUGUAGAUGACUACAGCAGGUAUACAUGGAUUUAUCCUUUGAAGCUAAAGUCUGAGGCAUUAGAAGUCUUUAAGCUCUUUAAACUGCAGGUUGAAAAUCAGUUUAGCACAACCAUUAAGAUGAUGCAAUCUGAUUGGGGGGGAGAGUAUAGACCAUUCACUGAGUUUUUAAGCCAAUUUGGUAUCAUCUUUAGACAUCCUUGUCCUCACACUCAUCAUCAAAAUGGGUUAGUUGAAAGGAAGCAUAGACAUAUUGUUGAAUUGGGUCUGACUCUCUUAGCUCAAGCUCAACUUCCCUUUAAGUUCUGGUGGGAUGCAUUUCAUACUGCUGUAUAUCACAUCAACAGACUUCCAUCUCCUGUUUUGCAACUUUUAACCCCAUAUGAAAAGACAUUCAAACACAAACCUGAUUAUGAUUUUCUCAGAUGUUUUGGGUGUUCUUGUUAUCCUUACUUGAGAGAUUACAAUAAACAUAAAUUUGCCUACCAUUCUAGUAAGUGCAUAUUCAUUGGUUACAGUCCUUCACAUAAGGGCUACAAAUGUUUACACCCUUCAGGUCGAGUCUAUGUGGCAAGACAUGUUACCUUUGAUGAAUCAGUUUUUCCUUAUGCCACUGAGUUUGUUUUUCAUAGUCAUGCUAAAACUGAUUCUCAAAUUUCUCAUUCCCAUACACCACAGCAAAUCCAUCAUAUCUCUUCUUUGCCUGUCAAUAACAGCACUGGUAAUCUGAACUCUGUAAGAUCUGGAAGCAGCAGUUCAAGUCACUCAGAUCAUCUAGAACAGACAGCAACUGAUCAGAAUUCACAACAAGCUACCAUAAAUGACAGGUCACCUUUUCAUACAUGUCCAACAAUUGUUGAAUCUAUACAAAAUAUUCCAAAACCUCCACAUCACUCUUUGCCUAUACAAAGUCACCAUCCUAGCAACACUUCUUUCUAUCCAUAUACACAACCAAAUACACAUCAGAUGAUAACCAGAAGUAAAGCAGGGAUUUUCAAACCCAAAAUUUAUACUGCUGUGCUUACUCACAAGGAACCAGAUACUGUGCAAGAAGCAUUAAAUGAUUCAAAGUGGCUACAAGCUAUGAGGGAGGAAUAUGAUGCCUUGAUUAAGAAUAAUACAUGGACAUUGGUUCCAAGACAAGCUGAUCAGCAUGUGGUUGGAAAUAAAUGGGUGUAUAGAAUCAAAUAUAAUACAGAUGGAAGUGUAGCUAAGUAUAAAGCUAGACUUGUUGCAAAGGGUUUUCAGCAAGUGGCAGGGAUUAACUAUUUUGAGACAUUUAGCCCAGUUGUGAAGUCAGCUACAGUUAGAGUAAUACUUAGCUUGGCAGUGAUGAAUCAGUGGAGAAUAAGGCAAGUGGAUGUCAAUAAUGCCUUUUUGAAUGGAGAGCUAACAGAAGAAGUUUUCAUGUCUCAACCUGAUGGCUUUAUUGAUGCUCAGAGAUCUGAUUUUGUAUGCAAAUUACACAAGUCUCUGUAUGGGCUCAAGCAAGCUCCUAGAGCCUGGUAUGACAAGCUUAAAGGAUGCUUAAUAAGCUGGGGUUUCACUACUACUAGUUCUGACACCUCAUUGUUUGUUAGGAAGAUCAAGACAUCUAUGAUCAUAGUUCUUAUAUAUGUUGAUGACAUACUGAUCACAGGUCCAAAUACUGAGGAGCUGGAAGGUUUUAUAACUGAAUUCAGCAAAACUUUUGCUCUAAAGGAUCUGGGAGUGUUAUCCUAUUUCCUUGGAAUUGAGGUAUUAUAUGAUGCAGAUUGUAUGUACUUGUCACAGAGAAAGUAUAUCAGAGAUUUGUUAUCGAAGGUAGAAAUGACUGAAUGUAAGGGCAUUGAUACACCCAUGAGUACUGGCUCUAAACUGCAAAAGAUAGUUCAGGGGGAACUUGGAUACUAUCUUGAAGAUCCAACUCAUUAUAGGAGCAUAGUUGGAGGAAUGCAGUACCUGAUACUUACCAGACCUGAGAUUGCGUUUGCUGUAAACAAGCUUAGUCAGUAUGUAGCUGCACCAACACUACAACAUCUAAUGGCAUGCAAGAGAGUUAUAAGAUAUCUAAAGGCAACUCAAGAUUAUGGUUUAAAAUUUUUCAGAGAAGGAAGCUUAACACUCACUAGUUUUACUGAUGCAGAUUGGGCAUGUGACUUAGAUGAUAGGAAAUCAGUUGGUGCUUAUUGCAUUUAUUUAGGCAAUAAUUUGAUAUCCUGGUCUUCUAAGAAACAAUCAGUGAUAACCAGAUCAAGUGCCGAGAGUGAGUAUAGAGCUUUGGCAUCAGUGAGUGCAGAGCUGACAUGGUUACAAUCCUUAUUUUCUGAGUUGGGAAUAAGUUGCAUAGAAAAGCCAAUCAUAUGGUGUGACAACAUUAGUGCCACUGAACUAGCAAAGAACCCUGUGUAUCAUUCAAGAACAAAGCAUAUCGAAAUUGAUAUGCACUUCAUUAGGAAUAAGGUUCUUGCUGGUGAGUUGAUUAUUCACUAUGUACCAAGUGAAGAACAGAUUGCAGACAUAAUGACCAAGCCUCUUUCAUUUGUAAGGUUUAACUACUUGAGGUCCAAACUCAAUGUCCAUCUUUGUCCUCUGAGUUUGAGGGGGGCUGUUAGAGCAGCUCAUUAUGCUGAACAGAAGAAGGUGAAGACUAAGAUGAAGAAAAUACAGAGCAAGUUACAGGGCAAGUGUGUCAGCAGUGCCAGCUCAGCUGACAGCUCAGCAGAUUAGUUAAGAUGAAGAUAUACCGGCUUCAGCUUUAGAAGUUUUGAUGCGAUCAAUGAUUUUGGAAUCCAUGUGCUUAAGUUGUUGCAUCCGUUGCUUAAUAUCAGUGAUUCUGCUUUGGAGUCCUUGCAGAGCAUCAAAAAUGUCCUUGCUGCAGCUGCUUUGAGUCUUCUGUUGAGUGAUGCUGUUGAUGAAUGUGUCAAUCACCUUCUCAGAUUCAUACGUAAACCAAUUGAUUUCGUCCAUAACGGUCGCCAGAUCUGGGUCAUGACUUUCCUCCUCCGCCAUUUUUUCGAACAGAAGGAGGGAGAUAUCAUCUUCAAAUUCGCUCAGCCAAGAAGUAACGAUUUCAACCUCCGCAUGAAGGUUCUGAAUAGGUUGUUUUGCAGCAUCAGGCAACGUGACUUCUUCACCAGCUAACACCCUUCUCAGCCUCUCUGAAAAUAGUCUGAAGUUGAUGUGCAUAUCUCCUCCUCUCUCAGAUUCACCCUGAAAUCAGUCCUGUAGCAUGCAAAGAAAUAAUUAAAAGAAAAACAUGCUUUAAAGCUCUCAAUUCAAACAUUAGUGCUGGCUCCCAUACCUCCCUUCUCUUAGCUAGCUCUCCGGUCAAGAAGUUGAAUCAAGAUCGUUGACUCUCAGAUUAUAACAGAUCAAGGAAGAAUCUUACAAUAAUCUCGUCUCCCAUAUGAUCAAGACCAAUUUGUUUUAUACAUCCACUUUUAAGAAAGGAAGGGUAAAAACAAUUCCACUGGGACUAUAAAAGCUUGUCUGAAAAGAAAAGAACGGAGCAAGCACAAGAGCGUUAUCAAUUAUUUAAUAAUUAAUAACUAAGCCGUGGAAAAAUGCAAAAUCAUGUCAGGUGUUACUUGUUAAAUUUAUUGCGAGACUUGCAUGUAUCUAUAUCACAAAUAAAAUUUGUAUCCCAGGGUUAUAAAUGUAAAAUUACUCAAAUAAAUAUGCAUUCUUAAUCAUGUGUGAUGCUGUCUUAUUUCUGAGAAAGUACUAAAUCGUUUGUAAAAUUUUAUAGUUAAUAUAUGUUCAAUUUUCUUUUUAGCAUUCUUUUUUAAGAAAUGAAAAAUGAUAAAGAAUUCUAACAACGGGUGACAAAAAUAAUAAUAAAUUGUGCAAUGUUACAAUGUUAAUUGAAAAAUAGUUAUAAUUUUUUAUUUAACAUUAUAAAUAAAAUCUAUAGUUGUUUUCUCACUACUGUAUCAUUUUUUAAUUCAAAUAUCAGUAUUAUAUGAGCUCUCACCUUUUAGAAAGUAUUAUAUCAUAAGACACUAUUUAUAAUUAUUUUCAUUUGAGCCCUUAGUGUUAAAAAUAUAACAAUCCAUCAAUGAAAUCAAUGAUAAUGGAAUUCUAAGUAGGAAUGGCAGAAAAAUCAAGUCUAGCUAGAGCAUGUUUUCUAAGUAUUCUGGCUGGUCUUGGGCUCCGGCUAAAAAGUUCGAACUCAGCUCGAAAGCCAACAUUGUAUAGUGGGAAUCUAGGACCAAUCACAUGGAGAUGAUUUGUAAAUUUUUGUACACAAUUUUAGUAUGCAUAUCAGAAGAGAGGCAGCAAUCUUAGUUGAUACUUUUAUUUGACAUAUGAUGUAAGAAACGGAACAAAGAUUGUAACGCCACAAAUUUUGCAAUUCAGCAUCCAAAAUAUCACUAGAACUUGCAAGACAAGCUUUAAUCUCUUCAACAAAGGUCGAAUUGCGGGCAGGAACACAAACGCAGAGAUGGGUAUCAAGAUCGCAUUCGAAACGACUGACAGGGAUUGUCACAGUCGGCAUUGCUUUUACAAGUGACUGCUUUUGAUUCCGGUUGAGCAUCAACUGCCGGCAUGGAAAUAUUAAACAACACACUUGCAUAUAUAAAUGCCAAACAAUUAAUUAGCCUAAUGCUAAUAACACGCCUGCAUAUAUAAAUGCCAGCCAAUUAGUUGUCAUAUUAUAGUUAAUUAUGCAUGCAUUAAAAAGAUGAGGAAAAUAAGAUUAAGGAACAAACAUGAGGCCACCAACAGAGUGAUGAAAAAUGUGGAUUUAAGUUUAAGUUCCAUAAUGUUUAUGUAAGCAAAAGUGCAAAACUGAGAGUCUGUGGAUAAUGAUAUUAUUAAAUUUAAUAUGGGUUUGGUUUGCAUAGAUUCAUGAAUUUCUCUAGACAUUAUAUGCGCCGGGGGAGAAUUUAAUCCACUUGACAACUAAAAAAUUCAGAAAUCAAACCUCGAUUUGACAAAUUAGAAAUUUAAAAAUUAAAUUUUUUUCCAUAUGCAUGCUCUCGUUUUUCUCUCUAUCACAGCGGUAUAAUUGGAAUUAUUGUUAUGACAAUUUGAUUCUCUUUUCUUACAUGUUGCAGGAGUCAUGUCCUCCCGUUGAGGUGACAAAAUGACUAUGGAUUGUGCCUGAGUGGAGUACACCACCAGUAUGAUUAUCUCACUCCCUUUCGAGGUUUUGUUGCAGUAAUUUCUCAUCUUUUAUAGGGUACCCUGCUCUUCAUUGCUUCUGUAGAAGUCUUAUGAGCUAAUUGCUUCCGAAUCUUUAAAUUUCUUCAAUGAGGAACCUUUGUUUGGAAAAUUGAUUUUCAUCUGAUCCGAGAAGGGUGCUUUGAAGCAGAGAGCUUACGAAAUGCAGCAUGCAAAAUCAUGACUACAAUGCAGUAGACUAAUUGUUAGCUCACUCUAAGCAAAGGCAACGUUCAUAAAAGAUGAAGAAGAGUUUCUAAUAUUUACCAACAUAACCGAUAGCAAGUGCACAGAAUAGAGUCAUCUGAACAUUCAGUAGCAUAAGAACAACCAAUGUAGCUGCAAAGAUGAGAUGUAAUUACUACUGUGAAGUCGACGAAAGAAUUCCACUAUUUAUCAACAACUAGACUGUAGUAUAAUGGAAAGACCUGCCAAGGAAAGUUUAAAGCAAAACUCAUCCAGAGAAGGCAAGAACAUUAGUAUAGAAGCAGAAGUGCACACAUUCAUAUUUAGGGGUAACGAGAAAUGUAUCAUAAAUCACUUGCUCUAGCACAGUACUAUUUCAUGCUAAUUUUCUUGCUCGUUCUAUGGUUAGGACCCUUUGAGCGGAAAGAAAUCAAAUCACAAUGCUUAUUCUAGCUAGAAACUCCUGAAGUCCAUGCUUGAACCCUGUGUCAAUUGGUCAUAGACUCCAUAUUCUCCCAAAAGUAUGACAUUUUUUUCUUCCACUGAUUAAUGGAACUUAAAACUGUUUUGCCACAAUCUUAGUCAUACAAACCCUUUCUCUUUACAUUUCUUAAGGUCAUCAGACCCAAACCAGAACAUGUUUACUUCCUAGGAGAAAUCUUAAAUAUCUUAAUCAAUACGGAACUGUGUAGUUCAGACAGCAUUCCCUUGGCCAACUAGACGUAACGAUUUGCAAUGUCCUAGUAAGUCUAUGAGUGGAACUAACAGUGCCCUUCCAAUACGGAAAAACAAUCGUCAAAAACAAUUUUUUUACCCCAUCAACCACAUACAGUAUAAGACUGUAGCUGGUUAUCUCAAUAUCGGCUGCCAUUUUGAUUCAAAGAAGAAAUAUUUGAGAACUCACCACAUUGUGCAAUGCGAACCAGAACCUGCCUAAUCACAGGAUGCCGAUCCCAGUUCCAUUUGUCACUACAGAACUUGAAAAAAUCCCAAAGUGCCAAACUUGAUAUCAACCCAACAAGUGCAAGUGGCAUCUGGUAUCUAUAAGAUGGAGACAGAGACAAUGUCACUAGACAGAUGAUACACAGAAAAAAAAACUUGUAAUACAACUAACACACACAAUACUAUGAUUAAAAAAAUAUCUCCAUCAGUUAAAAACUAAACAAUGGAAAGGCGAGACUCUAUGAACUAAUGCCCUGAACCAGCACAAAUACCAAUUCUCCCGGAGUAUUUUAAGUAUUCAUAUAGUUGUUUCAAAGCACAGGAAAAAAAAAAACAACGCAAAAUUGCAAACUCAUAGUGUUGUUAUUUAUCAAUUGAAACCCAGAAAAAAAAAUCUGUAACUUAAUUAUUCAUUUAAGCAGAUUGAAACCCUUACAAACACAGGUAAGCAAAUCAAAAUUAUCAUUAAAAAUCCAAUCAAGGCCACAUAAAUCUAAUCACAUCCAAAAGCAUCCCAAAAUCUCGUUCAAUAUUCAUACACCCACAUACAAAAACCAUUCAAAAAUUUAAUUUUUUUUAACUCAAAAUAAUAACUCAGGAAAGGAAACAAAAUUCUUACAGAGAGCAAGCAAAGAAGAGGAUGAACAAAGAAGCAUAAUUCCUGGCAUAACGUUUAACAUUCUCAUGAACUCUCAACUUAAGGGUGUGUGGGGAAGAUGGAAACGAGUAAGACCCAAGAGCCCCAAUAAACUCACGGGUCCAAGACGGGGUGUUGGCUGAGAAAUCAUCAGUGGUGAGUUUAGCAAAAGGGUUGGCGGUAAGAAGAGAGAUAAAGGUGUAUAAAUAAUGUAAAAGGCUGUGAGUUAUGGUCGUGGCUGUGGCUGUUUCUUUGGUGGAGGCUGUUGUGACGGCGGUGGCCGAUGUCGUGGUGGCGGUGUCAAGGCUUUCGAGGUAGCCGGAGUCGCGUAGCCAUGACUCGAAUGCUGGGUCGGUUACGUUUAGAGAUAACGGGUUGGAUGCGAAUACCUUCCCCAUUGCAAAAAGUUAUCCAAUUUCGGUUGAACGAGGGUCACUAAAUUAUCAAAAUAUUAAUAACUAAUUUGUAACAAAAUUCAUAUGAUAUGAUAUGAUGAUAUAGGCCUUGGUUAGUGGUUUUCUAAACAAUUUAUUAUUAUUAUUAUUCUCUUAAUCAUUCCAAGUUUAAAUUUCGAAGAGGUAGGGGAUAGAAAUAAAUUAUAUUAGGAUUUGUCGAUUUUUCAAUAAAAACUUCAGUAUUAUAUGCUUAAUUGUUUUAAAGAAUUUUCUUUGAGUAUUGUUUUGAGUAAAUAAAUGUGAUUAAUUUAACAUGCUUAAGGAUUUUUAGUAUUUUAAAGACCAUACAAAGUAUAACUUAAUUUUUUAAAUUUAAUAGAUGAGUGUGUAGAACAAUAAAGUAUUUAAAGUAAUUAUUAGAGGAUAAAUAGGCAUAUCCAAUACUUUUAUUUUUUUGAAAAGAAAGUAAAUCUUUCAUAAAUCACAACACCUCAAAUACAACUUGAAUCUCGACUGGAAUAGUUCCUAGCCACAUAGAAGAAGAAUUUCUUCCCAAAGCUAACUUAGCUAGAGAGUGGGCAUAAGCAUUACAUUGACUUGUUAUGUGAUGAACAACUUUUUGAAAAACUUUCAACUGAUUUCGGAUCUCCAGAAUUGUCCAAAAAAUUUCUGUUUUGCUGCUCUUGGUGUUGUUUACAAGUUGAACCACCUCUAAGCAAUCUGACUUAAUGAUCAAGGAAGUUAAAUCUGCUUCUUUUGCCAACUGAAGCCCCCAUUGCACAGUCUCUGCCUCAGCUAAACUGACUGGUCCCUUAAGAUGAAUUUGAUUAAUACCGGCUGCAAUUAUCUUUCCAUUAGAAUCUCUAAUCACUGCUCCCACGCCUGCAAUCUGAUUCUUAGUAUUGAUGGCAACAUCCACAUUAAUUUUGAAAAUAUUUUCAGGGGGAGGGAACCACUUCUGUUGUUUCUCUCCUCUGGGGUGGGCAAUAUGAGAAGGCUUUGUCUUUCUUACUCUUUGAAAAGCUGAGCCUUUACAACAUGAGCAGGGAGGGGACUCCACUUUUGAUGCAUCAUAGAUAGUUUCUUCUCUGCAAAAACUUUGCCCAAAUUUCUUAAGUCUCUUAAAGGCAUCUAUCAGAUCUGCCUUUGCAACACUUUCCACAAAGUAGAAACUUUUCUUCUCAAAAUUAUGCAUCAUAAAAUACAAAACCAAGCAAAAUCAAAUGAACAACCCCAAAUUUGUAAAUCUGGGUAGACAAACAAUAAUAAACCACCACAAAUCUCUAGAUAUGAGUGGAAGAAUACACCACCACAGAUUUGAAAAUAUGAGUGGAAGAACAAAACCACCACAGAUAUGAGGAUCUGAGUGGAGAAAAUAAGUAAAGAAAAUAAAAAAAGAAGGUUUCGCUAGAAAACCAACUCAUAGAGCUGAUUUUUCGGCGAAAGAAGAAGGUGAAAUGUUACUGGAUGUUCAGAGCCUUUUUUUUCUGGAAAGGCAUAUCCAAUACUUUAACUUAUGGUUGGUUGUUUUUUUCACUGAAUUUUCUAAUUUGAAUUGAAUCAAUUACAAGUUGUGACUCGAGCUCAAGAGAGUUGAAGAGAAAGAAAAAGAAAAAUGGAGUCCUUCUCUUGUCCCUUUUAAGUGAAUAUAUUUAGGUUGGGUACCGCAGGGUAGUUUAAUCUUUUCUACUGCAUGGCACCUCUUUACUCAAAUAUCAAAUGAGCUUGCUCUUCACGUGACACCAAAUUUACCAAACUUUAUUUUUUUCCUUGAUUGGCUCGUGUAGGACAGUCGAGGUGUCAUUUGUUUUUUCACCGUUCAACUUCUUAUUUAUUAUUCUUAUACCACAUGUCAGCUUUCAACUAGUCCAUAAAUAUCCUUCAAAUUUUACCUCCAAACAAAUCUAAUAACCUCUUGAAAACAAAAAAUUAAAAAUUUACUCAAUCAUUCAAUGUUAAGGAAAUUGGCCAAGUAAUGGAAUGCUAACAAACCAAAUUAAAUUUCUACAUUUAAUUUUUUUUCUCAUGCAUGCUCUACUAAAAAUAUUUGAUGUGGUGCUAAUGCUCACUGCAAAGUAUAUAUUAGAUGCUCGUGCAUAUACCGUAGGCUAUAGCUAUACAAAAACUUAUACUUGCGUUCUCGAAUGCACACACUUGCACGCAAAAUUCUAUUAUUGAGAGUCGCUGCUUUCUAUAACACGGCCUUUUUCUAGCCUUUCAUUAGACGUGGUUUCAAUUUAUUUAACCAUUAGAGGGACACAUCAGUAGUCACAAAAAUGCCCCUCUAAAUGGCAAUUCUUUUAAUCAUUUUGCUGCCGCUCUUCCUUCCAGUCCCAAGUACAUAGCCCAAACUUCAAUUUUCUCUGGGAAGGUAAUGAAGCGUGGCUUAGUCUCAGUAAUAUGUCUUCCAUAUUCCAUGGAAUGAGCCAAAAGAGGAGUACUUCUAUAGUUAGUAGCAACUAGCAAUCAUAUUGAUUCUUAAAGGAAUUUUCUACAUCAGAUAAAGAAAGAGCAGCAGAGAACAAAGCUGUUAAUCAAUCAACACAUGUAAAGCAGUAUUAGUAUUUCUGCCUUAUUGUAGUGCCUAAGCGGGUAUUAGGAUUUCUCCACAAGAACGUUUACUAAGACAUUCAGCCAAGUGUGAAGUUCAUCAAUAAUUAAUCUUUUCUGGAAAUAAACGGAACAUAUUGAGUGCCAAACUUGCCCAGCCUUUGAAACAGGAUUUCAGAGCAAGCAACAGUGUUGAAGUCAACAAAUUGUUGAAAAAUAAUAAUAAUUAAAAAUUAUAUUUUUAAUUAUUUUAUUCUUAGCAUAGUAAUUCAUUUCUCCUAUAAAUAGUUAAGGAUUUCAUUCAUUUGAAAUCGUCCCAAAAUUGUUAAGCUUAUAAGUUUCUAAGCUUUUGAGGAAAGUGAGAGAAGUGUGUCUGGGGAAUUUAUCUUUCCUGCAGAGUGUGAGAGUACUGGGUAUAUUUGGGUUUCUGGGAAGUGAGAUUCGUUACUCAAAUAUUGUACUCUAUUAAUUGUUAAAUAAACAAUUAUUCUUUCUUGCCUCCGUGGAUGUAGGUUUAAUUACCGAACCACGUAAUUCUUGUGUCCUUUAUUUUUCUAUAAUUAUUUGGUGCGCUUGAUUCCGCAUUCCGCGCACAACAAGUGGUAUCAGAGCCGAAGGUUCUUACUUGGGGGGAUACGGUACUGUUCACGUAUACGGUACUAUUCCCGUAUUCGGCACUGUUCACAUACGGUACUGUUCACGAAUACGGUGGAGACGGCCAUUUAUACUUGGGAGACAGUCUAUUGUAAGUAGUGUAGAUGUAAGUUUAAUUACUGAACCACGUAAAUUCUUGUGUCCUUUAUUUUUCUGUAAUUAUUUAGUGCGCUUGAUUCCGCAUUCCGCGCACAACAAGUGGUAUCAGAGCCGAAGGUUCUUACUUGGGGGGAUACGGUACUGUUCACGUAUACGGUACUAUUCCCGUAUUCGGCACUGUUCACAUACGGUACUGUUCACGAAUACGGUGGAGACGGCCAUUUAUACUUGGGAGACAGUCUAUUGUAAGUAGUGUGUAUUUUUGCAUGUCUAGGAAAGUUCUGUUAACAAAGGCGAUAAGAGUCUAAGGAUUCUGGUUUUUAAUUGGGAUCGAGUUCCUGUCCAGUUUUCUGAGAACUUUCCUGGUGCAUUUAUUCACGCGAAAUUAACAUCAUAGAGACUAUUUUUCAAGUGGAAAUAGUUCGUUGAGAAAAUAGUAGAAGGUGAAACUUCCAGAAUUGGGGAGAGAUCUACCGAGACUAUUUCAGGAGACACUUCAGGUGGGAUGCGAGAUUUGUCAAAUCGCUAUUCAGCACCUGUUAUAGGAGGCCAGAAGAUCGAUGUUGAAAAGUUUGAUGGGAAAAUCAACUUCGGCAUGUGGAGGCGCGAAGUUAUGGAUGCCCUUAUUCAAAUCGAUCUCGAUGUUGUUAUGAAAAAUAAAAGAUGAGUAUCGUCUGAAGCUUUGGUGAGCAAAGAUUGGGCGAUGGAGAAACAAAAGAAGCGUGGUGGAAAGAAUUCUCGAUCCAAAUCGAGAAGCAGAAAUAUAGCUCGAGAUGAGUGUGCCUUUUGUCAUGAAAAGGGCCAUUGGAGGAAAGAUUGUCCAAAGGCUCAAAAGAGAGAUGGGAAGAAACCAGCAGCAGCAAACAUGGCACGGAAAGAUGAGGGCUCUGAUUAUUCACUAAGUAUUACUCCUGCAGCAUACGUGGCUAGUUCGAGCGAGUGGAUACUUGAUACUGGAGCAACUUAUCAUUUGUGUCCUAUUAAGGAAUGAUUUACGGAUUUUCGUAAUUUGGAAUCCGGUGCAGUUGUGAUGGGGAAUGAUCAACCUUAUCGCACAAUGGGGAUAGGAACAAUUCGGCUCAAAAUGUUUGAUGGAAUGAUCAGAGAACUCAAAGAGGUUAGAUUUGUUCCAGCUUUAAAGAAAAAUCUAAUUUCUGUGGGUGCUUUGGAAGCUAAAGGCUACAAGGUUACCAUUGAAGAUGGUAUAAUGAAGUUUACACAUGGGGCUAUGGUGAUUCUGCAAGGGGUUCGGCGUCACAAUCUGUACUAUUUGAAGGGAGGUACAACUGAUGAAGCAAAUGUUGUUGAAGCGCAUAGUGACACCACCAAGCUAUGACAUGUACGACUGGGACAUGCUGGAGAGAAGUCUUUGCAAACUCUGAUGAGACAUGGACUCUUAAAAGGUACCAAAACCUGUAAAUUAAAUUUAUGUAAGCAUUGUGUAGUAGGCAACUGAUGAAGCAAAUGUUGUUAAGGCGCACAGUGACACCACCAAGCUAUGGCAUGUACGACUGGGACAUUAAGAGUCUAAGGAUUCUGGUUUUUAAUUGGGAUCGAGUUCCUGUCCAGUUUUCUGAGAACUUUCCUGGUGCAUUUAUUCACGCGAAAUUAACAUCAUAGAGACUAUUUUUCAAGUGGAAAUAGUUCGUUGAGAAAAUAGUAGAAGGUGAAACUUCCAGAAUUGGGGAGAGAUCUACCGAGACUAUUUCAGGAGACACUUCAGGUGGGAUGCGAGAUUUGUCAAAUCGCUAUUCAGCACCUGUUAUAGGAGGCCAGAAGAUCGAUGUUGAAAAGUUUGAUGGGAAAAUCAACUUCGGCAUGUGGAGGCGCGAAGUUAUGGAUGCCCUUAUUCAAAUCGAUCUCGAUGUUGUUAUGAAAAAUAAAAGACACUUGUAUAAUGAAGAAAUUUAGGAUCGUAUGAAUGAAAAAGCCUGUGGUCAGAUCAGAUCUUGUUUGACCAAGGAGGUGAAAUACUUGGUGAAAGAUGAGGAGUGUGCGGUGACUUUAUGGCGUACAUUGGAGGAGAAGUACCUGGUGAAAAGUCCUGAAAAUCGCCUUCAUGCAAUGAGCCAAGUAUAUGGUUUUCGAAUGAAGCCUAGGGUGUCAAUGCACGAUCAUGUUUCAAGAUUUGAAAAGUUACUUGCUGAUUUGAAGAAUCUUGAUGAAGAUAUUAAGGAUGAAGUCAAGGCUAUAAUUCUGUUACACUCACUACCAGAGGAAUAUAGCCAUUUUGUGACUACUUUGAUAUAUGGGAAGAGUGUGAUCGUCUUUAAAGAUGUUUGCACAACAUUGACUAGCUUAGAGAUUCGGAAUAAUGAUAAAAAUUCUGAACGAGCAUCNNNNNNNNNNNNNNNNNNNNNNNNNNNNNNNNNNNNNNNNNNNNNNNNNNNNNNNNNNNNNNNNNNNNNNNNNNNNNNNNNNNNNNNNNNNNNNNNNNNNNNNNNNNNNNNNNNNNNNNNNNNNNNNNNNNNNNNNNNNNNNNNNNNNNNNNNNNNNNNNNNNNNNNNNNNNNNNNNNNNNNNNNNNNNNNNNNNNNNNNNNNNNNNNNNNNNNNNNNNNNNNNNNNNNNNNNNNNNNNNNNNNNNNNNNNNNNNNNNNNNNNNNNNNNNNNNNNNNNNNNNNNNNNNNNNNNNNNNNNNNNNNNNNNNNNNNNNNNNNNNNNNNNNNNNNNNNNNNNNNNNNNNNNNNNNNNNNNNNNNNNNNNNNNNNNNNNNNNNNNNNNNNNNNNNNNNNNNNNNNNNNNNNNNNNNNNNNNNNNNNNNNNNNNNNNNNNNNNNNNNNNNNNNNNNNNNNNNNNNNNNNNNNNNNNNNNNNNNNNNNNNNNNNNNNNNNNNNNNNNNNNNNNNNNNNNNNNNNNNNNNNNNNNNNNNNNNNNNNNNNNNNNNNNNNNNNNNNNNNNNNNNNNNNNNNNNNNNNNNNNNNNNNNNNNNNNNNNNNNNNNNNNNNNNNNNNNNNNNNNNNNNNNNNNNNNNNNNNNNNNNNNNNNNNNNNNNNNNNNNNAAGUCUUUGCAAACUCUGAUGAGGCAUGGACUCUUAAAAGGUACCAAAACCUGUAAAUUAAAUUUCUGUGAGCAUUGUGUAAUAGGCAAGAAAACAAGGGUUAAGUUUGGUACGGCUAAUCACGAUACUCGUAAGAUCCUUGAAUAUAUUCACAGUGAUGUAUGAGGACCAACUAAGACUGCAUCAAUUGGUGGAAGCCAUUAUUUUGUUACAUUUGUUGAUGAUUUCUCUAGACGUGUGUGGGUGUACACCAUGCGAGGAAAGGAUGAGGUUCUAGAGAUUUUCGUGAAAUGAAAGAAAUUAGUGGAGACUCAAACUGGCAGAAAGAUCAAAGUAGUACGAUAUGAUAAUGGGGGUGAAUAUACUUCUGAUCCAUUCUUGCAAGUAUGCCAGAACGAGGGUAUUAAAAGACAUUUCACGGUGAGACAUACUUCGCAACAGAACAGUGUGGCUGAGCGUAUGAAUCGUACUUUACUGGAGAAGGUACGGUGUAUGUUAUCUAAUACUGGUUUAGAUAAAAAGUUUUGGGUUGAAGCUGUGAGCUACGCAAGUCACUUGGUAAACCGAUUGCCUUCUGCUGCAAUUGGAGGUAAAACUCCUAUGGAAAUGUGGUCUGGAAAGUAUGCACAAGAUUAUGAUUCCCUUCGUGUAUUCGGGUGUCCAGCUUAUUAUCAUGUCAAAGAUGGUAAACUGGAUCCUCGUGUUAGAAAAGCUAUCUUUAUGGGAUUCAAAAGUAGAGUAAAGGGCUUCAAGCUUUGGGAUCUCGAAGACAAAAAGUUUGUGUGUAGCAAAGAUGUCACAUUUGAUGAAGCUUCAAUGAUCAAAGCUUCAAGUUCUCAGCAGGUGGAGAACAAGACCAAAGAGGUAUUGCAGCGGGUGGAGCUUGACGUAACUCCAUAUGUACCAGUUAGUUCUACAUCAAAGAAGAGUUCAACUAUAGAGGUGACACCUAGAGUUGAAGAAGAGGUUGUUUUUUCUGAUGUCCCACAAAAUGAAGAAACAAUUGAUGAUGUAGAUAAUGAUGAUUUUAUAGCAACAAGGAGGCCAAGAAGAGAGAUAAAGAAACCCAGAUGGCUUACUAAAGAUAUGGUGGUAGCCUAUGCACUUCCAGUUAUUGAUGAUGACUUCCCCAACACUUUCGGUGAAGCAUUACGCUGUAGUGAAAGUGAUCAGUGGAAGUUAGCCAUGGAGGAAGAGAUGAAAUCUCUCCAUCAAAAGCAGACUUAGGAACUUGUAAAGUUACCAAAGGGGAAAAGGGCUAUUGGCAAUAAAUGGGUCUACACCAAAAAGCAAGGAUCUCCAAAUCAAACAACUCCUCGAUACAAGGCAAGGCUCGUGGCAAAAGGUUUUGCUCAAAAGGAAGGUAUUGACUACAAUGAAGUUUUCUCUCCAAUUGUAAAACAUACUUUCAUUCGUAUCCUACUUGCCUAAGUUGCAGAAUAUGAGUUAGAGUUGGCUCAAUUGGAUGUUAAGACGGCGUUCUUGCAUGGAGAUUUGGAGGAGGAAAUCUAUAUGAUUCAGCCUUGUGGUUUCAGAGUUACUGGAAAGGAGAAUCAUGUGUGUAGGUUGAUUAAAUCUUUGUACGGACUGAAGCAAUCGCCAAGGCAGUGGUACAAAAGAUUUGAUCAAUUUAUACAAAGGCAGAAAUUCACCAGAAGUGAACACGAUCAUUGUGUUUACUUUAGAAGACUACCAGAUGAAGCUUUCAUCUAUUUGUUACUCUAUGUCGAUGGUAUGCUUAUAGCUUCGAAGAAUAGAGAUGAGAUCGAAAGAUUAAAGAAGCAGCUGGCUUCUGAGUUCGAGAUGAAAGACUUAGGUGAUGCACAGAAAAUACUUGGGAUGGAGAUUCGUAGAGACAAGAAGAAUGGGAGCGUAUGGUUGACUCAAAAGUUUUAUUUGAAGAAAGUGCUAGAAAGAUUCGGUAUGGAUGACAAAAUUAAAUCGAUAUGUACACCUCUAGCUCCUCAUUUCAAAUUAAGCUCUUAUUCAUGUCCUAGAUCUCAAGAGGAGUGCGAUUACAUGGCUCAUGUUCCAUAUGCUAGUGCUGUGGGUAGUCUUAUGUAUGCUAUGGUAUGCACAAGGCCCGAUAUAUCUCAAGCAGUGAGCAUGGUUAGUAGAUACAUGCAUAAUCCGGGUAAAAAUCAAUGGCUUGCGGUAAAGUGGAUUCUCUGAUAUCUAUAUGGGACAGUUGAUGUUGGGUUAUUGUUCAAGAAGGAUUGUGGUCAAUAAUGUGUUGGGUAUUGUGAUUCUGAUUUCGCUAGAGACCUUGACAAGCGAAGAUCAACAAUGGGCUACGUAUUCACAUUGGGUGGAGGUCUGGUUAGCUGGAGGUCGAUUCUACAAUCGACAAUUGCUCUAUCCACUACGGAAGCAGAGUAUAUGGCAGCAACUGAAGCUGUAAAAGAAGCUAUCUGGUUGAAAGGCUUAUUAGGUGAUUUGGGAGUAAUCUAGGAGAACAUUGCGGUCUUCUGUGAUAAUCAAAGUGCGAUAUUCCUUGCGAAGAAUCAAACAUAUCACGCUUGGACGAAGCAUAUAGAUGUGAAAUAUCAUUAUGUGAAAGAGAUUAUCGAGAGCGAUGUUGUGUUGUUGAGAAAGAUCGAUACCAAAGAUAAUCCAUCAGAUAUGUUGACCAAGGUAGUUUCUGGAGUUAAGUUUCAACAUUACUUGAAAUUAAUUCAAAUCCUUCGAUUGUGUUAAGAUAUGUCCUUCGGGAAUUUUGAACUACGGUUGGUUUGAUCCCAAAUUUUAGAUACGUAGGCAGUCAUAGAGAUGCAACCACUUUGGGGAUGAUGGCUUGUUGGUAGUCGACUCAAAUUUGAAAAAUUUUCGCCGAGGUGGAGAUUUGUUGAAGUCAACAAAUUAUUGGUGCAAAUUUGUUGAAGUCAACAAAUUGUUGGUGCACCAACAAUUUGUUGAAAAAUAAUAAUAAUUAAAAAUUAUAUUUUUAAUUAUUUUAUUCUUAGCAUAGUAAUUCAUUUCUCCUAUAAAUAGCUAAGGAUUUCAUUCAUUUGAAAUCAUCCCAAAAUUGUUAAGCUUAUAAGUUUCUAAGCUUUUGAGAGAAGUGAGAGAAGUGUGUCUGGGGAAUUUAUCUUUCCUACAGAGUGUGAGAGUACUGGGUAUAUUUGGGUUUAUAGGAAGUGAGAUUCGUUACUCAAAUAUUGUACUCUAUUAAUUGUUAAAUAAACAAUUAUUCUUUCUUACCUCCGUGGAUGUAGGUUUAAUUACCGAACCACGUAAAUUCUUGUUUCCUUUAUUUUUCUGUAAUUAUUUGGUGUGCUUGAUUCCGCAUUCCGCGCACAACAAAUAGAACAAAGACAGAAAAUACAUUCAACUGAACCCAACACCAGAAAGCAUCACAAAUAUUAUUUAUUUUUUGUACACAAUUAACGAACCAUCGCUGAAGCACAAAUCAAUGAACUCUCAACUGAAAAUCCGAAACGAAACUUCUUAUUUAUGAGUAGACAGCGGAAACAAAGAAACCAAAAAAAAGUCCACCACUGUAGGAUCAGGAUUUGUCUGUGUAGACAGUAGAAGUGAAGAUGGAAAGGAUUCUGGUUUAAAUUGAAGCUCAGGCUGUAGUCAUGAUGUUUUCUGCUCUGAUUUCACCUACACAAGUCAUUAAAGAAAUUGUGAAAAAGAAGAAUUUUAAAUUACAUUUUUUUCCUUAACUAUUAAAACAAAUGAACGCCGAUGUCUGCUAGGCUCAUGGUUGAAUGUGGAAGAGUAUUUAAGUCUCCGCUGCUGCUAAAUAGGGCUUGAUGAUUGGGGUGAGUAUCAGAAACUCUAAAGGGUACUUAAUGUUGAGACAAACUAGAAGAAAACACUCUGUAUAACCAUCUUUAUAUUGAAGAGAAGGGGGAAAAAGUAUAUGAAAUUUGAUAAAUAAUAAAAAGUUGAAGAAAUUAGAUAAAACACGAAACAAAUAUCAAAUUCAAUAAGGGCUAAUCAAAUUCCGUAAGGAUAUAGUUGAAUGCUGCACUGUUCCUUAUCCUCAAAUUCCCUUAGCUUUUGUCUCAGCUCUGGCUGAGGCCACCAGCAAUCGAACUUGUUUAAGCUCUUUACGCACCAGAGCUGUUCAUGCAUUUUUUUCAAGUAAGGACAAGGGUUGAUAAUCAAGCAUUCUAGUUUUGGCAUGGCUCCAAUCCCCAUAGUCCACUCCUCUAGGCAUAGCAUUGAUUUCAGGUGCAAUACCUUGAGAUUUGGAAAACCAUGGGAGCCACAAGUUAGCUUCCUACCUGAAUAUGAAUUUUGCUUCAGUUUGAGCACUUGAAGAAGUGGCAGCUUUUCUAGUGCGGGCAUGGGAUCCUCCAUAAGUUCAGUAUUAGAUAAACUCAAGUGGGUUAGUGUUGGAGGAAAAUGGGAUUCAACAAGGACAAUUUUAGAGAAAGCUGGCAUCUUGCUUUCGUUCACCAACUUCAAUGAUUCGAGGCAGCUUAAUCUGCAAAGACUACCCAUGUGAGCCAACUACCCAUGUUGCGAAGAUGAGCGACUUUUAAGAGGAAUAAAACUGUCUGCCUCUUGAGGGGUAUUUAAGAAAACAGUGUACACCAGAAGAAGGAAUGAAAAAAGAAAAUUAAUCUUCCAUCGUAGAGAAGGAGAGAAAAUUUAUAUUAUUUCAUCUUUUUUUCUUAUUCUGCUUUAGUUAUUUCCUUUAUAGUCAACUAUCUAAUUUACUCCAAAUCUAACUUAAGCAUCAAAGGGUUCUCGCCAGAUCCCCCACAGGCGAGUUGUGACCGGUUUCUGUAGCUUUCAAGUUGCAGAUUUAAAGUCCAUAUCAACAUUCAAAUUUUGUUCGUACUAGUUUUCCACCAAAAACAAAUUCAGCUGUUGAAGUCCUUUUUCAGCAUCAACAUCUUGGACAUUCUUAAGAUAGCAAAAUCAAUAAACUCAACAUUAUGUUACUGGCUAAAGAGUGAAGAAACCAUAAGAAUCCAAUGACAACCAAAGCAGAAGGAUCAAUUUUAAUACAAAAGGGAAUUCCUCUGCUGCAAACGAGGGCUUUGAUGUGAUUGUAAAGAAUUGAGAGUGAGCAGCAGUACAUCCUCUCGCCAUCAACUUCAUUGCACUGCAUUACAAGGCAAAUGUGAAAACGAUCACAACUGCUCUUUAUUCUCUUAGUGCAAUUGGGCUGCUAAUCAACCAAUAGAGAAAGAACUAAAUUUUAAAUAUUAAAUCUUAAAUCUUUAUUCGCUACAACUAAAUUUUAAAUCUUCCACUUUCAGAACUUUACUCGUUAAAUCUCCUCUUCAAUUCUACCUAGUCCUUACUGGAUCCUUAAAGUCACCAAGGAUUAGUGAUGGUUUUUUAUUUUACGAGGGCUGUUGGACAACCCAGAUUGACAAGGGCUAAAAUCUCCAUAUAUUUGGAGGCUAUGAAGAUUAGACAAUAUGCCCCAGUUUCUUUUUGUUGUGUUUAAUCCUCUGUUAGUACCAAGAUCACACACUUAAGACCCUCUUUGACGUAUCAAGAAUCAUUCCCAGAAAACCAAACUCAAAAUUGAAUCAAAGUGCCUACAUCCACUGAAGAACAAGGACCAUUUCACAAUCAUUCCAAGAAUAUAAAACUUUUUCUCUUUAAGUCUCUCUCUUUCUAUGGCUUUGAUGAGACAUGUGAAGAUGACCCAACAACCAUUUCACAAUCAGUUUUAAGAUGAUGAGAUGUGAUCACAGCACAAACAUUUUUCGUCUAACUGAAGUAAUGAGAUUGAACUGUACCACUAUUCAAAAACUAGAAAAAAGAUAAAAUAAAAUAAAAAACAAUAACAUAUAUGCAACUUGAAUGUUGACAAAUUGAAUACACACCGGUGAAUGUGAAAUAGAAAGUAAAACAAUUAAUCAAACUUUUGUACAAAAUAUUAAUCCGAAUAUGACAUAAUCCUUGAAAACAAAGAAACCAAACAAUUUCAGUGAAGACUGGAUUCUUAUUGAAAUUGAAACUUUGGCUGCAGUACAGUUAAGAUAUUUUCCGCUUUGCUUUGACCUACACAUUCAAGUAAUUGAAUAUCUUAUUUUUCAGUUUUUCUUGAUUAUUUCAACAACCAAUACAUAAGGGUUCUACCUCUUCUAUAAAUAAGGGAUUAAUGAUUAGUGUCAGUAUCAGGGAAUAUAAUGGACACUUCCAAGUCUUUGUUGUGAAAAAAAUUAGAAGCAACCACAAUUAGAAUGUAGAAAACACUUUAUGGUAUCAUUAUUAUUUAGGCUGCUACGUACUAUCAAAUCAAUCAUAGAGACUAGAUGUUUACGUGAAAUUAGAUAAAUAAUUAGAGGUUGAAGUUAUUGGAUAAAAAGGAAAAAAACUUACAUCAAAUUCGAUCCAUGCUAAUCAAAUUCCAUAUGGGUAUAGCUGAAUGCCAUACUGCUCCUUAUCCUCGAAUUCCCAUAGCUGUUGUCUCAGCUUGGGCUCAGGCCACCACAACUCCAAUUUGUUUAAGCUCUUUAGGCACCAAAGCUGUUCAGGAAUCCUUUUCAAGUGAGCACAAGGGUUGAUGAUCACGCAUUCUAGUUUCGGCAUGGCUUUAAUCCCCAUAGUCCAUUCCUCUAACCAUAGCAUAGAUUUAAGGUGCAGCACCUUGAGUUUUGGAAAGCCAUCAGAGCUACAAGCCAGCUUUCUACCUAAAUACUUCAGUUUGAGCACCUGAAGAACCGGCAGCUUUUCUAGUGCCGGCAUGGGAUCAUCAAUUAGCUCAAUAUUCGAAAAACUCAAGUGGGUUAGACUUGGAGGAAAUUGGUAUUCAGCAAGGAUGGUAUUGGAUCGCCGUGGCAUCUUGCUUUCAUUCGCCAACUUCAAUGACUCGAGGCAGCUCAAUCUACAGAGACUUUUGGACAACAAAGAUUGAUAAUAACUUAAAUCUCCCCAUAUCCGGAGAUUUUGAAGAUUAGGUAGUCUGCCCAAUAUCUCUUCAGUAGAGCAGCAAGGAUGCAAGGCUAAAAUGAAAUUGAGAUUUUAUAGAGAGCCACAAUAUUUUCCUGGAUGUGCAGGAAGUGUGAUCGCUCCAAAAUUUAGAUACCUCAGUUUGCUCAUCUUCCAAAAUUCAUCUGCUGUAUGAUCUAUGUAGCUAAAGGGCAUCUCUAGGGUGUACAGGUUCAAAAGACUGCUUAAGAACGAUGAAGGCAGGCUUUUGAGGGAGGGGAUAAUACUCUGAGAAAUUUGAACAUUUUACAGAUUUUCUUGCAAUAAGUGGGGUCAAGGUAUUGGCUUCCUGAAGUGAGGUACAACAAAGAAUGGAGGAACGAGUCAAAAUCAUCUAAAAAUGUAAAAUGAUUCAAUUUUCCGUGAGCGGUGAAGCGUUUCACAUUUUCCCGUAAUCUAACUUCCUGAUCCAUGAUUGGGGAAAUGAUAAAUUCCCCCUUGAAAGCCACAGUCAACAAUGCAGGACUGCAACUCCCAGGAAUAGAGCUUGUGUUGAUUCUGCUUAUAUCACUUCUCUUCCCUGCAUCAACAAAGGCUCCAUUGAUUAGUUGUUCCAAGUACUUCUCAGUAAUUGCCUCGUUGUUGUCUGGAAUGAAACCUUCAGCUAUCCACAACUGAUAUAAUUGCUUGGUUCAUAUCUCAAAGUGUACGCGAAACACAGAUAAGUAGAGACAACAAAGUUUCAAGUAAAAAGGUAACAUACAAUAUGCAACGACUUGAAGCCCUCGGGGUUCAUCAAGUGCUUCCUCUAUAUUUUCUUUCAGUGAGAUGCUUCCAUGAUAUAAGAUGUGGAAAGGCCAUCCUUGGUAUGUAACUCUCAAUGGUCCUCCAGUGGGCACAAAAUCAAGCCCAAUGUUCUCUCCAUUUUCGAACUGAAAUGAGGUGACGAUCUCAAUUUGACUGAGUGUUAUCAAUACUCUACUUCCAAUCUGAUUAUCGGGAAGUAUUCUCGAAUAACAUCCCAUACUGAUAUUCUCCACACAUUAUCAAGCACAAUCAAAUACCGCUUGGUCAUUACAUAUUCAUGAAGAAUAAUUUUUUUCAUUUCCGAACUUUCUUUCAUAAUUUCACUUAACCUACGUGAAGGCAUCACAAACUUAAUAAUGUCGUAUAAUAUUUGGUCAGCAUCAUAUAGUAAAGACUCUUCAACCCAAGCGUGACAAUCAAAAUAAUGCUUCACAUAGUUGCUGCUGUAAGCCUCUGCGGCGAAAGCCGUCUUGUCCAAUCCAAUGCUAUCAAGUACGGCCACUACCGAAAGUUGAGGCGGUCCCUCUAUCAAUAGAUCUAAUAACUCCUCCAUUCUAUUAUCUAGACCCACCGUGUCCCUAUCCUUAAAAGAUGAGGAUGCAGGAAAAUUACCGGCUUUUGCUUCAAUCGAUUUGAGCCCAUCAAUGAUUCCGGAGUGGAUGUGCUGAACUUGCUGCAUCCGUUGUUUUAUAUCAAUGAUNNNNAUUUUGUCAAUGAUAGCCUUAAAAUCUUCUAAUUCUGCAAGAGUUUGACCCUCUUUUGCAUUGACUUGCCACAUAAACCAAGCAGUGUUGUAUCCACAGUCCCUCAGCCAAGAAGCAAUGAUUUCAGUCUCAGUGUAAAGGUUCUGAAUAGGUUGUUUAGCAGCAUCGGGCACUGUGAAUUCUUCACCAGCUGGCACCCUUCUCAGUCUCUCUGAAAAUAGUCCAAGGUUGAUGUCCAUAUCUCCUUCACUCUCAGUAGUCAGUAGCCAGCAGCUCUAGCAUGCAAAGAAAAUAAUUAUAAAAAAAAAAGUUAAAAGCUCUCCUUUUACUUCAACAUUAGUCAACAUAAUCAACUGAGGAUGGCACCAAUACCUCAUUCUAUUAAGAAGUUGAAUCAAGUUCAGGUGGUUGUCAAAGUAGAAUAGAUCAAGGCAGAGCAGUACUGGAAAAUGAAUCUUAAAACUAAAUGCUGCAGGUGCCGUGGGGAUACUGAUUGAUAAGAGGAAUUAUAUUGAGAAAUUAUUGAUGUACAAUAAUGAUUUUCUGCACAAAAUCUGAGGUAUAAUGUAUGUGUACAUAAAAUAUUCUUUAUGCAAGAAGAUAAAAGGGUGUCUUAUAAUUUGUGUUUUAUAUAUAUGUGUAUGAAGAAAGUAAAAUAGGCUAUCAAGACUAGUUUCUUUUUUGCCCUAUCAAAAGACUGAAAGAUUAAAAAUAAUUCCACUGGGACCAUAAAACUUGUCUAGAGAGAAAAAGCAUCACCUUAGAAUCUGAUUCAUGUUAAGAAAUUGAGUUUUCUCCCAAGAUCACUACAAAUAAUUUGUCAAGAAAUAAAUUAACAGAAAAAAUUAAACGGAGAAUACAUCAGUCACACAUCACAAGAUUUACAUGGAAAACUCUAAAUCCGGAAGAAAACCACGGCUGUUGUCAAAAGACAACCAGAGAAAAAAAUAUUCAUUAUGUAGAAAAUUAUUACAACCACACUCUCAGAAAUAAUUUCUCUCACCCAAGCCCCAAAUACAUGAUCCCGAAAAAUAUUCUUUAACAAAACAAACCCGUAAUACCCAUAUUGAGGAGCCAAAUACUCCUAUUGAAUGCUCUUAAUUGGAUACAAAAGUGAGGAGGAGAACCCUCCUAUUUAUAGGCAAAAACUUGCAUAAUUAUGCCCACCAAUUUUGAUCAAAAUUGGUGGCUUAGCCAUCAAAUUUGAUGAACAAAUUUUGGUCAACAAAUUUGGUGGUUAAGCCACCAAAUUUGAAGCCACCUUUCUUUUUUUUAAAUCAAUUUUCAACAAUUCAUUGAUGCAUCUAAUGCAUAAUAGUUGCUAUUGUUAGAGAUUUUCUUUUCAAGCGCUCUACAGACUACAACAGAAUACGUUAUAGUUUGAAUCGUUAGAUGAUCAUUCCAAUAGGGCUAAAGGUGUUCAUGGAUUAGAUUCAGAUAUAUAUGAUUCCAUCUGAUUUGGAUUUGGAUGUUGCCAUAUAUAUCCGAUUGGAUAAAAUUUGUGCAUCUGAUGGAUUGGAUCCACUUUAAUUUAAACAAUUUGAUUGGGAUUGCACUACUAUAUAUAUAUAUAGGAAAAUGCUUAACGUCGGGAAGGCUGAGAGAACCCUGAGAGAAACGGCAGCUUGUGCUACCGUUUCCCGCAUGUUCUCUUAGCCCCACCCCCACUUUACUUUAAGCAUUUCCUCUUUUGUUUUUUAUAUUAUUUUAUCUCUCUUUUAUUUUUUUCUUCUUUUAUCUUCUUCUUCUUCUCUUUUUUCUUUCUCUCUCUUUUGCAAUUUCUUCGUUACUUAUCUCCAUCAUCAAUUUCAUCUUCUUCAUCAACAACAUCAUCAUCACAAUUAUCUUUAAAAUUCUAGUUAUACAAUCCAAGAGGGGGGUGAAUUGGAAUUCUAAAAAUUAUUCAAUUUAUAAAGAAAAACUUAAUGCAAAUAUAAACCAAAUUCAAAGUAAUAACAAAUAAGUUGAUCACAAUAUAAAAAGAUAAGGGAAGAGAGAUUCAAACACAGAGAUUUUUACGUGGUUCGACCAACCUCGCCUACGUCCACGCCUCCAAGCUUUCCGGGCUUGAGGAUUCCACUAAGCAAGCAUCCAAGGCUUCAAAUGCUUACACUUGACUUCCAACAUGUCAAUAACCUUUACAACAAGAGAUUAUCCCAAUCUCUUUAAUCCAAGUGUAUCCCAACACUUACAAUCACUCAAAAUAAAAGAUUACAAAUUUGUUUUGCCUCUCACAAUAUUUAAGAUUACAAAAUGAUGCCCAAUAUGUGAAUAGAUGAAGCAAGAAUGUGUUCAAAGCUCUAUGAAGAUUGUAUUCUCGAGUAUAAGCUCAAUAGUCGUGUUGUGAUCAGAUUUGUUUGAAUUUGAAUGAGCUUAUUUAUAGUUGGAGCUGAAAAAACUAGCCGUUACAAACUGUCUGCCCGAAAACGGUUCGCCGUUAAGCAUUAACGGUUAACCGUUUAGGCUGGUCAAAAGUUACCGUUGGGCCAAAUUUCAAAUAAAUGGUUUGCCAUUUAGGAUUACUCUUUCGCCGUUAAAUUUCAGAGACCUGCAAGAUAAACACCAGUUAUCCGUUUACAUUAAACGGUUAAGGAUUUGCAUGAAGUGACUUCUCUGGAUAUUAUCGGUUAACCGUUUGUAAUAAACGGUUCGCCGUUUGUUUUCAGUUACCUGCAAAAUAAUUUAGCCUUAUCCGGUUUUAUUAAACGGUGCCAGAAGAGUGCAACCUUCAAUUCUGGAUUUUAUCGGUUAACCGUUUAAAUAAACGGUUCACCGUUAAAUUUCAAUAGCCUUCCCAGCUUUUUGUGUUUUCCGUUUUUCUUAAUCGGUUAGAGCUUAGGCAAUAUGUUGCUCUCUGGUUUUAAUCGGUUAACCGUUUGAAAGAAAACGGUUCACCGUUUAUUUCCAGAAUCACAUUUUAAACCAGAUUUUGCAGAGAAUCAUUUUCUAAUUUGAAAGACCAUCUUUUAUGAAUAUGAUUAGAAUGAUUAUAAGGCUUUCGUUUAUUAAGGAAUAGCUUCAACAUUUUAAUAAAAAAUCAUUUAAAGUUUGUUAUCAUCAAAAUCAAUAUUAUUAACAUAUUCAUGUUAACAAUCUCCCCCUUUUUGAUGAUGACAAACUUUAUUCAAUAUUUUGCUCCCCCUUAAUAUAUGCUCCCCCUAAAUGUAUGGCCAAAUUAAGAAAUGUCCAAUAAAAAGACUUUUGCUCGAGAAAAUAUUUUUAAAUUCAUUUUAAAUCUCCUCAUAAUUAUCUCCCCCUUCAUCAUCAAAAAGAAAAGAGAGAAAGGAAAAUCGCAAAUCCGUUAAAGAAGUUACCCGAUUUUGGCGAGUGAAAAUUUUGGCAGAGUUUCCCCUUAAAAUGGAUCAAAACCACUAAUACAAAAUGAGAUUAAAACACUUACAAAAUAUAUUAACAACAACUCCAUCAUUCAACAAACCAACAACGCCAUGAACAAACAAACCAACAACUCCAUUAACCAAUAAACCAACAAUUUCAUCAACCAAUAUCAAGUCAUCCAACAUCAAGAACAUCAUAAAAACAUGUCAUCAAAAUCCAUAAAGAGCAUAUAGAGGUAGCAAUGUAUAUAAAAAUAUAAAUGGCAACACGCAAACAACCAAAAUAUGAAAUGUAUGUGCGAAAAUAGAAUUCAGAAACUAUGGAGGUGGAGAAGAUGUGCUCCCCGGAUCAUAGCCAAAAUAGUGGAGAAGAGUGUGCUGUCCAGCGAUAAGCUCAUGCUACUGAUCAAUGCUCUGCUACUGGAAGGUCUGAAAGUCAGAACGUAACUGCUGGUGGUCACGGGAAAAAGUGUCCAACCGAUCAAGAAUCAGCUGCUGGCGCUCCGAAAUUCGGUGAACAUCAGCAAUCAACUGCUGCACAACAUCUGAAGCAUGGGGCUGAACUAGAGCUGGAGGUGGUUCAGAGGCAGAUGGGUGCUCAGGAACAUCAGAUGGCUCAGGAGCAGGAGGCUGCUUGGGAGCUAGAGGCGGCUCGGAAGAGGAGGGAAUAUCAGCACCCAUCGCACGCUCCUCAGAGUCAGAGUCAGCUGAAGGCCAAGGGACAAAACGGCGAUGAGGAGGAUGAGGAUGAGCUCCUAAUCUAAAAUCUGGAAGCUUAUUGGGAGGAUAGACAUCGUUGAGCAUCCGAUCGUCCUCUGGAGCAAUCAAGGUAUCCCGGUUUUUGGAGUUGUUUGUCUUUAUCCACUCACCAUUCUUCCUAGUAAAACCGAUACUAGUCAUGGCCUCAGGACCAAUCCCUCUAGUCUCCAUAUAAGUGGUAUCAAGAAGAGGCACCUCAAAGCGUCGUAGUAUCUUAGUAAUGAUACUGCCAUAUGGAAGCAAGUGGUGGUUAACUGCGGGAGUACUCAACAUGUGCCGCACAAUAACAUAGCCGAGGUUAAUGGGACGGCUUGAAAUGAGACUAUCUAAUAGGCCAACGUCCAACCUCGUAACCUCAUCCGAGUGAACCUUCCUAGGUGUCACUAUGUGCUGUAAAAUAGUGUGAAGAAUGCGAACUUGGAGAGGUAAAAGUUGAGACCGAAAAGGUAGAAGACAGAUCUCAUCAGACAAGUCUCGACGACGACAAAUAUUACGGACUCCAUCAGUAUGAUAAAAACUGUAAAAAAAAAGGGCUUUCCUAGAGGUGUAAAUAUCAUGACCCUCACUAGAGAUACCAAGAAAGUCAGCUAGGUCCGCAUCAUCAAAUUCAAUAGGCACAUCGCCGACUUGAGUAACUAUCCUAUUUAGGCGAGUUGCGAAGAUUUCCAUGUUCGAAUAAAAGACUCGUACUAAGUUGGGAUAAACUCGGUCAUCAAAGUCAAUGGCAGACUCCCAAGGCUGAAGCAUAUCCCUAAUACUUCUACCACAUACAACUAAGGUACUGAAAUCAUCUAUUUCAACAUAAGAAGAGUCAAGUACCUUUCGACCAUUGAAGCGAUUCUCGAACCGCUUGGCCAAGGAAGGCAUGGGGAAAUGAAUUAUUGCGAAUUCAGAGACUUCCCGUAGUGGUAUAGGGUUCCUUGGAGGCACAGAUUUUCGCCUGAGAUUUCUCCGAGGGGGUGCAGCCAUGGUGAAGCACAAAGGAGUUUGAAAAUUACUGGAGAGAUGUGAUGAGAAGAAGAUGAAUCGAUUAUUUGCUUAGGAAUGAGUAAAUGAUGUGAUUUUGAUGCUUAAUUUGGCUGAAGAAGGGGAAGAAUCGGGUUAAAAAGGAAGAAACCCGAGCGGCCGCAGUUAGGGUUUAGAUUUGGGAUUUUUCAAUUUUGGGCUUGAUUUGAGGAUUUGAAUCGGUGAAAGUGUUCUAAAGGUGAUAAGAAAUGAUGUUAUAGGUUUGAUUUGACAAGAAAAACAAGAAAAAUGAAGGUUUGAGGGGAGAGGAGGAUUCGGCUGUGCAACAAUGGCCGAAACGGUGAAGGGGCAACUGGAGAAGGAGAAGAAAAAACCUUUGAACAGUUUUAUAAUCACGAAAAUGGUUAACCGUUUAUUUAAACGGUUAAGGGGUAACUUCCAGAGGCUAAAGAAUGGGAAACGGUUAAAGGUUAAACUCUUAACGGCUGAGGAGUAACUGCUAGCGAGCUCUCUGAUUUUAAACGGUUUACCGAUUGCAACAAACGGUAAAAGGGUUAAAAGGCAGUCAACUUAAUCGAGUUUUUGGAAUAAAAUGGUACACCGUUUAUUGGAAACGGUUAGCCGUUUAUUUUAUCAAUAAUUUCGCACAUUUGAUUUAAUUUUUUGCCAGCAAAUAAUACAUUCCAAGAUCAUUUAAUUGAUCUAAAAAUGUUUCAUGAGCCAUUUUAAUGCAUGAUUCAUGAACAUGUAUUGAAGCAAUUAAUUCAUAUAAUCAAUCAAGAAUUAACAAAGCAAGCACAUCAUUUGAAUAUCAAGCUUAAGCAUUUAAAUCAUCAAUUCACCAAGAAGUCAAUCAAUUCAAUACACUCAGUAGCAUGAAUAGUAACGUUAAUGUGAAAAUUUCAUCAUUCCAAGUUCAUGCUGAAUCUUUGAAAAUUGUUCUUCACCAAGAGGUUUGGUAAAAAUAUCCCCCUUUUGAACAUGAUCUCUCAAGAAAUGAUGUCUUAUUUCUAUAUGCUUGGUUCGAGAGUGUUGAAUAAGAUUCUUUGAAAGAUUUAUAGCAUUAGUAUUAUCACACUUAAUAGGAAUUUGUUCUAGGUUAAUACCAUAGUCUCUAAGUGUUUGUUUCAUUCAAAGAGCUUAUGCACAAUAACUUCCUGCAGCUAUAUAUUCGGCCUCUGUAGUUGAGAGUACAACAGAAUUUUGUUUCUUGCUAAACCAUGAAACAAGUGAGUGACCUAGGAUAUAGCAUGUUCCACUAGUGCUUUUCCUAUCAACGUUAUAACUGGCAAAAUCCGCAUCCGAAUAACAUGUUAAAUCUAUAUGAGUUCCCCUAGGAUACCAAAGGCCAAUAUCUACGGUUCCACUCAAAUAACGGAAAAUUCUUUUAAUAGCAAGCAAAUGAGAUUCCUUGGGACAAGAUUGAAAUCUUGCGUACAAGCAUACACUAAACAUGAUAUCGGGUCUACUUGCAGUUAAAUAAAGUAAAAAUCCGAUCAUACCUCGAUAUAUUUUUAUAUCUACUUCCUUGCCUUUUUCAUCUUUGUCAAGUUUGGUUAUUGUGCUCAUUGGAGUGUUUUUGGUCUUUGAGUCAUCAAUGCUGAAUCUUUUGAGUAGAUCUUUUACAUACUUGGCUUGAUUUAUGAAAAUUCCUUUCUCAUUUUGUUUUAUUUGCAGCCCAAGGAAGUACUUCAACUCUCCCAUUAUACUCAUUUCAAAUUCAUUACUCAUGUAAGAUGAAAAUUCUUUACACAACAAUUCAUUAUUAGAACCAAAAAUAAUAUCAUCAACAUAAAUUUGAACAACAAGUAUGUCUUUUUCCUUAUGUUUGACAAAUAAAAUAGUAUCCGCUUUACCCAUUGAAAAAUCAUUUUCUAAUAAGAAAUUCUUAAGUCUAUCAUACCAUGCUCUAGGUGCUUGUUUUAAGCCAUACAAAGCUUUAAAUUACUUAUAAACAUGAUUUGAAAAUCUUUCAUUUUCAAAACCAGGGGGUUGUUUUACAUACACUUCUUCCAUUAUAAAACCAUUCAAAAAGGCACUUGUCACAUCCAUUUAAAAUAAAAUAAAAUCUUUAUGACAUGCAAAUGCCAACAAUAUUCUAAUUGAUUCUAGUCUAGCUACGGGUGCAAAUAUUUCAUCAAAAUCAAUUCCUUCUUCUUGGUUGUAACCUUGAGCCACUAAUCUAUCUUUAUUCCUUACAACCACACUGGAUUCAUCCAUCUUAUUUCUAAAUAUCCAUUUAGUACCUAUGACGGAUUGAUGUUCCGGUUUAGGAACUAAUUCCCAUACAUUGUUUCUUUCAAAUUGAUUUAACUCCUCUUGCAUUGCCAUAAUCCAAGAUCAUCAUUUUCCGCAUCCGCAAAGGAUUUGGGUUCAAUUUGAGAAAUAAAUGCAUUAUGCUCACAAGUAUUUCUAAGAGAUGAUCUAGUUGUAACACCUCGUGAGGGAUCUCCUAAAAUUACAUCCUUAGGGUGAGAAGAAACAUACCUCCACUCCUUGGGAAGUGAUUGAGAUGCACUUUCAUUGUGUUCUACAUUCAUUUCUUCAUGUUGCUCAUCUUGAUUCCCAUGAGACGUAUCCUUUUGGUUAUCUUUUGAUGAUUCUUUUUUUAAGUCUUCAUCUACAUCAUUAUCAACAACAACUUUCUCCGUAGAUGAGGGGUUAGACUCAUCAAAAGUAACAUGCAUAGAUUCUUCUACAACUAAUGUAUUUUUGUUAUAAACUCUAUAAGCUUUGCUUGAGUUUGAAUAUCCAAGAAAAAUACCAACAUUAGAUUUUGGAUCAAAUUUGCCAAGAUUGUCUUUUGUGUUCAAAAUAAAACAUUUGCAUCCAAACACUUUGAAAUAACCAAUGUUGGGUUUUCUAUGUUUCUAAAGCUCAUAUGGAGUUUUGUUAAGGUUAAGUCUAAUCAACACACGAUUUAAAACAUAACAAGCGGUGUUGACGGCCUCGGCCCAAAAAUACUUAGGCAAUGAAUUUUCAUUCAACAUAGUCCUAGCCAUUUCUUGAAUGGAUCUAUUCUUUCUCUCAACAACUCCAUUUUGUUGUGGAGUUCUAGGUGAUAAAAAUUGAUGCUCAAUGCCAAAAUCAUUACAAAAAAUCUCAAAUGCAUGAUUUUCAAACUCUCCUCCAUGAUCACUCCUAAUGCAUGCAAUACCAUACCCUUUUUCAUUUUGUAUUUUCUUACAAAGCACUUUAAAGGUAUCAAGAGCAUCAUCUUUAUUGGCUAAGAAUAAUACCCAUGUAUAUCUAGAAUAAUCAUCCACUAUCACAAAUGCAUAAUAUUUGUAAUUUAAACUAGCAUAUCUAGAGGGUCCAAAUAAAUCUAUGUGAAGAAGUUGAAGUGGUUUUGAAGUAGAAAUACGAUUUUUAUUUUUGAAAGAUGUUUUGAUUUGUUUUUCAAAUUGACAAGCUUCACAAAUCUUAUCUUUUUGAAAACCAAUUUUUGAAAGACCUUUAACUAAAUCAUUUUUCAAAAUUUUUGAAAUCAAAUCCAUACUUGCAUUUCCUAACCUUCUCUGCCAUAACCAACUAUCAUCAUGCAAUGCCGAAAAACAUUUAUCAAGAGUAGAUGCACAUUCUAUGUCAAUGAUAUAAACAUUACCACAUCUAUUCCCACUUUUCAGUCAUGUGCCUUGAACAACCAUUGUCCAAGUAUCAUUUAUUUUUCUUCUUCUUUAAGCCCUACAAGAAAAAUCUCAAGUUUUAGGUACCCAAAGCUUUUUUGGUCCUUGAGAGUUAGCAACGGUUCCUUUUGGAACCCAAAUACAUUUGACACCAUAAUAUGCAUUCCUUUUCACGGGACAUCUAUAUUUCAUGUGACCAUUUUGAUUACAAUAAUGGCAAACAAUCUUAUGAUCACGUGUGGAGGUAGCUUUAACAAAAUAAUUCUUAUAAUACUUUUGCUUCAAGUUAGGCUUAUACCCAAGUCCUCCUUUAUCAAAAACACAUUUUUGUGAGUUAAGCAUAUUAUCCAACAUCUUUUGCCCAUUUGUAAAUUUCAAAACAAUUUCAUUCAAUUCAUUACUCUUUUUCUUGAGCAUUUCGUUCUCAUUUUUCAACUCAUCUAUGUGUGAUUCUAAAUGCUCAUGUGAGAUGCUAGGUUUCUCAUUUGAUAAUGCAAUUUCAUCAUGCAAUGUUUUGUUCUCUAUUUCUAGGCAUGCAAUUCUUGCAUUUAGAGAUUCAUUUUCAUUUUUAAGCUUUGCCAUUUCCUUUUUAAGACAUACAUUCUUUUUACCAAUCUUCAUCAACUCAUUAUGCAAUUCUUUAAAAGCAUCAUACAAUUCAUCAUUGGUGGGAUCACUUACCUCAUUGAGAUCAUCAUCCCCUCUUAUUGCCAUAAGCACUAGGUUUGAUACUUCUUGCAAUCCUUCUUCAUCACUUGAAUCUUCCUCGCUAUCAUCCCAAGUUGCAACCAAUGCUUUCUUCUUGAGUUUUUUGAUAAGUGGGCACUCCGAUCUUAUAUGGCCAUGCUUCUUGCAUUAAUAGCAUGUGAUUACCUCUUUCUUCUCCCUUUGGUUCUUGAAGUUUCUGAAAUUUCUUCGCUCUACGGUUUUCUUGAAGAAUUUUCUGAACCUGCUUGCUAGCAUGGCUAGCUCUUCAUCAUCCGGUUCACUCUCCCCAUCACUCUCAUAUUUUGAAGAUUUGAGAGUAAUGCUUUUCUUCUUCUCCUCAUGCCCUUUUUCUGCUGCCAAAUCUUCUUCAUAUGAAAUGAGAGAACCAAUUAAAUCAUCGAGGGCUAAAGUAUUUAAAUCUUUGGCCUCUUCAAUAGCGGUUCUUUUUGGUCUCCAUUCUUUUGGAAGUGACCUAAUGAUUUUCUUAACUUUUUUGCUAUUUGAGAAGGUCUUUCCUAAGGCUCUUAGGGUGUUUACUAUGUCCGUAAAUCUCGUAUACACAGAGUACACACUCUCAUUUUAUUCCAUUUGGAAUAACUCAUGUUGUCGAGUGUACCUACUAAUUUUUGACUCUUUCACUUGAUUUGUGCUUCAAGUUUGUGCUAAAUUUCAUUGGCACUUUCACAACUAGAUACUCGAUGAAAUUCUUUUUUAUCAAGUGCACAAAAUAAAGCAUUCAUAGCUUUGGAAUUUAGAGAAGCUUUUCUCUUUUCCAAUUCAUUCCAUUCCGUUGAAGGUUUUGGAAUAUCUUCCCCGAAUUCAUUUUUAGUUAGGGGCAAAAACAGACCAUCGCGUACAACUUCCCAAAUUUCAUAAUCUAAAGCUUGCAAAUAGAUUCUCAUUCUAGUUUUCCAAUAUGCAUAGUCAUUACCGUCAAAGAACGGUGGUCUAGUUGUGGAUUGCCCUUCUCUAAAGGUUGAGUCAUUUAGGGUUGCCAUAGAUCUUUUACUCUAGACGAUUAAGUCCUAAUAAGAGAACAAGGCUCUGAUACCAAAUGAAAUUCUAGUUAUACAACCCAAGAGGGGGGGGUGAAUUGGAAUUCUAAAAAUUAUUCAAUUUAUAAAGAAAAACUUAAUGCAAAUAUAAACCAAAUUCAAAGCAAUAACAAAGAAGUUGAUCACAAUAUAAAAAGAUAAGGGAAGAGAGAUUCAAACACAGAGAUUUUUACGUGGUUCGACCAACCUCGCCUACGUCCACGCCUCCAAGCUUUCCGGGCUUGAGGAUUCCACUAAGCAAGCAUCCAAGGCUUCAAAUGCUUACACUUGACUUCCAACAUGUCAAUAACCUUUACAACAAGAGAUUAUCCCAAUCUCUUUAAUCCAAGUGUAUCCCAACACUUACAAUCACUCAAAAUAAAAGAUUACAAAUUUGUUUUGCCUCUCACAAUAUUUAAGAUUACAAAAUGAUGCCCAAUAUGUGAAUAGAUGAAGCAAGAAUGUGGUCAAAGCUCUAUGAAGAUUGUAUUCUCUAGUAUAAGCUCAAUAGUCGUGUUGUGAUCAGAUUUGUUUGAAUUUGAAUGAGCUUAUUUAUAGUUGGAGCUGAAAAAACUAGCCGUUACAAACUGUUUGCCCGAAAACAGUUCGCCGUUAACCAUUAACGGUUAACCAUUUAGGCUGGUCAAAAGUUACCGUUGGGCCAAAUUUCAAAUAAACGGUUUGCCGUUUAGGAUUACCCUUUCGCUGUUAAAUUCCAGAGACCUGCAAGAUGAACAUCAGUUAUCCGUUUACAUUAAACGGUUAAGGAUUUGCAUGAAGUGACCUCUCUGGAUAUUAUCGGUUAACCGUUUGUAAUAAACGGUUCGCCGUUUGUUUCCAGUAACCUGCAAAACAAUUUAGCCUUAUCCGGUUUUGUUAAAUGGUGCCAGAAGAGUAUAACCUUCAAUUCUGGAUUUUAUCGUUUAACCGUUUAAAUAAACGGUUCAUCGUUAAAUUCCAGUAGCCUUCCCAGCUUUUUGUGUUUUCCAUUUUUCUUAAUCGGUUAGAGCUUAGGCAAUAUGUUGCUCUAUGUUUUUAAUCGAUUAACCAUUUGAAAGAAAACGGUUCACCGUUUAUUUCCAGAAUCACAUUUUAAACCAGAUUUUGCAGAGAAUCAUUUUUUAAUUUGAAAGACCAUCUUUUAUGAAUAUGAUUGGAAUGAUUAUAAGGCUUUCGUUUAUUAAGGGAUAGCUCCAACAUUUUAAUAAAAAACCAUUUAAAGUUUGUUAUCAUCAAAAUCAAUAUUAUUAACAUAUUCAUGUUAACAAUCUUCUUUUUCCUCCUGUUAGUUUUGUUUCUUCUUCUCCAUCAACAUCAAAAUUUGGUUUCAUCUUCUUGUAUAAUUAAAAGGCAAGCACCCCUUUGACUUGGAAUCAAAAAAUCGAAAUCAAUACAGGUGUUGUUCUUCAUUUUUUUGGGUUUUUUAGAACAAAAAAUAGGGGAAAUACACUUGGAAUAAUGGAGAGACCGGACGAAGUGACGAACCGGACUGGUGGUGUCUGUCGUGAUGAGCUGAAGAGAAAGAGGUGGUUGUCGGUAACGAUGCCAUUGAUGAGAGAGAGUGCCGAUGAAAUUGAGGGAAGGGAGAAGAUACAGUAGUUUCUGGUGCUGGAGAGAUGAGUUGACUGCAACAAAAGGCUGACUGCAGCAAAUGUUAUGUUAAAAAGAAAAGAGAAAGUAACGUGGGAGGUGGGGCCAAGAGAACACGCGCGAAGCGGCAGCACAAGCUGUCGUUUCUCUUAGGGUUCUCUCAGCUUUCCCGACGUUUAGCACUACUCGUAUACUGCUGUACGGCCAAGGCGGAUGUACGGUACAGCAGCCCUUUCAAAUUUUUGUCUGAAAUAUUUAUCAGAUCCGAUUUAUUUUAAAUCCGAUCGAUUGUAUUUGAGAUUCAGGUUGGAUUCGAAUGAUUUUUUUUCCUAAUCCAAACAAUUCAAAAUCCAAUCGCACUUAUCCAAAUCUAAAGUGCAAUAUUCAUCUCUUUUUCAUAUAUCCUUUGCUAAAUGAAAGUAAUCAUGAUGUCGGGCCCUUCUUUAAAAAAAUAAUAAAAAUCUUCAAUUUAUAUGCAACUCCUUUCUCAUUAUUACUCUUCUUUGUGUUCGACUAUUGUAGUGCUUUUUCUUCUGAGAUAAACUUUAUAGUCCCUAGUGUGAUUGUUUUUACCUUUUCUUUCUUGAAAGUGGAUAAAACAAAUUGAUCUUUGAUUGAUACUUGAUGAUGUCCUAUUUUCUUUUUAUUUUCAUAUUUCUUUUUUCUAACAUAUUGGGGUACGCAAUUGAAAUAGAGGUUCAUUUGUCACAACAGUCCACGCUAAUAUAGACUAUCAAGUUGUGACAGGAAUUAGUCCAUUUGUGCAGCCACAUGACAACAUUUAAAGUCGUCCCACUGCAAGCAAAUAAAAUUAGGUGCCACGGAUUUAAUGGGACAAUCAAUAAAAUUAUGUCCACUGUUUUUUAUUUACUCAUAGUUUAUAAUUAAGUUUUAGAAUAAAUAUGUGACUAGAUUUUAUUUGACAAAGAAAUUGCGUACACUCGUAUGCAACUGUGACAUCUAACUAUCUCUACCAUUUCCAAACCAGAACUUCUAUGUCAUGUUUAAAACACGAGCAAGGAAUUUUAAGUUGGAGAAAGACUUUAGGUAGAAUAGAGACACAAUAUAUGAAAAAGUAAAUGUAUGCGUUAUGAGAUUUUCGAAGACAAGCAUAUUUGUUGACUCGGUAGUUACAUCGAAGUCUUACUCUUCGAGUUAAGUCAACGGUGCAAAAUUCAUGGAAUCUGCAUUUAAUUGUCUGGCUAAUGGGUUCUCAAAUUGCAAAUGAAAGAUAAAAAGCUUUGGUUACACACACACACCCAAAAAGAGAAAAAAAAAUGCCGCCACUGGGCUAGAUACUGUUUAGGAAAUGAAAUAUGGUGACUAAGAUAAAGGUGUUUGCUCAUACAUUAUCGUGCUCUCCUCAAAGUAAAAGUGAGCAAAUGGUUGAGCAGAUCACCUCGACCAGGAUGUUGUUUGGUGACCUCGAGCACAUCACCUCGACCAGGAUGUUAUUGGUCACCUCGAGCCGAUCAUCUCGACCAGGAUGUUAUUGGUCACCUCGACCAGAAUAAUAUGUGGUGACCUCGAGCACAUCACCUCGACCAGGAUAUUAGUGCUCACCUCGACCAGAAUAAUAUGUGGUGACCUCGAGCACAUCACCUCAACCAGGAUGUUAUUGGUCAACUCGACCAGAAUAAUAUGUGGUGACCUCGAGCACAUUUUCUCGACUAGGAUGUUAUUGGUCACCUCGACUAGGAAGUUACCAGGAAGCACGAUUCAGUCAAAACAUUUUCUCCGAAAUAUUAGGGACCAUAUUCUUAGUGGGCUGAAAAUUAGUAAAAAUUAGUAGUUUUCUUGAGAAUUCUAGGGGAGAGGAUAAAAACCGCUAUAGUUUCCUAUAAAAACCCUAGGAAGGGGAAGGAAAAAAGGGAUUCUUCUAGCUCUCUCUCUCUCUCUAGGCAACUGAAUCCAUUGGACCUUUUUCUCUCUCUACCACUGGAAAAUUUCUCUUUCGCUUAGGAUUUUUUUAAGAUUAAUUAUUCUCAGUUAUUUUCCUUUAAAUUUACUUAAAAGCUUUUUUGUUUAAAGCAAUCAUAAUUAAUUCACAUGAAUUGUGGUAUGGAUUUUUCCAAGUAAGACCCAAAUCGCUGACUUGAGCAUCGGAGGGUUCUUGCCAGAAAAACUUUCGGCACUUUCUGACUGUUGGUUGUGCUCACAGGCUCACAGGUUAUCUGCUCAUGAGUUCUCUGCUCAUGGAUCGUCUGCUCAUGGAUCAUCUGCUCAUGAAUUGUCUGCUCAUGGGUUGUCUGCUCAUGGAUUGUCUGCUCAUGGGUUGUCUGCUCAUGGAUCGUCUAUCCAUAGAUUAUUUGCUCAUGGAUUGUCUGCUCAUAGAAUAUCUGCUCAUAGAAAUUCUGCUCAUGGUGUUAACUAAUCAGCAGCUUCCCACCAAACAAAUUUAAUGCUGAUGCAGGGAUUUGAGAUUCGAUCCACUCAUCCGGAUUUCGGCAUCAACAGAUACAAUUAGCUGAAAUGAGGAUAUUAAAAAGAACACGUGCUCUAUUUAAUUGGUAGAGUAUUAAUGGAGCUUGUGUAAUUGUACAUUUACUGUUUUUUAAGGUUAUUUUUCAUAUAGUAGAAAGAUCAUAAAAUGUUUUUAUUGAAUUACACUCAUUUAAUGUAUGUAUGAUAUAUAUGCGUAUGAAUUAAAUAUAAAUAUAGAUAAAGGACAGUGUAUGCCAGCAAGAAAACUUUUUCUCUAGAUUGAAAAUGAUUUAAAAGAACCAUUUUUCUCCCACUAAUAUCUUCAAAAUCAUUAUUGUUAAUAACAGAACCCAAAAAAUAAUUAAAUAAUCUCUUGUUUAAUAUGUUGCAUGCUUGCAGAAAAUUGCGGAUGAUUGAACCAAUAAUUCAACCUUUACUCCAUGAGCUUUAAACUAAUAAUCUGUCAUCAGUUAUUGUCUAAAUAAAGAAAUUUAUGAAUCGGUAUAAAAUGGGGUCCCAAAUCCUGACCUACAUUGAAAAUUAGGAUAUGAAAUUUGUAACAAAUCUUAUAUAGGGUUUGUAUCUCGAUUGUUAUCUGGAUAAUUUUGCCAGCCUAGGUUCACGUAUUAACAGUUAGAGCGGGAGAUCCCAAAAAAGGGUAUCUUGAAUUUAACCAAAUUCAUUAUAAGGAUAUAUGGACCCAUUUGAUUGCCUAAGGGAUCUCGAAUGAAAUUUUCAAACAUCUCAAAUCCUGCCUUGAUUAUUAAAUUGGAAGAAAACUAGAUCUUGAAUCUCAACUCGAAUAAUAAAUCAGAAUGAGAAAUUUUUAUCAAAUCUUGUAUCAUUUAGGACGGACUCCCAAAUUCCAAUCGAGAUUUGAGGAAUUUUGUAUUAGCAACUAGAGCCGAAGAUCCCAAAAAAUAUCUUGAAAUUAACCAAAUUCACUAUAAGGUAUGAACUCAUUUGAUUGCACCCUUAAAAAGUAUUACAGAUGACACCACACAAUCAUAUUAUUAAAACAAACCAAACCACACAUAUCCAGGCUUAGCAUGUAUAUAUAAGAGCACAAAAAAUAACUUCUUUCUCGUUAUAAAGGAGAACAGAAUCAGCUAGAAGCAGGGGAAUCAAAGUACAACAGAAAAUAAAAGAAAAAAAAUGAUACACAUUCAUUUGUUCAGCAAAAACCAAUGACUAUAAGGUGAGCAUGAGGCAUCAACCUUUAAAAUUGGACAGAAUAAGCUAAUUCCUUAAAAUUCACAUGCUAAUACUAUUUAUAAUUUCUAAGUCCAAAGUUUAAAAUAAUAGGUAGUAUUUGUUCAAAACAAGCAUUUAUAAUUAUUAUUCGGAUGAUUAUUUCAAGAAUCUAAGAUAAUAACAAUCCAGUAUUCAAGUUAUUUAUGAAUGAUUAGGGCUUAAAAUCUCCAUAAAAUUGGAGAUUCUGAAGAUUAGGCAAUAUGUCCCAGUUUCUAUUUCUUGUAUUUAGUCCUCUAAUGUAUCAACAAUCAAUGCUAGAAACCCAAUCCCCGAAAUUGAAUUAAAAAAAUAUAGAAAACAUAGAGCAAAUCAACAGUAGAUUCAGCAGCGAUGAUGCCUACAUCCAAACUUCUCUUCUAAUGGAAGUGAUGCAGAAUUCCCUUAAGAUAAUUAUGACCAUUAACAUGUAUUACACAUGGUACGACCAAACCACACACGUCCACACUGAACUGGAGUUUCAAGCACAUUACGAGAAUGAAGACACACGAAUAGAAUAUACACAGUGAAUCCAAAAACUUGACAUGAUUGCUUGUAGCAGAUCCUUGAAAACAAAGAAACCCAACAAUGUCCUGCAUCAAUCCUGAGGACUCAAUAAUGUGUAGACAACAGAAGUGAAUAUUGAAAGGAUCAAGGCCGGAUUCUAGUUGAAAUUGAAACUUUUGCUGCACUACAGUUGACAAAUUUCCCGGUCUGAUUUCACCUGCGCAAGUAAUUUAAGAUCUGAAAUUAUAGUUUUUCCUCACUGUUCAACGAUCAAUACACAAGGGUUCUGAAAUUAUAGUUUUUCCUGACUGUUCAACAAUCAAUACACAAGGGAAAAUGGUCGGGGUCAACUUCAGGAUCUGUGAUGAACACUUCAUCUCUAAUGUUGAGACAAAAAUUAGAAGCAACCACAAUUAGAAAACACUUUAUAGCAUUAGGAAGCUGCGUACUAUCAAAUAUAUUGAGGAAAAGAAAAAACAUAUGUAUGAAAUUAGAUUAAUAAUUAAAGGUUGAUGAUAUUGCAUAAAAUGAAAAACUUACAUCUAAUUAAAUCCAUGCGAAUCAAAUUCCAUAAGGAUAUACUUGAUUGUCAUACUGCGCCUUAUCCUCAAAGUCUCGUAGCUUUUGUCUCAGCUUCGGCUAAGGCCUCGAAUUUGUUUAAGCUCUUUAUGCACCAAAGCUAUUCAGGAAUCUUUUUCCAGUAAGCACAAGUAUUGAGAAUCAAGCAUUCUAGUUUUGGCCUGGCUCCAAGCCUCAUGGUCCACUCCUCUAGCCAUGGCAUUGAAUUCAGGUGCACUAUCUUGAGCUUUGGGAAACCAUCAGACCUACAAGUCAGCUAUCGACCUGAAUAUGAGUUUUGCUUCAGUUUGAGCACUUGAAGAAGUGGCAACUUUUCUAGUGUUCAAGUGCAGGCAUGGGAUCAUCCAUUUGUUCAGUAUUAGAGAAACUCAAGUGGAUUAGACUUUGACGAAGUAGGUAUUUGGCACAGACGAUUUUGGAGAGCCUUGGCAUCUUGCUUUCAUUCACCAUCUUCAAUGACUAGAUGCAUGAGUUUAUUCAUCUUCCAAAAUUCAUCUACAGUGUAUGAUCUAUUUAGCUAAAGGGCAUGGCUAUGGGGUACAGAUUCAGAGAUUUCUUAAUAAUGAUGAAGCCAGGCUUUUGAGGGAAGGGAUAUUCAGCUUCAAAUAUCAAAAGAAAUAAAGUUUCAAUUUUGGAUGGAAAUUGGCUGAGAACAAGAGAUCCCAAGUCCAUUACUCAACCGAUUUUCACCCAAUCUAUGGGGUCAAGGUGGUCGCUUUCUGAAGUACAACAAAGAAUGCAGGUGCGAGUCACAAUCAUCUAAGUAAGCAAAAUCACUCUGUUUUUAAAAAACGUACACACGUUUGACAUUUUUUCGCAAUUUACCUUUUUGAUCCAGGAUAGGGGAAAAGGUAAAUUUCGCUUUGAGAGCCAUUUGCAACAAUGAAGCCCAGCAACGACUACGAAUAGGGCAUGUGUUGAUUCUACCUCCAUCGCUUCUCUUCUUUGCAUCAACAAAGACUCUAUUCAUUAGUUGUUCCAAGUACUUCUCGGCAAUUGCCUCGCUAUUGUCUGGAAUGAAACCUUCAGAUAUCCACAACUGAUAUAACUGCCUGGUGGAUGUCUCUAGGUGUACAGGAAACAUAGAUAAGUAAGGAAAACAAAGUUUCAAGCAAAAAGGUAAACAACUCUCAAUGGUCCUCUAGUAGGCACUAAAUCAAGCCAAAUAUUCUGUCCACUUUUAAACUGAAAUGAGGUGACGAUAUGAAUUUCAGUGAGUGUUAUUAGUACUCCACUUCCAUUCUGAUUAUCCGGAAGUAUUUCUUGAAUAACAUCCCACACUUCAAUGCUUCACACAUCAUCAACCACAAUCAAAUACCGCUUGAUCAUUAGAUAUUCAUGAAGAAAUUUGUUUUCAUUUCAUAAUUUUUAUCCUUUAUUACACUCAACCUAGAUGAAGGCAUUAGAAACUUAAUAAUGAUAUCUAAUAUUUGGUCAUCAUCACCAUCAUAGCUGUAAGGCUUUGGAACCUAAGCGUGACAAUUAAAAUAAUGCUUCACAUCACUGCUGCAUUAAGCCUCUGCAGCAAAAGCCACAUUGCCCAACCCAACGCUAUCAAGAUGGCCACCACUGAAAGCUGAGGUGGCCCCUCUAUUAAUAUAUCUAACAACUCCUCCAUUUUGUCUUCUAGACCCACCGUGCCCCUAUGUCCUUGUUGAGUGAUGCUGUUGAGAAUGUGUCAAUGACCUUCUCAGAUUCAUAUGUAAAGCAAUUGAUUUCUGGUGCCAAGGUCUGGGUUGUCAAUUUCAUCUUCUCCUAUUUUUUUGCAGCAGAAGCUAGGACAUAUCAUAUUCAAAGUCCCUCAGCCAAGGAGUAACGAUUUCAACCUCGGCACAAAGGUUUUGAAUAGGUUGUUUUGCAGCAUCAGGCAAUGUGACUUCUUCGCUAGCUAACGUCCUUCUCAGCCUCUCUGAAAAUAGUCUGAAGUUGAUGCCCAUAUCUCCUCAAUCCAAAAAUUAGUGCUGGCUCCCAUGCCUCCCUUCUCUUAGCUAGUACUCCACCCAAGCAGUUGAAUCAAGAUUGCUGACUCUCAAAUUAGAACAGAUCAAGGCAGAGCAGUGCGGGAAAUGAAUCUCACGAUACUCAGUCUUCCAUAUGUUGCAAAAAGAAUAAAGCAAAGAGAAAUAACUACAACAUCAUCAAGUAUCAAUCAAGACCAAUUUGUUUUAUACAUCCACUGUCAAUAAAGAAAGGGUGAAAACAAUUCCACUGGGACCAUAAAGCUUAUCUAAAAAGAAAAGAACAGAGUAAGCACAAGAGCAUUAUCAAUUAUUUAACAAUUUAAGCUGUGGAAAAAUAGAAAAUCAUGCCUGCCACUUAUUAAAGAAGCAAUAACAUAGCAACGUCAUAAAAGCAAUGGAUACAAUCAUUGCUAUAUGUUGAAAUUAACUAACUUCACAAUCUGGACAUGAACUCAUUUGAUUGCAACCAUUAAGUAGACUUAUAGAUCACAUGACACAUGAUCUUAUAAAUGGACUAAACAUAACAAAACACACAUCUCCAUGUCCAGGCUUUGGUGGCUACAUAAUUACAAAACAGCAUGUAAGUAUAUAAAUACAGAAAAAAAUUAUAAGACACAAAAUUUGUUCACAAAGUAAGAAAUUACCUCUUGUUGAUGAGUCCAGAAAUGACCGAGGUGUAGUUUUAAUUGAGCUGACGAUCUUCCUCCACAUACAUCACCAUUUUUUCUUUUUUGGACGCAAUGAGACAUGACUUGGCAUCAUUGUCAUUGAAAUACACCAGAUAUUUCUAGAAUGCCUGCGAAUCUAAUUUAUUUCCAAACACACUUGAGAAUUGGGAUUGUCAAUAAAAGAUGAACAUUGAUCAUUGAUGUGUAGGUUUCAAGUAUUUUGUGUAUGAUGCGGAGAUAAAUUAGAACUCUACAUGACCAUCUGAAGAAUUUUUUCUCAAAUGAAUCUUUUGAGUUGGAAUUUAGACAGAUUCACUAUCUAAGUAUCUUGAAGCAGUGGAGAAUACAUAUGACAAAGGUUGAAGUAACUAAUUUUAUGAGCAGGAACUGAAAUGAUUUUGGCAUGAGAUUACAACAGGUGAUUAACAUAUAUGCUUCGUCUAAGGCAGCCUCAUUUUAAGUGUUAUUUCAUCAGGUCAACAAUCUUCAGGAGAAAAAUGAAUCAAGGGCAAUAAAGGAGGUGGUUGAUGCUAGUGAUUCCUGAGUGUAGCAGCAAAAAUAAAACUAAAUUGUAGAUUUGCUGUAGUCUUACAAUAGACUCACCCUGUCCUUGUCCUUGUCCUUGUCCUUCUUCUUAUACUGAUGAAUAUGAGGCCGAUGAUAUUUCUGUGAAUAAAGAAAAUGAUAAUAGAAAUGGAACCAUUGGGCAAAUGGUACUGCUGUACCGUACAUCCGCCUUGGCCGUACAGCAGCAUCAGUAUGAUAAAAACUGUAAAAAAAAAGGGCUUUCCUAGAGGUGUAAAUAUCAUGACCCUCACUAGAGAUACCAAGAAAGUCAGCUAGGUCCGCAUCAUCAAAUUCAAUAGGCACAUCGCCGACUUGAGUAACUAUCCUAUUUAGGCGAGUUGCGAAGAUUUCCAUGUUCGAAUAAAAGACUCGUACUAAGUUGGGAUAAACUCGGUCAUCAAAGUCAAUGGCAGACUCCCAAGGCUGAAGCAUAUCCCUAAUACUUCUACCACAUACAACUAAGGUACUGAAAUCAUCUAUUUCAACAUAAGAAGAGUCAAGUACCUUUCGACCAUUGAAGCGAUUCUCGAACCGCUUGGCCAAGGAAGGCAUGGCAAAACUUAAUUAAGGCAAAUGGGUAUUCAACCACGUUGAGUUUUAUUCAACGUGGGUAUUAAUGGAUGAAUGAUUUUGGUAGAAUUAAAGUUUUUUUUUUCCGUUUUUGUUUCAUUUGUCAACUCCAUUUAAUCAAUUAAUCUCAAUGGCUAUAAGGAUCAUUUUUAAUGCAAACGGGUAUUUCUUUGCUGCAAAAGACGGCUUUGGUGUGAUUGUAAGGAAUUGAGAGUGAGCAGCACAUCCUGCGUGCCAUCAACUUCUUUGCACUACAGGCACCCUCUGCAUGCUGUGAAGGGAAAAAUGUGAAAACCAUUGCAUGCUGUGGGGCUGCUAAUCAAUCAAUAGAGAAAGAAUUCAGUAAUCAAUUCUAGCAAAGCUUCCAAAACGUGCAGCACUAUAGAUUAAAUCUUCCACUUUCAGAACUUUACUCAUUAAUCUUCUGCUCCAAAUCACCAAUGAUUAGUGCUGGUUUUUUAUUUUACAAGGGCUUAAUCUCCAUAUAUCUGAAGACUAUGAAGAUUAGGCAAUAUGCCCCAAUUUCUUUUUGUUGUGUUUAAUCCUCUGACAGUACCAAGAUCAAACACCUUAGACCAUCUUUGAUUUGAUGUAUAAAGACUCGUUCUCCGAAAUCCAAACUAAAAAUUGAAUCAAAGUGCCUAAAUCCAGUGAAGACAAGGAUACAAGCUUUCAAGCUUUCACUAUUUCACAAAUCAAGGUUACCAGGAUGUAGAGCUUGUUACAGAGAACAAGAAUAUACAACUUUCUACUUUAACUCUCUCUCUCUCUCUCUCUCUCUCUCUCCAUAGCUUUGAUGAGAUCUGAGAAGAUGACCCAUCAACCAGCCUUAUAAACUAUGAUAAGGCCAUCUCUAACAAUCCCAGAAUUUUCCUGCACUUUUUUAACUAACCCCAACUGACUUUUGACCAGCAUUCUCGCCCUUAUAAUGACUGACACGUCGGUGAAAUUCCAAAAAACCGAACAACAAUGUCGUUCUGCCAGUGUUGAGAUGAUGAGAUGAGAUCAAAGCACAAAUACUUUUCUUCUAACUGAAGUACUAAGCUUGAAGUUGAACUGUACCGCUACUUAAAAACUAGAGAAAGAAAUAAAAUAAAAAUAAAAACAUAACAUAUAUCAAUUUGAAUGUUGACAAAUUGAAUACACACCAGUGAAACUGAAAAUAGAAAGUAAAACAAUUAAUCAGACUUUUGUACAAUAUAUUAAUCUGAACAUGACAUUAUUACUUUUAGCAUGCAAAUCCUUGACAAUUUGAAUGUUGACAAAUUGAAUACACACUAACUGAAGUACUAAGCUUGAAGUUGAACUGUACCGCUACUUAAAAACUAGAGAAAGAAAUAAAAUAAAAAUAAAAACAUAACAUAUAUCAAUUUGAAUGUUGACAAAUUGAAUACACACCAGUGAAACUGAAAAUAGAAAGUAAAACAAUUAAUCAGACUUUUGUACAAUAUAUUAAUCUGAACAUGACAUUAUUACUUUUAGCAUGCAAAUCCUUGAAAACAAAGAAACCAAACAACGUGUAGACAACUCAGCAGAAGUGAACACUGAAAGGAUGAAGGCUGGAUUCUGGUUGAAAUUGAAACUUUGGCUGCAGUACAGUUAAGAUAUUUUCCGCUGUGCUUUUACCUGCACAUACAACUGAUUGAAGAUCUUAUCAUACAGUUUUUAAUGAAUGGUGUCAGCAUCAGGAACUGUGAUGGACACUUCAAGUUUAUGUUGAGACAAAAAUUAGAAGCAACCACAAUUAGAAUGUAGAAAACACUUUAUAUUAUGAUUAUAGUUUAGGCAGCUGCAUACUAUCAAAUCUUUUGUGGAGAAAAAAAAAACUUUUAUAUGAAAUUAGAUCGAUAAUUAAAGGUUGAAGUUAUUGGGGAAGAAGAAAAAACUUACAUCAAACUCAAUCAGGGCUAAUCAAAUUCCGUAAGGAUAAAUCUGAACGCCAUACUGCUCCUUAUCCUUGAAUUCCCGUAGCUUUUGUCUCAGCUCUGGCUGAGGCCACCAGCAAUCGAAUUUGUUUAAGCUCUUUAUGCACCAGAGCUAUUCAGGAACCCUUUUUAAGUAAGCACAAGGGUUGAUAAGCACGCAUUCUAGUUUUGGCAUGGCCCCAGUCCCCAUAGUCCACUCCUCUAGCCAUAGCAUUGAUUUCAUGUGCAAUACCUUAAGCCUUGGAAAACCAUCAGAACCACAAGUCAGCUUUCUACCUGAAUACGAGUUUUGCUUCAGUUUGAGCACUUGAAGAAGCGGGAGCUUUUCUAGUGUCGGCAUGGGAUCAUCCAUUAGGUUAGUAUUAGAAAAACUCAAGUGGGUUAGACUAUGAGGAAAUAGGUAUUCAGCAAGGAUGAUUUUGGAGAGCCGUGGCAUCUUGCUUUCGUUCACCAACUUCAAUGACUCGAGGCAGCUCAAUCUGCAAAUACUUUGGGACAACAAAAAUUGAUAAUAACUUAAAUCUCCCCAUAUGCAGAGAUUUCGAAGACUAGGCAGUCUGCCCAAUAUAUCUUCAGUACAGCAGCAAGGAUGCAAGGCCGAAAUGAAAUUGACAUUUUCCAGAGAGCCGCAAUAUUUUCCUGGACGUGCAGGAAGUAUGAUUGAGCCAAAAUUUAGAUGCCUGAGUUUGUUCAUCUUCCAAAACUCAUCUGCUGUAUGAUCUAUGUCGCUAAAAAGCAUAUUGAGUGUGUACAUGUUCGAAAGAUAGUUGAAAAAUGAUGAAGGAAGGCUUUUCAGGGAAGGGAUAUUCAACUUCAAAUAUCUUAAAAGAGAUAAAUUUUCAAUAUUGGACGGAUAUUGGUUGAGAACAAGGGAUCCUAAGUCUAAUACUCUGAGAAGUUUGUACAUUUCACAAAUUUUCUGCCAAUCUAUGGGGUCAAAGUGGUCGCUUUCUGAAGUGAAGUACAACAAGGAAUGCAGGUGCGGGUAAUAAUCAUCUAAGUAAGCAAAAUCGCUCUGUUGUUCUAGAGCACAGAAACGUUUGACAUUUUUUCGUGAUUCACCUUUUGCAUCCAGGGUAGGGGAAAAGACAAAUUCAGCAUUCAAAGCCACUACAAGCAAUGAAGGCCAACAACGACUACGGAUAGAGCAUGUGUUGAUUGUGCCUCCAGCUCUUCUCUUCUUUACUUCAACAAAGCCUCUAUUGAUUAGUUGUUCUAAGUACUUCUCAGCAGUUGCCUCGCUGUUGUCUGGAAUGAAACCUUCAACUAUCCACAACUGAUAUAACUGCCUGGUGGAUAUCUCUAGGUGUGCGGGAAACACAGGUAAGUAAAGACAACAAAGUUUCAAAGGAAAAGGUAACAUGCAAUGUGCGACGGAUUGAAGGAAAAGGGGCUUAUCAAUUGCUUCCCUUUUAUUUUCUUCUAAUGAGAUGCUUCCAUGGUAUAGGAUGUGGAAAGGCCAUCCUUGGUAUGUCACUCGCAAUGGUCCUCCAGUUGGCACUAAAUCAAGCUGAAUAUUCUGUCAGUUUUCGAACUGAAAUAAGAUGACGAUAUCAAUUUUAGCGAGCGUUAUUAGUACUCUAUGUUGAUGCUGAAAUCUGCUCGCCCUUUGCCCGACAAGAUUUUUACACUAACGUUCACGUUAUCAAUAAUGAAGAUAUCAAUUCCUUCUUACUUCAACGAUUGCUCCAGCCACUGAAGUUGGAGUUGUCCCUUUUUUUCUCACUAAGCCUGCGUUCACAAAAGUGGAUCAGAGACACCGGUGGUUUUGCCGGCGCAAACCCUCUGAUGCCUAAGUUAGCUAAAGGUGUUUAUGGGAAAACGGUGCAAUUAGGGUUCAAAUAAUUUCUUAGAAUUAGCUCACUCUCGGUAUUAAAAAGCGUCUGGAUACAAUUUGGCAGAGUUUUCCCUUCUCUCAUUUUUUCUUCCCUUUUCUUCAUUGAUUUCUUCUUCUUUUAUAGCCGCUGUCCCACGUUCCUGUUUAGCCUUAAUCCCUCCUUUUUCGGGUGGUGGCAGCCCCUCAUGGGACUCUAACUGCUACAUUAUGGGCAAACGUGGGAUCUCGCGUCUCCCGCAACGGUUCUGGAAAAAGCGCAACUACCGUGAUUCUGUGGGAUCGUGUUCCCACUUUUUCGGGGGAUGGGUAUCGGCUCGGUAUAUACCUCUGGUCAGUAUACUCCCCUGGUUGGUACUCGUCUCUAGUCUGCUCAUAUUUGUCCCCGUGUUCUGCUCGUACCAUUUGGCUGAGAUGAUCCAUGCCGGGGCAGAAAUAGUAGCAUGGCCGACCUGAUGCUUUUAUUUACUUAACACCAGUCCCCCAGUUUAUGGUCUUGCAAGUGAAAUGAAUUAAGAAUAGAAACUGAUAGUCAAAUGUUACCAACCCGGGGGCUUCUCAUCUGGUCUUCUAUUUACCGGGACGGACCUGAGGUACCAUUUUUCUUCUGGGGAGGUUCCGACCUGAGCAUGGGCCUUAAUGAGCAUAUCCAUUGCAUAUCUGGGCUUGCAUCUAGCCUGGCCUCUUGUAACGGUUAGUGACGUGGCAUCUCCAGACUGUUCGUAUUUGAAAUUUGAAACGACGGGCUAUUCGUCCUCGAUAUACGGUAAGUGAGCUGGCAUCUUUAUCACUUAAAUGCUUUCAUUUCCUCCUUUUCGUUUCAAAUCCCUAGACUUACAUCAUCAUCGUUUUGUUAUUCGUCUCUCCGUCGUUAACCUACCCCCUCUUUGAACUUUACUUACACUUCCCGUGUUCGGAGUAUCUACUUGCUGGGUUUUUUCUCUGUCACGGCAGCGCUAUCAGGGCCAGUUCAUUCCAGGUAUUGCUUUUAAUCUCUUCCCUGGUUGUUGUUGAUUGGGUUCUGUGUUGCCCCCUUUUGUAUCCGUAUACUUGAGUUUUCUUUGUUUUCUUUUGGGAUUCUGAUAUGUCAAAUCGGAAAAGGAAGUUAAUUGUUGAUGAGAGUGAUGAAGAAACAGGGGAUUCAGACCUUAACGUGUCAAUACCCACCGAUUUCUUAGGUCCCUCCAGUAGUGUAGGUCCUUCCCAUGGCAGGGAUAUCCUUGAAUACCCACGCCCCCUGACCAUUUCGCCUUCCCCUGAAUUAGAGCUUGUGGGGAAUAGAGGUGGACCCACAUCCAGCUCUGGUGAAGAUCACAGUUAUGGUGGGGUUGGGGUCCCUGAAGAAGUGGGUGAUGGCGAGAGAAGCAGUUCCGAGCCGAGCGGACCCUCUAGGAAAAGGAACUUUGGCCACAUAGUGGAGGCAGAUUCUUACCCUAUUGAUUUCAUAGCUUGUGCCACCACCCCCACUGAUCUAUUAAAGCUUAGGAACCUCUACAACAUUCCUGAGGAGGUUCUCCUUGUAGUUCCUGGGAAAGGUGAUGUACCUAGUCGGCCUCCGAAGGGGUACGUGACGAUGCACUUGGAGAGUUUCAGACUAGGAGCUCGGCUGCCCCUUCAACGUUAUUUUGCCAAGAUAUUGGGUGGUAUGCACCUGGCCCCAGGUCAGCUACACCUAAACGGGUGGAGGGUUCUCUCGGCUAUGUUUGUGCUGUGGGAGAGGUGCGGGUCGGAGGAGCCUUCCCUUGUUGAAGUGAAGCAUCUGUACCAGCUGCGAAGCAGCCCAAAGGAGGCGGGCUGGUACUACUUCAUGUCCAGUUUUGCAAAGAGGAAACCGAUCACUGGGUUUCCUUCUUCAUGUAAGAAUUGGAAGAACAAAUUCUUCUUUGCUGGAGGAAACUGGUGUCCAGCAGUCCGGUCGCUUGGUGGGGAUAUUUACCUUCCAAUGCAUUUUAUCACCCCAGGUCGUUCAUUUUUGCCUAUAUUCUUAAUCAAAAUUGCUACUUAUUGAGUUCUUUAACCUUGUUUGUUUUUUUCAGAAUCUUGGGGUUUGGUUAAGGACCUUGAAGACCGACCCUUGCUCCAGGUUGAAACUACUCUGGUGAACGCGUCUACCUGCCAAGACCUGCUGUCACUAAUAAACUUGGUCGGUUCGGGCUUAGUGGACAUUGUUGCCUGGAUGGAUAACAAUAUCCUCAGUGCAAUGAGCAGAAAGCGUGGUCGGGCUCCGAGCAGCUCCAGCAACCCUCCUCCUCCUCCGAAGAAAGUCAGUGUUAGCCCUUCUAAGGCUUCUGUUCCUGCUCUGCCCCCUCCUCCACCUAGUAAGAGUGUCGGGGAGAAAACUAUUGACAAGAGUUCUGAGGUCAGUACACGCUCUGGGGACCGAUCCUCCCCUCUUCCAGCUCGUGAUCAGGGUGACUACCUGAUCCUGUAUCAGAGGGACUAUGGGAAGUCAGUGGGACCGAAGAUGGUCCAGGACAUUGAGAGCAUGAAUCUCAAUGAAUUAGUUGGUUCUGUCCAAAGGGUCUCCUUCAAGUUGGCCACUCUAGUAUCUUGUUACAAGAAUAGGAUCACGCGCCAAGAGAGGAAGCUCCAAGCUGAGAACCAGGACUUGAAGAAGAGGGUUGAGUCUGUUGAUCGCUCGAAGGAGAAGCUGGUCGAGCUGAACGGGUAGAUUAUGGAGCUAGAGGAGAAAGUUGCGGUUGCUGAGUCCACUUCCUCCAAACUUGAGGGUGAGUUGGGUGACCUGAAGUCUGAUCUUCAGGUUACUCAAAGUGAAAGAGAUACUCUGAGGACUGCCCUUGAGGGAGAAAUCAAAUCCUUGAGUGAGCAGCUGGCUGAGGAGAAAGGUAAAUCCGCUGACGUGGACGAUCGGCUGGAUGCCGAGUAUGACUCUGGGGUUGUUUUCUCCUAUAAGUGCAUCAUGUCUGUGCUUAAGGAAGAAUAUCCCGAGCUGGACAUGAGCAAGCUGGAGGCUGGAGUAUAUGGCAGAGAUCGGCCAGGCAGAUAAAGAGUAGGGUGAGCAGGAUCAAGUGGAGGCUCCUUUAGAUGGGGUGCAGGAGGGGGAAGUUGGGGGACAUGCUUUUGAAGUGGGACAAGGGUCCGUGCCUCCUCCUCCCGGUAUUGCUGAUCUUCCACCUCCAGAGAUAGCUGAUCCUUCACUUGCUAAAGCCGUUGACCCUCCUAAUCCUUAGGUCUAUUUUUGUAUAGACUCUAGAUUUUCAUUCGUUUUGUAAACAUUUAAAUGCUUAUAAAUUUUUAGAUGUUCUUUACUGGCUUUCUUGUCUGGUUUUUGCUCAUGGAUUGUUUCUGCAAAUUAAUUUGACAAUUUAUCUGAUUUUGCUUGUUGGUUCUUUAGUGGACCGAGUAGGAAUAUGCAUCCGCUUGCCUUAGUAAAUUUUUGCAAAAUUGCCUGUUGGUCGUUUGUUGACCGAUCAAGAGCAGGCACUUACUUGCCUUAGUAGAAUUUUCGUAAAAUUGGCUGCUGGUCUUUCGUUGAUCGAGCAUAAGCAGGCACUUACUUGCCUUUGUAAAAAUUUAUUGAAAUUGCCUGCUGGUCUUCGUUGAUCGAGCAGGAAUAGGCACUUGUUUGCCUUUGUGGAAAUUUCGUAAAAUCGCCUGCUGUUCUUUCGUGGGCCGAGCAGGACCAGGCACACACUUGCCUUGGUAAGAAUUUCAUAAAUUUAGCUGUUGGUCUUUCGUUGACUGAGCAGGAGCAGACACUUACUUGCCUUAGUAGAAUUUUCAUAAAUUUAGCUGCUGGUCUUUCAUUGACCGAGCAGAAGCAGACACUUACUUGCCUUAGUAGAAGUUUCGUAAAUUUAGCUGCUGGUCUUUUCGUUGACCGAGCAGAAGCAGGCACUUGCUUACCUUAGUAGAAUUUUCAUAAAUUUAACUGCUGGUCUUUCGUUGACCGAGUAGAAGCAGACACUUACUUGCCUUAGUAGAAUUUUCGUAAAUUUAGCUGCUGGUCUUUCGUUGACCGAGCAGAAGCAGACACUUACUUGCCUUGGUAGAAUUUUUUUUUAUUGGGUUUGCUAGCAGGGGGAUUUCGUGCUGAAUUCAUCUUUAUUGAAAUUUGAAUGCAUUACAGGAACACAGAAUAUAUGUAUGUGCAACAAGCCAUCAUGCAUUUAAUAGAAAUAACUUAUGAAGACUUAGUAGAGCACUUUGCUUACUGGAAAUACUUCUUCAAGUGCUCGGCGUUCCACAACCUCUUUACGUCUCGUCCAUCUGUGUACACUAACUUAUAAGCUCCUGGUCCAGUUGCUCGUAUCACCCUGUACGGGCCUUCCCAUUUCGGGCCAAGAGCGCCAUGGUUGGGAUCCCUGGUGUUUUGGUUCACCUUCCUAAGCACCCAAUCUCCUGGUCGGAACUGCCUCACGCGUACGUUCUUGUUGUAAUAACGCGUGACCCUUUGCUGACAUUGGGCCACUUUCUGCGAGGCCCCUUCCCUUUUCUCCUCCAGCAGGUGCAGGCUCAAGAAGAUCUGCUCGCCAUUUUGCUCCUCAUUGAAGUAUUCCGUCCGAUGUAUUCGUACUCCAAUUUCUGCUGGGACUACCGCCUCAUGACCAAAAGCUAAGGCAAAUGGGGUUUCCUCUGUAGCGGUUUUGUGAGUUGUCCGGUAAGCCCACAGUACCCCUGGUAGCUCGUCAACCUAAGCUCCCUUCUUCUCUCCCAGUCUAGUCUUCAGGAGUUUCUUUAUCACUUUGUUGGCUGCUUCCACUUUUCUGUUUGCCUGGGGGUGUGCGGGGGUGCAGAACUUCAGGUCCACCCCUAGGUUCCGGCAAAAUUCUCUGAAGUUGUUGUCAAAUUGCCUUCCAUUGUCGGUGAUGAUGGUAUAAGAGAUUCCGUAUCUGCAGAUGAUAUUCUUCCAAAUAAAAUCCGUUGUCUUUCUCUCCGUGAUUUGGCUAAGGACCCCCACUUCUAUCCACUUGGUGAAAUAGUCUAUUGCUACAAUUGCAUGGGUUGCCGCUCCUCGGCCUUUCAGUAACGGACCAAUCAGGUCGAUUCUCCAUUGAGCAAAAGGCCAUGGGGAUGUCAUAGUGGUGAGCUUUUCUGGGGGUUGUGCGGGAACCUCUGAGAAGCUUUGGCAGAUUUUGCAACUCUUUGCCAUCCUUUUCGCAUCCUGGUGCAUGGUCGGCCAAAAGUAUCCUUGCCGGAGUGCCUUGAAGGCUAAAGUUCUUUCUCCUGAAUGAUUUCCACAUAUUCCUUCAUGAAUCUCCCUUAGUACAUAGUCUGCCUCCUCAUCAUCCAAACAUCGCAAAAGGGACAAGGUGAAUUCUCGGCGAUAGAGCACCCUAUCGAGCAGUGCAUACCUCGCUGCUCGGCGUUUUAACUUUCUUGCUUGCCUUUUGUCCUCCGGUAAAAUGCCAUCGCGGAUGUAUGCGAGAAUCGAGUCCAUCCAAGAUUCUUCGAUGCUUAUUCUCAUUACCUCUACUUCCUCUCCUAUACUCGGCGAGGCCCUCAUCUUUAGUGGAACUGACUUAGGUAAUUUGGGAUCUACUGUUGCAGCCAUUCUUGCCAACAUGUCUGCUCGGUAAUUUUCAUUCCAGGAUAUCUGCUUCACCUCUACCUUUUUGAAGAGUUCAACCAUUUGUUUCGCCUUCUUCAAAUAAAGCCCCAAUUUCUCUUCCCUUACUUGGAAUUGAUCACUGAGCUGAUUACAUAUUAGCUGGGAAUCUGCUUGGAUUUCUACUCUUUCUGGGCUUCGGAUUAUAACUCCUGCUCUAGAUCCCUGUUCACUACGUGACCCAUCAACCAUUACCAGCCACACCCCCUUUGGAUCCUUCUGUUCCACUAGUUGUUCCUCCUGGACCUCUUCCCCUGGUUCAACACGGUCAACCAUAAAAUCAGCCAGGGCUUGGGCCUUGAUUGCUCCUCGGGGCCUAUAGGACAGGUCGAAUUCGCUCAGCUCCAUGGACCACUUUACUAACCGCCCUGAUGCAUCUGGUUUUUGGAGCAUUUUCCGGAGAGGUUGGUCGGUCAUCACAAUUAUCGGGUGGGCCUGAAAAUAUGAUCGCAGUUUUCGUGCUGCCGUUUUUAAAGCCAGUGCCCAUUUCUCCAUCAAUGGGUACCUAGUUUCUGCGUAUACCAGGGCUUUGCUAGUGUAAUACACAGGGUGUUGCUUCCUUUCUUUUUCUCGGACUAACACUGAGCUGGUGGCCCAUUUUGAGAUUGCCAAGUAUAAAAACAGUUGGUCACCUUCUCUCGGAGUUGAUAGUAAUGGGGCGUGAGCCAGAUAUUCCUUCAGCUGCCCAAACGCUUCCUCACAUUCUGAUGUCCACUCCAUCUUUCUCCCUUUCUUUAUGGUUUCGAAAAAAGGGUGGCAUUUAUCUGUGGCCCGCGAGAUGAAUCGGUUCAAUGCUGCCAAUUUCCCUGUAAGGCUCUGCACCUCCUUAACUGUUCGUGGGGACCUCAUUUCUGUUACCGCCCGUAUUUUUUCUGAGUUGGCCUCGAACCCUUGGUGGCUCACCAGGAACCCCAAAAAUUUGCCAGAGCUGACCCCAAAUGCACAUUUCUCCGGGUUUAGCUUCAUUCCAUACUUCCUCAGUAGUUCAAAGGUCUCUUCCAAAUGUUUCACGUGAUCACUCGGUUCUUUGGACUUUGUGAUCAUAUCAUCCACAUAUAUCUCCAUAGUAUGACCGAUCAAUUGCUUGAAGAUCUUGUUCACCAACCUUUGAUAGGUGGCUCCUGUAUUUUUCAGGCCAAAAGGCAUCACCCUGUAGCAAAACAAACCCAUGUUAGUUAUAAAGGUGGUGUUUUCCUCAUCCUGCUCGUCCAUGGGUAUCUGGUUGUAUCCCGAAAAGGCAUCCAUGAAGCUGAGCAGACUGUGACCCGCUGUUGAGUCCACCAAUUGAUCUAUCUUUGGUAGGGGAAAACUGUCAUUCGGACAUGCCUUAUUAAGAUCUGUGAAAUCCACACACAUCCUCCAUUUUCCGUUGGCCUUCUUUACCAGUACUACAUUGGAAAUCCACUCUGAGUACUUGGCCUCCCUUAUAAAUCCUGCUUUCAAUAGUUUCUCCACCUCGGCAUUUAUGGCCUCGUACCUUUCCUAGUUAAAGCAUCUUCUCUUCUGCUUCACCGGCCUCGCCUCAUUCUUGAUUGCCAACUUGUGGCAAGCUACCCCGCGAUCAAUUCCUGGCAUAUCCUCGUGAGACCAGGCGAAUAUAUCUGCAUGAGACUGUAGGCACUUUACCAGCUCGCCUCUUACUGUCCCAACCAAUCCUGAACUGAUCUUAACCACUCUGCUCGGGUUGCUUUUGCUUACCGCAACUUCUUCCAGUUUCUCAACGGGUUCUUGGCGGCCCUUUUUAGACUCUCCUCGGUUAUCUAGAGAAGUAACCUGUAGUGUCUCCUUGGCCGCUGUAGCAUAACAACUCCUUGCCAUUCUCUGGUCGCCUUUUACUACACCAACCACUCCAUUUACUCUGUAUUUCAGUGCCAGAUAAUGCGUAAAUACAACGCAUUGGCUUAUCCUCAUGAAGGGUCUCCCCAGUAUCAUCUGGUAAGGGCUUCUUUCCUCUACCACGACAAAGUCCAGCAUCAUCGUUCUUUCAAACGGCUUUGUCCCCACAGUAAUUGAGAGUUCGAUGAUCCCCAUGGGAGUUAACCGUCCCCCUCCAAAUCCCUUUAAGGAUGUAUUUGUCCGUUCUAAUUUCAAGUCUGCAAUUCCCAUAUCAUCUAGGGCCGACUUAAACAGGAUGUCAACCGAGCUGCCCGUGUCUACCAGUAUUCGUCCCAAUUCUGUACCAGCCACCAUUGCCUUAAUCACCAGUGCAUCCUCAUGAGGAUAUAAGAUACCCUCUUCAUCGUCAUCUGUCCAUAUAAUGGGAACUUGCCGCACUUUUGCCUUCUUGGUUGCUGGCAAAUUGAAAAGCACCUCUUUGCUAGUCAUGGCGUAUCUCCCAUAGUUCUUCCGUGCCUUGUUCGAAUCCCCAGCCAAUGUUGGCCCUCCUGCUAUCACACGGAUAGUCGGCUGUUCACAUUCCAGGCCCCUCUCAGCUCCUUCAUCCCGCGUGUACUGUGAUUCAAUGACGGAGGACACCCCAUCUACAUAUUUAUCCAAAUAACGGUUUCUCACCAAAUCCUCCACCUGGAUCUUUAAGUCACGACAUUGGCUGAUUGUGUGACCGUGAGUGUCGUGAAAUUUGCAAAAUCUGCUCUUAUCCCGUCGGUGAGCAGGUUUUGUUAUAGGGGUUGGAGGGUACAACAGGCCUCGUCCCUCGAUUCUCUCGUACAACUCCUCCAUAGGGACUUUUAACGGGGUGUAUUGUCUAUACGCUGAGCUCUGGUCAAUUAGCUGGACUACUCGGCUAUUAUGAAUAUUGUCCCAAGCGGAUAUUGAAGGUAGCUGACCUGAUCGUCCCGUUCUGGAGUUGGCCGUGUGUAGUGCUUUGGGAGCGUUGUGAUAAGGAUGGUUAGCCAACUGCCGGAAUUCUCGUUGCCGCUCCAGGAAUGGGGGGCGCGGGGGCUGAGCCCUGUUGCGGUCUCUGAGCCAUGGGGUAAGGGCGAGACCGAGCUGAUACCGCACCCAUCAUUGAGGAUUCCCCAGCUCGCUUUCCCGACUCGCUCCCACUUGGGGUUCUCUUUUCCUUUCGUCUCAGCUCCUCCAGCUGUUCACUCUUUAUCCUUGCCGAUUUUUCCUCUUCAAUUUCAAUGUCUCUCUUUGCCUGCUCAUACCUCGCUGAGUAAUUCUGCACCAGGAGACUUCUCAGGUUAUACCAUAGCCAGCCUAUCCUCACACCCUCCUUUAAUCCGCUUAACGCCUGCGGGUGAUUGAAAGCUCCCAAAUUAAACACGGCUCGGUGGUAUCGUUUUACAAAAUCUCGAAGGGAUUCUUGUUCCUCCUGCUUCAUCCCCAUUAGUUCCAUCAUAUCAUCCUCUGGGGCCAUUGCUCCUCGGAACUGUUCGACUAACUCUUGGCACAUCUGCUCGUACCCUCUAAUACUUCCUCGUGACAGCUUGCGGUACCAUUCUCGAGUUCGUCCCUCCAGUGUCAAUGGGAACACCCUACACCUCUGAGCUGGUGUUAACCCCUGAACACCCGUCAUGUCGUUGAAACGUUCAAUAUGCACCAGUGGAUCACUUCGCCCGGAGUAUUUGAGGUCGGGGAAGCGAAAAUCUCUUGGGAUUACAAUACCCAUGAUCUCAAUUGAUAGUGGAGAUUCUUCAUCUAGCAUUAUCCUCCAGCUCGGGGGCUUUCUCUUGCCUUGUAUCUCCUCUAUCACUUGCGCUAAUCUGCGCACCUCUCCCUCCAAUUCUACAGCACGGUCAGGAUCACGCGCAGCUAUCUGAUCUCGCUCCUACUCGGCAUUUUGCAACCCCUGUCUGAGCUCUCCUUCAUCAAUACUGGCCCCUCGGCCAUCAGUUUUCGGUACCCAUCUAGGGCGAGGUUGGUCCCUCCCUUCAUCUACUCGUUCUCCUGGAACCCGACUAGUGCUUCUGUGGGGAUGCACCCCAUUAGGUUGGUCUGCCGGCGGAGGGAUUUCCUCAACUCUACGCCUCCGGAGGCUGGGUUCUGCUCCAACAUCAUCUCUUCCUACGGGGGUUUCACAAUCCUUUCUCCGCUCAUCCCUCAGCUCAUACAGUAUGGUCGCGAGAGUCUCCAUUUGUUUCUUCAUCCGCUCCAAUCGAUCUUGCAUCAUCCUCUCCCGGGCUUCAUUUGUAAUUUCCCAGAGAGUGAUUGUCUCCACAGUUUCAUUAUCCUCCCUCAAAGCAUCCUUCCUCGGCACAUCCAUGUCUAAUCGUUCGUUGCUUCUCCGGUAACUACUAAUUCAGUGGUAGCUUUUUAUCCAGCUCCCCACAGACGGCACCAAAAUGUUGAUGCUGAAAUCUGCUCGCCCUUUGCCCGACAAGAUUUUUACACCAACGUUCACGUUAUCAAUAAUAAAGAUAUCAAUUCCUUCUUGCUUCAACGAUUGCUCCAGCCACUGAAGUUGGAGUUGUCCCUCUUUUUCUCACUAAGCCUGCGUUUACAAAAGUGGAUCAGAGACGCCGGUGGUUUUGCCAGCGCAAACCCUCCGAUGCCUAAGUUACCACAAGGUGUUUACGGGAAAACGGUGCAAUUAGGGUUCAAAUAAUUGCUUAGAAUUAGCUCACUCUCGGUAUUGAAAAGCGUCUGGAUACAAUUUCGCAGAGUUUUCCCUACUUUCCUUUUUUCUUCCCUUUUCUUCAUCGAUUUCUUCUUCUUUUAUAGCCGCUGUCCCACGUUCCCAUUUAGCCUUCAUCCCUCCUUUUUCGAGUGGUGGCAGCCCCUCAUAGGACUCUAACUGCUACAUUAUGGGCAAAAGUAGGAUCUCGCGUCUCCCGCAACGGUUCUGGAAAAAGCGCAACUACCGUGAUUCUGUGGGAUCGUGUUCCCGCUUUUUCGGGGGAUGGGUAUCGGCUCGGUAUAUACCUCUGGUCAGUAUACUCCCCUGGUUGGUACUCGUCUCUAGUCUGCUCAUAUUUGUCCCCGUGUUCUGCUCGUACCAUUUGGCUGAGGUGAUCCAUGCCGGGGCGGAAAUAAUAGCAUGGCCGACCUGGUGCUUUUAUUUACUUAACACUCUACUUCCAUUCUGAUUAUCCGGGAGUAUUUCUCGAAUAAUAUCCCACACUUCAAUGCUCCACACAUCAUCAAUCACAAUCAAAUACCGCUUGGUCAUUAGAUAUUCAUGAAGAAUAAUUUUUUUCAUUUCAUAAUUUUUAUCCUUUAUUUCACUCAACCUAGAUGAAGGCAUCAGAAACUUAAUAAUGAUAUCUAAUAUUUGGUCAGCAUAGCAGGUGUAAGGCUCUUGAACCCAAGCAUGACAAUCAAAAUAAUGCUUCAUAUAGUUGCUGCUGUAAGCCUCUGCGGCGAAAGCCGUCUUGUCCAAUCCAAUGCUAUCAAGUAUGGUCACUGCGGAAAGUUGAGGUGGUCCUUCUAUCAAUAGAUCUAACAACUCCUCCAUUCUAUCAUCUAGACCCACCGUGUCCCUACUUUUAGAAGAUGAAGAUAUACCGGCUUCAGCUUCAAAAGUUUUGAUGGCAUCAAUGAUUUCGGAAUCCGUGUGCUCAAGUUGUUGCAUCCGUUGCUUAAUAUCAGUGAUUCUGCUUUGGGGUCCUUGCAGAGCAUUACAAAUGUCCUUGCUGCCGCUGCUUUGACUCUUUUGUUCACUGAUGCUGUUGAUGAAUGUGUUAAUCACCUUCUCAGAUUCAUACGUAAAGCAAUUGAUUUCAUCCAUAAUGUUCCCGAGAUCAGGGUCAUCAAUUUCAACUUCUCCUAUUUUUUGCAUCAGAAGGCAGGAGAUAUCAUCUUCAAAUUCCCUCAGCCAAGAAGUAACGAUUUCAGUCUCGGCAUGAAGGUUCUGAAUAUGUUGUUUUGCAGCAUCAAGCAACGUGACUUCUUCACCAGCUAACACCCGUCCCAGCCUCUCGGAAAAUAGCAUGAAGUUGAUGUCCAUAUCUCCUCCUCUCUCGGUACCACCCUGUAAUCAGUCCUGUAGCAUGCAAAGAAAUAGUUAAAAACAGAGAGUUGGAAAGAAACUUUGCUUUAAACCUCCCCUACCUCCGUUCUCUUAGCUAGUACUCCAUUCAAGAAAUUGAAUUGAGAUUGUUGACUCUCAAAUUAGAACAGAUCAAGGCAGAGGACUACGGUAAAUGAAUCUUACAAUACACUGUUCUCCAUAUGUUGUAAAAAGAAUAAAGCAUAAGAGAAUAAAUAGGUCUUGAUCAAGGAUCAAUCAAGACCAAUAUGUAUUAUACAUCCACUUUCAAGAAAGAAAAGGUCAAAACAAUUCCACCGGGACCAUAAGGCCUAUUUGAAAAGAAAAGAACAGAGCAAGAUCUUUAGUAAUUUAAGCUGUGGAAAAAUGCAAAAUCACGUCUACCACUUACUGGCGUGCAAAAAGUUUUAUGUAUCCACUGAAACAUUUAUUGUUGAUGAAUGAAACUGGUCUUAGGUUGACCUACACAACUCUUUCUCUCGGUACUCCAGUAGUGCAAGCAUGUUAGUUUAGUCAGUAGUUUCUCCUACACAUAAAUGAUGUUUAUUAUAGAAUUUUGAUAAUGGGUACAAUAAGAAAGUAGUUGCAAAGAAAAUAUUGGGGGUUGAUGUGAUAUCUAUUGACUUGGAGCAUAAUAAAUAAUUACAAAAUCACUAUUUGUCUUUAAUUUUCAUCAUACUCCUUAUUAAAAAAUUAUUAUGAUUACAUAGUCAGUGAUUUAUAUUCACAGAAGACAAAAGUAAUGAAUAAAUAAGCUACCACUUGCAAUUAAUAAAAUGGUAACCCUAUCUGGUAAGGUAGCCCUGUUCAUUGAAAGCAAAAGCAACAGAAUCGUUCACUGUGCUGCCACAAAAUGAUUGUCAUGGAAGGCACCAAAGUUUCCAAGUAACAGACAAAGUCGAAGUAGUUAGCACUAUGAAGCGAGGCUGAAAAUCUUGUUCCUCACGUUAAAUAAUAUUUAAUAACGACCUACUGCUAAUCAUUGUGUUUGUUAAUCUCUGCCUUAUGCCUUAGCUUUAAUAGCAUCUCCAUGUAAUCCUCCCAACCCACUACACGGGAUCAGAGUAUUAGCCAAACAUGUACAUAGAUAACUACUCUCUGUUUCAAUAACUUGUAAUCUUAUCUUAUAUCUCUUUACCGUUAUCUUGUAAUUAUCAUAUAGGCUAUGGCUUAGCUUGUAUUUAUCUUAUAGGCUAUGACUUAUCUUAUAGUGUUUGGCUUAUCAUCCAAGUAUGCUUGACUUGUAUAAAUUGUAACGUUACUCAUUGAUAAAUUAUUGAUUCAUACAAUUUCUUUACAGAGUCAGGCAAGUAUGAAGUUCAUCAAUAAUCAAAUCUCUUCUGUAAAUGAACAAAGCAUAUUGAUUGAGUGCCUAACUGUAGCAACUGGAGUGCUUAAAACCAGAGAUACCUCAGUUGCUGCCCAAUAUCACAAUCCAAUCAAUCAAGAUGCUACCAAGAAUGAACUAAUUUGAAGCUCAAUUGAAAAUGGAAUUGAAACAAGAUAAUGAUGAAAGAACAAAAAGCAAUUAAGAUCAAAUUGAAUUAAAGAAUUGAAAGAACCAACAGAGGAAAAAUCAAUUCAACGUGGUUCAACUAAUUUGCAUUAGCUUGCAUCCAUGGGAGGAAAUUUUUGAUCAGUUUUUAUAGAAAAUACAUUAAUCCCACUUAAUCCAAGACUAGAAAGCAUCACAAACAUUCUUUAUUUUUAUACACAGUCAACUCUCUGCUGAAAUGAAAUCUCUUACUUAAUGAGUACACAGCUGAAACAAAGACAACUGGAAUUACUUUUCAAAUUUGAUACACUGCUAAUAAUAAUGACAAUAUUAAAAUGUGGCAUGUGUUGAUUCUGCUGCCUCAAAGCUUCACUUGAGCUAGCCCUUAAUCUACUGAUUCACCUCACACGAUUUUUGUAACUUGAUCUAAGAAUCAAGUAUGAGUUUGAUAAAUUUCAUGAGAUAGAUAGCAUAAAUUUCAAAGUCGUUAGUUAAUUUGUUAUGAGAUAUCAUAUCACAAACAUAUUUUAUUAGUUUAAAUGAAGCUUAAUAAUUAUUCAACGAGGAUUUAAUUAGUUAAUUGUUUAAAUUUAUUCUUAAUGGAAUGCUAACAAACCAAAUUAAAUUUCUACAUUUAUUUAAUUAUAUACAUGCAUAUCUUGAUAACUAUUUUAACGUGUGAUCCAAUAUAGAACAUAAUUUAAUCUUGAAUUUUGCUCUGAAUAUUUUUAUAGUUGAUUUGUUAUAAAUUUGAACGAGGGAUUGCAAUUACUUGCUCUUUUAUAAAUAUUUUUAUACCGUAGGCAAUAGUUAUAAAGAUUGAUUAUUGAUGAACUUCACACUUGCACACAAAAUUCUAUUAUUGAAAGUCGAUGCUUACUAUAACACGGCGUUUUUCUAGCUUUUACUAGACGUGGUUUCAAUUUAUUGAACCAUUAGAGGGACACAUCAGUAGUCACAAAAGUGCCCCUGUAAAUGGCAAUCCUUGUAAUCAUUUUGCUGCCGCUCUUCAUUCCACUCCCAAGUACGCAGCCCAAACUUCAACUUUCUUUGGGAAGGUAAUGAAGCGUGACUUUGUCUCAGUAAUCUGUCUUUCAUAUUCCAUUGAAUGAGCCAAAGGAGGGAUGCUUCUAUAAUUAGUAGCAACUAUCAAUCAUAUUGAAGGAAUUUCUGCAACAGAUAAAGAAAGAAUAUCAGAGAACAAAGCUGUUAAUCAAUCAACACAUGUACAGCAGUAUUAGUAUUUCUGCCUCAUUGUAUUGCCUAAGCGGGUAUUAGGAUUUCUCCACAAGAACGUUUACUAAGACAUUCAGCCAAGUGUGAAGUUCAUCAAUAAUUAAUCUUUUCUGGAAAUAAACGGAACCUAUUGAGUGUCAGACUUGCCCAUCCUUUGAAACAGGAUUUCAGAGCAAGCAACAGAACAAAGACAGAAAAUACAUUCAACUCAACCCAAACACUAGCAAGCAUCACAAAUAGUAAUUAUUUUUUGUACACAAUUAACGAAACCAUGGCCGAAGCACAAAUCAAUGAACUAUCAACUGAAAAGCCAAAACAAAACUUCUUAUUUAUGAAUAGACAGCGGAAACAAAGAAACCAAAAAAAGUCCACCACCGUAGGAUCAGGACUUAUUUGUGUAGACAGCAAAUGUGAAGACGGAAAGGUUCUGGUUGAAAUUGAAGCUCGGGCUACAGUCAUGAUGUUUUCUUGUCAUGACCCAACCCGUCUUGCCAAUUAAGGUGUGGAUCACCCCUUAUAAACCCAACAUCGCUCCCGUGCUUUGCCGAUGUGGGAUUUGCCUAGGGUGUUACAUACACCUCCCCUUGGGGACUCAGCGUCCUCGCUGAGGUUUGCCCCACCAUCGCUUGAGAGGACAUGCGGAGCCGCUUUGAUACCAUAAUGUCAAGACCCAACCCAGACCUGGCAAGAUAUUGUCCGCUUUGGGCCUUAACAAGGCCUGCACAGAUUUGUUCUUGGGGCGCUCACACACCCCAAAACGCGUCUUGCCAAUUAAUGUGUGGAUCACCCCUUAUAAACCCAGUAUCUCUCCCGUGCUUUGUCGAUGUGGGAUUCGCCUAGGGUGUUACAUACACACCCCCUUGGGGACUCAGCGUCCUCGCCGAGGUUUGCCCCACCAUCGCUCAAGAGUACACGUGGAGCCGCUCUGAUACCAUAAUGUCAAGACCCAACCCAGACCUGGCAAGAUAUUGUCCGCUUUGGGACAAGUGGACACGCGAAGCCACUCUGAUACCAUAAUGUCAAGACCCAACCCAGACAUGGCAAGAUAUUGUUCGCUUUGGGCCUUAACAAGGCCCGCACGGAUUUGUUCUUGGGGUGUAUGGGCGUAAAGCGGACAAUAUCUUGCCAGGUCUGGGUUGGGUCUUGACAUUUUUGCUCUAAUUUCACCUACACAAGUCAUUGAAGAAAUUGUGAAAAAUAAGAAAUCUAAAUUUUUUUUUCUUAACUACUAAAACAAAUGAACAUCGAUGUAUUGAAGAGGGUUGAUGAUUGGGGUGAGCAUUAGAAACUCUAAAGGGUAUUUAAUGUUGAGGCAAAUUAGAAGAAAACAAUUUGUAUAACCAUUUUUGUAUUGAAGAAAAGGGGAAAAAAUAUAUGAAAUUGGAUAAAUAAUUAAAAUUUGAAGAAAUUGUGUAAAAUGAGAAACAUACAUCAAGUUCAAUAGGGGCUAAUCAAAUUCCGUAAGGAUAGCCACUCGGCCAAAGGCCGAGUGGUUAGAGUUGCUGCCCUCCAAGUUGGAGGGCAGCAGUUCGAACCCCCACAAAUGCAUUGUGGGGGUAUUUCCUUCCUUCAUUAAAAAUUGAGUGAAGGUAGUCUUCCUUCUUACCCAAGAGUGAGGAGUAGACAUUCCUCGAAUAUUUGUGAGGGUUAAAAUUUGGGUAGAGCUCCAUUAGCAUUGAUGUAAGUUGGUCCCAGUAAUAGUCUGAUUUAUAAAUAUCAGUUAUAACCUCAUGUAAUAUGAGUUGUAGUUUGAGCAAUAGUCUCAUGUAAUAAAAAAAAAUUCCAUAAGGAUAUAGUUGAAUGCCACACUGUUCCUUAUCCUCAAAUUCCCGUAGCUUUUGUCUCAGCUCUGGUUGAGGCCACCAGCAAUCGAACUUGUUUAAGCUCUUUAUGCACCAGAGAUGUUCAGGCAUCUUUUUCAAGUAAGCACAAGGGUUGAUAAUCAAGCAUUCUAGUUUUGGCAUGGCUGCAUUCCCCAUAGUCCAGAAGUCAGCUUUCUGUAUGAAUACGAGUUUUGCUUCAGUUUGAGCACUUGAAGAAGCGGCAACGUUUCUAGCACCGGCAUGGGAUCAUCCAUUCGGUCAGUAUUAGAAAAACUCAAGUGGGUUAGACUAUGAGGAAAUAGGUAUUCAGCAAGGACGAUUUUGGAGAGCCAUGGCAUCUUGCUUUCAUUCGCCAGCUUCAAUGACUUGAGACAGCUCAAUCUGCAGAGACUUUGAGACAGCAAAGAUUGAUCAUAACUUAAAUCUCCCCGCAUUCAGAGAUUUUGAAGAUUAAGUAGCCUGCCUAAUAUAUCUUCAAUACAGCAGCAAAUGUGCAAGGCUGAAAUGAAAUUUAGAUUUUCCAGAGAGCCACAGUAUUUUCCUGGAUGCGCAGGAAGUGUGAUUGACCCAAAAUUUAGAUGUCUGAGUUUUUUCAUCUUCCAAAAUUCAUCUACCGUAUGAUCUAUAUAGCUAAAGGGCAUGUCUAGGGUGUAGAGGUUCAGAAGAUUGCUUAAUAAUGAGGAAGACAGGCUUUUGAGGGAAGGGAUAUUCAACUUCAAAUAUCUCAAAAGAAAUAAAUUUUCAAUUCCGGAUGGAUACUAGAUGAGAACAAGAGAUUCCAAGUCCAACACUCUGAGAAGUUUGAACAUUCCACAAAUUUUCUCCCAAUCUAUGGGGUCAAUGUGGCGGCUUUCUGGAGAGCAGCACAAGAAAGAAUGCAGUUGCGAGUCAUAAUCAUCUAAGCAAGCAAAAUCACUCUGUUGUUCUAAAGUGUAGAAACGUUUGACAUUUUUUUAUGAUUUACCUUCUAUAUCCAUGAAAGGGGAAAAGAUAAAUUCCACCUUGGAAGCCACUCCUAACAAUACAGGACGGCAACGACCGGGAAUAGAGCAUGUGUUGAUUGUGCCUCCAGCUCUUCUCUUAUUUGCUUCGACAAAGCCUCUGUUGAUUAGUUGCUCUAAGUACUUCUUAGCAGUUGCCUCAUUAUUGUCUUCAAUGAAACCUUCAGCUAUCCACAGUUGAUAUACAUGCCUGGUGGAUAUCUCUAAGUGUGCGGGAAACACUGAGAAGUAGAGAAAACAAGGUUUCAAGCAAAAAGGUGACAUACAAUAUAUGAUACAUUGAAGCCCAAGGGACAUGGUCAAUACUUUGUCUAUAUUUUCUUCCAAUGAGAUGCUUCCAUGAUACAAGAUGUGGAAAGGCCAUCCUUGGUAUGUAGCUCUCAAUAGUCCUCCAGUGGGCACAAAAUCAAGCCCAAUGUUCUCUCCGUUUUCGAACUGAAAUGAGGUGACAAUCUUAAUUUGAGCGAGUGUUAUUAAUACUCUACUUCCAUUCUGAUUAUCGGGAAGUAUUUUUCGAAUAACAUCCCAUGCUGAUAUUCUCCACACAUGAUAAAAAAAUAAUCAAAUACCGCUUGGUCAUUAGAUAUUCACGAGGAAUAUUUUUUUUAUUUCAUAAUUUUUAUCCUUCAUUUCACUCAGUCUAGAUGAAGGCAUUAGAAACUUAAUAAUGAUAUCUAAUAUUCGGUGAGCAUCAUAGCUGUGAGGCUCUGGAACCCAAGCGUGACAAUCAAAAUAAUGCUUCACAUAGUUGCUGCUGUAAGCUUCUGCGACGAAAGCCGUCUUGUCCAAUCCAAUGCUAUCAAGUAUGGCCACUGCUAAAAGUUGAUGUGGUCCUUCUAUCAAUAGAUCUAACAAAUCCUCCAUUCUAUCAUCUAGACCCACCGUGUCCCUAUUCUUAGACGAUGAAGAUGCAAGAAAAUUACCGGCUUCAGCUUCAAUUGAUUUGACUUCAUCAAUGAUUCCGGAAUCGAAGUGCUGAACUUGUUGCAUCCGUUGUUUUAUAUCAAUGAUUUUGCUUUGGAGUCCUAGCAGAGCAUCACAAAUGUCCUUGCUACGCCUGCUUUGUCUCUUCUGUUGAGUAAUGCUGUUGAUGAAUGUGUCAAUGAACUUCUCAGAUUCAUAAGUAAAGCAAUUGAUUUCAUCCAUAACGGUCCCAAGAUCUGGGUUGUCAAUUUCAACUUCUCCUAUUUUUUGCAUCAAAAGGCAAGAGAUAUCAUCUUCAAAUUCACUCAGCCAAGAAGUAACGAUUUCAACCUCCGCAUGAAGGUUCUGAAUAGGUUGUUUUGCAGCAUCAGGCAACGUGACUUCUUCACCAGCUAACACCCGUCCCAGCCUCUCGGAAAAUAGUCUGAAGUUGAUGUCCAUAUCUCCUCCUCUCUCUGUGCCUAGUGGUCCUAACAUGCAAAUUGAGACAUAAUUGAGAGAGACAAUGAUUAAAAGAUUAAAAAAAUAAUAAUAAGAAAUUUCCAUGUCUCUCAAUUCAAACAUUAACUAGCAUUAAUUGUUGAUGAAACUCUACUCAGAACCCUAUGCCUGAUACCUCCUUCUCUAAUUAAUCCUGCCGAGUGUUGCCAUUCAAAAAGUUAAAUCAAGAUUGCUGACAGUCAAAUUACAAGAGAUGAAAGGCAGAGUGCCGGAAAUGAAUCUUAUAUCCUCAUGUUGAGUAUGCAUUCUCAAACCAAGAUUGUUGACUAAUCGUUACGUAAAACGAAUAGAAAGAAAAUUUUUAUAAAAUGCAAAUUAGCUUGGAAAGAUUCUACCUAGAAACCAUCAUGUGACAAAUUAAUCUCUUUCUUAACGCAUUUCUAAAUGUAACAUAAUAAAUUUCGUCCUGGAAAUGAGCAAGAUUGUGCUUGUACUCAAAAUAAGCAAGCUUUCAAUCUUUUUUUUUUUUAAUUUCCCCCUUUUUAUUUGAUUUGUGAUCAUAUGAAACGUGUGAGGAAAAACAUAACUUGUAAACAAGAAUCAAACACAAAUAAAUCAUGAACCUCACAUUCAUGAUAUAAAAAUAAUAAAAUGGAGUUAUUUUGUGGAUAAUUCAGAUAUUAAACUACCUGUUUUUUCUUAAAGUGAUCACAAACUUCAAUAUCCUGACGAUAUAUAUCUUAUUUUGAUUAAAAACAACACAAUCAAAUUAUUACAUAGAAAGAAUAUGAAAAGGAAUGCUGAAUUUUAUUCAAAUUGGGUAUUGAUAGAUGAAUGAUUUGUUAGAAUUGAAAAUGAUCGUGCAUGUGAAAGAAAAAUAAGUUCAGAGAAAAAUAAAAGAUCAAGAUUAGUUAAACUUUACUUGUAAGUAAAGGAAAAAUCUUGGUUCAAGUAAAGAAAGAGAUACCAAACUCACAAAAUGGAAAAGGAGAAAGGUUAAACAAAGACUUAGUUCAAAGAAAAGAACAUGAUGCUGAUGUCCUGUAAUCUUUUUUUUGUUUAUUAAUUUUCAUUUUUCUUCUUCCAAUUUUUGUUUUUCCAAUCCAAAAAAUGAAAGCAAUAUGCAUUUGCUAACUGGGAAAAAAGUCAUUUGUCUCAAAAUAAAAUGACAAUAUAUCAUGAUUACAAGAUGUCUUGGACAUUCUUAAGAUAGCAAAAUCAAUAAACUCAACAUUAUGUUACUGGCUAAAGAGUGGUAAGAAUCCAAUGACAACCAAAGCAGAAGGAUCAAUUUGAAUACAAAAGGGAAUUCCUCUGCUGCAAACAAGGGCUUUGAUGUGACUGUAAGGAAUUGAGUGAGCAGCAGCACAUCCUCUCGCCAUCAACUUCAUUGCACUGCAUUACAAGGCACCCUCUGGAUGCUGGAAGGGAAAAUGUGAAAACGAUUAUAGCUGCUCUUUAUUCUUUUAGUGCAAUUGGGCUGCUAAUCAACCAAUAGAGAAAGAAUUCAGUCAUCAAUUCUAACGAAGCUUCCAAAAUCUGCAACGCUACAGAUUAAAUUUUAAAUCUUCCACUUUCAGAACUUCACUCGUUAAAUCUCCUCUUCAAUUCUACCUAGUCCUUACUAGAUCCCUAAAGUCACCAAGGAUUAGUGAUGGUUUUUUAUUUUACAAGGGCUGUUGGACAACCCAGAUUGACGAGGGCUAAAAUCUCCAUAUAUUUGGAGUCUAUGAAGAUUAGACAAUAUGCCACAGUUUCUUUUUUGUUGUGUUUAAUCCUCUGUUAGUACCAAGAUCACACACCUAAGACCCUCUUUGACGUAUCAAGAAUCAUUCCGGAAACCGAAACUCAAAAUUGAAUCAAAGUGCCUACAUCCACUGAAGAACAAGGACCAUUUCACAAUCAUUCCAAGAAUAUGCAACUUUUUCUCUUUAACUCUUUCUCUUUCUAUGGCUUUGAUGAGACCUGUGAAGAUGACCCAACAACCAGCGUUAUAAACUACAAUAAAGGUUAUUUCCAACAAACCCGAAAUUUCCAUGCUCUAUUUUAACGAACCCCAACUGACUUUUGACCAGCAUUGUCGCCCUUACAUUGGACGACACGUCGGCGAAAUUCUAAAAAACCGAAUGACAAUAUCGUUCUGUCAGUUUUAAGAUAAUGAGGUGUGAUCACAGCACAAAUAUUUUUCGUUUAACUAAAGUAAUGAGAUUGAACUGUACCACUACUAAAAAACUAGAAAAAUAAAAUAAAAUAAAAAACAAUAACAUAUAUGCAACUUCAAUGUUGACAAAUUGAAUACACACCAGUGAAUGGGAAAAUAGAAAGUAAAACAAUCAAUAAAACUUUUGUACAAAUUACUAAUCCGUGAAAACAAAGAAACCAUACAAUUCUUAUCAAAAAAAAAAAAAAGAAACCACACAAUUUCAGUGAAGGCUGGAUUCUUAUUGAAAUUGAAACUUUGGCUGCAGUACAGUUAAGAUAUUUUCCGCUCUGCUUUGACCUACACAUACAAGUAAUUGCAUAUCUUAUUUUACAGUUUUUCUUGAUUAUUUCAACAACCAAUACAUAAGGGUUCUGCCUCUUCUAUUAAUAAGCGAUUAAUGAUUAGUGUCAGUAUCAGGGAAUGUGAUGGACACUUCCAAGUCUUUGUUGAGACAAAAAUUAGAUUGAAAACACUUUAUGGUAUCAUUAUUAUUUAGGCUGCUGCGUACUAUCGAAUCAAUCAUAGAGAAUAGAUGUUUACCUGAAAUUAGAUAAAUAAUUAGAGGUUGAAGUUAUUGGAUAAAAAGGAAAAAAAACUUACAUCAAAUUCGAUCCACGCUAAUCAAAUUCCAUAUGGAUAUAGCUGAAUGCCAUACUGCUCCUUAUCCUCGAAUUCCCGUAGCUGUUGUCUUAGCUCCGGCUCAGGCCACUACAACUCCAAUUUGUUUAAGCUCUUUAGGCACUAAAGCUGUUCAGGAAUCGUUUUCAAGUGAGCACAAGGGUUGAUGAUUAAGAAUUCUAGUUUCGGCAUGGCUCUAAUCCCCAUAGUCCAUUCCUCUAGCCAUAACAUUGACUUAAGGUGCAGCACCUUGAGUUUUGGAAAGCCAUCAGAGCUACAAGCCAACUAUCUACCUGAAUACGAGUUUUGCUUUAGUUUGAGCACCUGAAGAACCGCCAGCCUUUUCUAGUGCCGGCAUGGGAUCAUCCAUUAGCUCAAUAUUUGAAAAACUCAAGUGGGCUAGACUUGGAGGAAAUUUGUAACGCCACAAAUUUCCAUAAUAUUAAAUUAUGGAAAUUGGGCUUUCAUUGAUAAUUAUGGGUGGCCUAUAACCCUUAUUAAAAAAGGGAUACUAAAUUAUAAAUAGAGGUUAUUUAUGAGAUAGUUUUGAAAAAGGGUUAUUUUUCCUUAUUAAAUAGGGUUUCUUAAGAUUCCCUAUAAAUUCAUACUUUUCCUCUUCCAUAACCCUUAGUCCACGACGUUUAUUCUUCUUCUCUGCUGCUCUUUACGCUCCUACCCAAAUCCUAGGAUUCAAACCUUUGUUUAGGACAGAAUCAAAGCAACGGGUAAGUUAUUCUCCUUAUUCUCAACAGAUUUCUAAUCACUCUAUCUAGGGUUUAUAUUGGCACGAUUNNNNNNNNNNNNNNNNNNNNNNNNNNNNNNNNNNNNNNNNNNNNNNNNNNNNNNNNNNNNNNNNNNNNNNNNNNNNNNNNNNNNNNNNNNNNNNNNNNNNNNNNNNNNNNNNNNNNNNNNNNNNNNNNNNNNNNNNNNNNNNNNNNNNNNNNNNNNNNNNNNNNNNNNNNNNNNNNNNNNNNNNNNNNNNNNNNNNNNNNNNNNNNNNNNNNNNNNNNNNNNNNNNNNNNNNNNNNNNNNNNNNNNNNNNNNNNNNNNNNNNNNNNNNNNNNNNNNNNNNNNNNNNNNNNNNNNNNNNNNNNNNNNNNNNNNNNNNNNNNNNNNNNNNNNNNNNNNNNNNNNNNNNNNNNNNNNNNNNNNNNNNNNNNNNNNNNNNNNNNNNNNNNNNNNNNNNNNNNNNNNNNNNNNNNNNNNNNNNNNNNNNNNNNNNNNNNNNNNNNNNNNNNNNNNNNNNNNNNNNNNNNNNNNNNNNNNNNNNNNNNNNNNNNNNNNNNNNNNNNNNNNNNNNNNNNNNNNNNNNNNNNNNNNNNNNNNNNNNNNNNNNUGGUUUAGAUUAUGUGAAAACAGUUUCGAAUUUGCUGAGAAGUAAAUAGUUUUUAAAAUGUUUUUGAUAUCGGAUUCUCUUGUAAAUUUUACAUGGGGUACUCAUGGAUGUCCAGAAUAGUUCCAUAGAAUAUUAUAUCAUUCUGAGUUUUAGAUUAAGAGUUAAAAUUCUGAGAAUCAGACCUAUACAGAUAUGAAUUAGAAAAUCAGAUUCUUAGAAUAAGUUAUUAGUUAUCAUAUAUUGUAUUUGUUUAAGGUAUUGAAGGUGACUGAGGCUCUUAGAAGCUUAGAGGUGUGUUAAUUCAAAUUCAUUUGUCGAGGUAAGUAACUUCAUUCCUAAUGUACUGGAUAUGUAUAAGUAUUUUGAUAUUAUUAUUAUAAGUAUAAAUGUUUUGAUACUACUUAAAGGAUUACUAAUUUUGAUAACAAAAUUAGCUUUAUGUAAAUGUUUUCAAACCAUUCUUUUUAACAAAGUAUUUUAUAAAUGCUUUUUAAUAUGUAAAUGAUUUUAUGACAUGACAACCUUUUAUGAUUUUAUUUUUAAAAUGUUAUGCAAGCCUAAAUUAUUGAUAUGAACUUUUAUGAAACUGAUACGAAUGUUUUGUACCUAUGUUUGAUUUCAAUUAUUGAUGAUUGUAUGAGAUUCUUAAUGUUUUGGCUCAUUGUCCAUAGUUAUUCUGAUUCUGAUUCUGAUUCUGAUUGUAAUAUACGAUAAAAUUUUGGAGAAACAAAAUUUCAUGAUAUACCAAAUUUUAUUUUGAUUCACACCAUCUUACCAUCCACCUUAUGAAUAACACAUCAUUUAAAAAAAAUUAGGAUAAAAUAACUCGGGAUAAAAAAAGCAGAAUAACAUUUGAGAUGUCUAGUUUUUAAUUAAGUCUGUGUAUGUGUAUGCUGAAGAAAAAAAUUAUGAUCAGAAUCAGAAUUGGAUGUUCGAGCUGUGGUUUCGGUAAUGGGGUGAAUUGGCAUUUUGAUAACAAAAAAAUUAGGUUUCUUUUAAUACAAUUUUACAAAUUUUGUUUAAUCUAAAUCAAACAUAGGUACAAAACAUUCGUACCAGUUUCAUAAAAGUUCAUAUCAAUAAUUUAGGCUUGCAUAACAUUUUAAAAAUAAAAUCAUAAAAGGUUGUCAUGUCAUAAAAUCAUUUACAUAUUAAAAAGCAUUUAUAAAAUACUUUGUUAAAAAGAAUUUAGGUUUGAAAACAUUUACAUAAAACUAAUUUUGUUAUCAAAAUCAAUUAAUCCUUUAAGUAGUAUAAAAACAUUUAUACUUAUAAUAAUAAUAUCAAAAUACUUAUACAUAUCCAGUACAUUAGGAAUGAAGUUACUUACCUCGACAAAUGAAUUUGAAUUAACACACCUCUAAGNNNNNNNNNNNNNNNNNNNNNNNNNNNNNNNNNNNNNNNNNNNNNNNNNNNNNNNNNNNNNNNNNNNNNNNNNNNNNNNNNNNNNNNNNNNNNNNNNNNNNNNNNNNNNNNNNNNNNNNNNNNNNNNNNNNNNNNNNNNNNNNNNNNNNNNNNNNNNNNNNNNNNNNNNNNNNNNNNNNNNNNNNNNNNNNNNNNNNNNNNNNNNNNNNNNNNNNNNNNNNNNNNNNNNNNNNNNNNNNNNNNNNNNNNNNNNNNNNNNNNNNNNNNNNNNNNNNNNNNNNNNNNNNNNNNNNNNNNNNNNNNNNNNNNNNNNNNNNNNNNNNNNNNNNNNNNNNNNNNNNNNNNNNNNNNNNNNNNNNNNNNNNNNNNNNNNNNNNNNNNNNNNNNNNNNNNNNNNNNNNNNNNNNNNNNNNNNNNNNNNNNNNNNNNNNNNNNNNNNNNNNNNNNNNNNNNNNNNNNNNNNNNNNNNNNNNNNNNNNNNNNNNNNNNNNNNNNNNNNNNNNNNNNNNNNNNNNNNNNNNNNNNNNNNNNNNNNNNNNNNNNNNNNNNNNNNNNNNNNNNNNNNNNNNNNNNNNNNNNNNNNNNNNNNNNNNNNNNNNNNNNNNNNNNNNNNNNNNNNNNNNNNNNNNNNNNNNNNNNNNNNNNNNNNNNNNNNNNNNNNNNNNNNNNNNNNNNNNNNNNNNNNNNNNNUUCUUUGACCCCUUGUAUGGUUGAGGCAUUGAUAUGUACCGAAAAUUGGUUACAAGCUAAACUUUUUGCUAAUCCUGUCUACAACCUUCAGGAAGAUAUUAAAGCUGCUGUACCGUACAUCCGCCUUGGCCGUACAGCAGCUAUAACCCUUAUUUAGAAAGGGGUACUAAUUAAAUAGAGGUUAUUUAUGAGAUCAUUUUGGAAAAGGGCUAUUUUUCCUUAUUGAAUAGGGUUUCUUAAGAUCCCCUAUAAAUACAUACUUUUCCCCCUUCCAUAACCCUAAGUUCACAACGUUUAUCCUUCUUCUCUGCUGCUCUUUACGCUCCUACCCAAAUCUUAGGAUUCAAACCUUUGUUUAGGAGAGGCUCAAAGCGACGGGUAAGUUCACAACGUUUAUUCUGAACAGCAUGAGUAUCUCGAAUUUUUAAAGCUAUAUUUUCUGAACGAAUUUUCUUAUAAAAUUUAUAUUUCUGGAAACUAGACAUGUAGGGCUUCUUGAUUAAAUUUUAUUUCAUUAAAUUCAACUUCGUUUUCAAUUUUAUACGUAUUUUGGAAAUAGAAACCACUGCACUGGAAAUCCACGAUUCCAGUAUUGUGAUCAGAUUCACAAGACUAUUUGUACCACCAAAUGAACUCAAACAAUUCUGAAAGUUUAUAUUUAUGUUAAUAUAUGUGUCUAGGAUUCCCAGUUUUAAUUUCAUAAUUUUCUGAUUAGUAUUUUAUUUUAUAAAAAUCACGGAACCCGUUCUGUUUGGUUUAGAUUAUGUGAAAACAGUUUCGAAUUUGCUGAGAAGUAAAUAGUUUUUAAAAUAUUUUUAAUAUUGGAUUCUCUUGUAAAUUUUACAUGGGGUACUCAUGGAUGUCCAGAAUGGUUCCAUAGGAUUUUAUAUCAUUCUGAGUCUUUGAUUAAGAGUUAAAAUUCCGAGAAUCAGACCUGUACGGGUAUGAAUUAGAAAAUCAAAUUCUUAGAAUAAGUUAUUGAUUGUCAUAUCUUGUAUUUGUUUAAGGUUUUGAAGGUGUUUGAGGCUCUUAGAAGCUUAGAGGUGUGUUAAUCCAAGUUCAUUUGUCGAGGUAAGUAACUUCAUUCCUAAUGUACUGGAUAUGUAUAAGUAUUUUGAUAUUAUUAUUAUAAGUAUAAAUGUUUUUAUACUACUUAAAGGAUUAAUUGAUUUUGAUAACAAAAUUAGUUUUAUGUAAAUGUUUUCAAACCUAAAUUCUUUUUAACAAAGUAUUUUAUAAAUGCUUUUUAAUAUGUAAAUGAUUUUAUGACAUGACAACCUUUUAUGAUUUUAUUUUUAAAAUGUUAUGCAAGCCUAAAUUAUUGAUAUGAACUUUUAUGAAACUGAUACGAAUGUUUUGUACCUAUGUUUGAUUUAGAUUAAACAAAAUUUGUAAAAUUGUAUUAAAAGAAACCUAAUUUUUUUGUUAUCAAAAUGCCAAUUCACCCCAUUACCGAAACCACAGCUCGAACAUCCAAUUCUGAUUCUGAUCGUAAUUUUUUUCUUCAGCAUACACAUACACAGACUUAAUGAAAAACUAGACAUCUCAAAUGUUAUUCUGCUUUUUUUAUCCCGAGUGAUUUUAUCCUAAUUUUUUUUAAAUGAUGUGUUAUUCAUAAGGUGGAUGGUAAGAUGGUGUGAAUCAAGAUAAAAUUUGGUAUAUCAUGAAAUUUUGUUUCUCCAAAAUUUUAUCGUAUAUUACGAUCAGAAUCAGAAUCAGAAUCAGAAUAACUAUGGACAAUGAGCCAAAACAUUAAGAAUCUCAUACAAUCAUCAAUAAUUGAAAUCAAACAUAGGUACAAAACAUUCGUAUCAGUUUCAUAAAAGUUCAUAUCAAUAAUUUAGGCUUGUAUAACAUUUUAAAGAUAAAAUCAUAAAAGGUUGUCAUGUCAUAAAAUCAUUUACAUAUUAAAAACAUUUAUAAAAUACUUUGUUAAAAAGAAUUUGGGUUUGAAAACAUUUACAUAAAACUAAUUUUGUUAUCAAAAUCAAUUAAUCCUUUAAGUAGUAUAACAACAUUUAUACUUAUAAUAAUAAUAUCAAAAUACUUAUACAUAUCCAGUACAUUAGGAAUGAAGUUAUUUACCUCGACAAAUGAAUUUGAAUUAACACACCUCUAAGCUUCUAAGAGCCUCAAUCACCUUCAAUACCUUAAACAAAUACAAGAUAUGACAAUUAAUAACUUAUUAUAGGAAUCUGAUUUUCUAAUUCAUACCCGUACAGGUCUGAUUCUCAGAAUUUUAACUCUUAAUCUAAAACUCAGAAUGAUAUAAUAUUCUAUGAAACUAUUCUGGACAUCCAUGAGUACCCCAUGUAAAAUUGGUAAGAGGAUCUGACAUCAAAAACAUUUUAAAAACUAUUUGCUUCUCAGCAAAUUCGAAACUGUUUUCACAUAAUCUAAACCAAACAGAACGGGUUCUUUGAUUUUUAUAAAAUAAAAUAAUAAUCAGAAAAUUAUGAAAUUAAAACUGGGAAUCCUAAACACAUAUAUUAACCUACAUAUAAACUUUCCGAAUUUUCUGAGUUCAUUUGUGGUACAAAUAAUCUUGUGAAUCCGAUCGCAAUGCUGGAAUCGUAGUUUUCCAGUGCAGUGGUUUCUAUUUCGAAAAUACAUAUAAAAUUGAAACCGAAGUCGAAUUUAAAGAAAUAAAAUUUAUUCAAGAAGCCCUACAUGUCUAGUUUCCAGAAAUAUAAAUUUCAUAAGAAAACUCCAUAAUAAAUCAAAACCCUAAACAAAGCCUAAAUACAUUCUAAAUCAUGCAUUAUGAUCUAUAACCAUCUAGAAUCGUGCCAAUAUAAACCCUAGAUAGAGUGAUUAGAAAUCUGUUGAGAAUAAGGAGAAUAACUUACCCGUUGCUUUGAUUCUGUCCUAAACAAAGGUUUGAAUCCUAGGAUUUGGGUAGGAGCGUAAAGAGCAGCAAAGGAGAAGAAUAAACGUCAUGGACUAAGGGUUAUGGAAGAGGAAAAGUAUGAAUUUAUAGGGAAUCUUAAGAAACCCUAUUUAAUAAGGAAAAAUAACCCUUUUUCAAAACUAUCUCAUAAAUAACCUCUAUUUAUAAUUUAGUAUCCCUUUCUUAAUAAGGGUUAUAGGCCACCCAUAAUUAUCAAUGAAAGCCCAAUUUCUAUAAUUUAAUAUUAUGGAAAUUUGUGGCGUUACAGAAGGCUUUUCAGGGAAGGGAUAUUCAAGUUUAGAUAUCUCAAAAGAAAUAAAUUUUCGACUUCGGAAGGAUAUCGGAUGAGAACAAGAGAUCCCAAGUCCAAUACUCUAAGAAAGUUGAACAUUUUACAGAUUUUCUCGCAAUAAUUGGGGUCAAGGUAGUGGCUUCCUAAAGUGAGGUGCAACAAAGAAUGGAGGAACGAGUCAAAAUGAUCUAAAAAUUCAAAAUCAUUCAAAUUUCCAUGAGCGGUGAAGCGUUUCACAUUUUCUCGUAAUUUAACUUCCUGAUCCAUGAUUGGGGAAAUGACAAAUUCCCCCUCGAAAGCCCCAGUCAACAACGCAAGACUGCAACGCCCAGGAAUAGAGCACGUGUUGAUUCUGCCUCUGUCACUUUUCUUCCCUACAUCAACAAAGCCUCCAUUGAUUAGCUGUUCUAAGUAUCUCUCAGCAAUUGCUUCAUUGUUGUCUGGAAUGAAACCUUCAGCUAUCCACAACUGAUAUAAUUGCUUGGUGGAUAUCUCAAAGUAUACAAGAAACACAGAUAAGUAGAGACAACAAAGUUUCAAGUAAAAAUGUAACAUACAAUAUGCAACGACUUGAAGCCCUCGGAGUUCAUCAAGUACUUCCUUUAUAUUUUCUUUCAGUGAGAUGCUUCCAUGAUAUAAGAUGUGGAAAGGCCAUCCUUGGUAUGUAACUCUCAAUGGUCCUCCAGUGGGCACAAAUCAAGCCUAAUGUUCUCUCCAUUUUUAAACUGAAAUGAGGCGACGAUUUCAAUGUUAUAAAAAAUAAUCACAGUGAGUUAAACAAAUAAACUAGUAGCUAAUUUGACUACAGCAAAACAACAACUGAUAUAAACAACAGGAAAAAAAAUAACAACUGAAGAAAAUAAACUCGAGGCCUGUAAUACAGUGUCCUUAAAACAGAUUUACCACCUAUUGAAGUGCUUUAGGUUUACUGGUAACUGUUUCCCAGGAUACAACGGGCACGAAUUUUCUGUCAAGCACAGACAGAUAAUUCCGGCGAACUACAACAACGGUAAACUCGAUCAGAAAACAAGACAAAAGAAGGAAGAAAGAAAAAUUGUAAGUGCUCUGUGUGCUGGUUUCAGUGUGUGUAAAAACAGAAGAAGAAGGUGCCUUUUUAUACUCAUGUGGGUACGUAACAAUAGCAUAAAAAUUGAAUUUCAGAAUUCAAUAUAUGCAAUUUAAUUGCUGUAACAGCCAUUGAAUUUUAAACAAUUCAAUUCAAAAAUUGAAUUGCAGAACAACCCAAAAUAAUUGCGAAGCUAUUACAAAUCUUUUGAAUUCAAAAGGUGUGAAACUAUUACAACAAAUUUAAAAGGAAAUAAAACACGUGCCAUGCGUGCUUGGGAUGACAUUCGCGGGCGCACACAAGUUCAACCAAAUCGGUCAUGGAUUUGCCCCCCUCCCCUCGCGUACACGCGUGUGGAAAGAGUCUCUAUCCUUAAAAUUCUUGUUCAUGCAUGGUUAAAUGUUUAUAUAUAAAUACAAAUCCUUGGCUUCUUCAAUGAGGAUAACAAAGCCUCCAUUGAUUAGCUGUUCUAAGUAUUUCUCGGCAGUUGCCUCAUUGUUGUUUGGAAUGAAACCUUAGGCUAUCCACGUCUGAUAUAAUUGCUUGGUGGAUAUCUCAAAGUGUACAGGAAACACAGAUAAGUAGAGACAACAAAGUUUCAAGUAAAAAGUUAACAUACAAUAUGCAAGGACUUGAAGCCCCCGGGGUUCAUCAAGUGCUUCCUCUAUAUUUUCUUUCAGUGAGAUGCUUUCAUGAUAUAAGAUGUGGAAAGGCCAUCCUUGGUAUGUAACUCUCAAUGGUCCUCCAGUGGGCAUACUCAUCUCUGAUCGGCUCAUAUUUGUCCCCGUGUUCUGCUCGUACCAUUUGGCUGAGGUGAUCCAUGCCGGGGCGGAAAUAAUAGCAUGGCCGACCUGGUGCUUUUAUUUACUUAACACUCUACUUCCAUUCUGAUUAUCCGGGAGUAUUUCUCGAAUAAUAUCCCACACUUCAAUGCUCCACACAUCAUCAAUCACAAUCAAAUACCGCUUGGUCAUUAGAUAUUCAUGAAGAAUAAUUUUUUUCAUUUCCGAACUUUCUUCCAUAAUUUCACUCAACCUACUUGAAGGCAUCACAAACUUAAUAAUGUCGUAUAAUAUUUGGUCAGCAUCAUACAAUAAAGACUCUUCAACCCAAGCGUGACAAUCAAAAUAAUACUUCACAUAGUUGCUGCUGUAAGCCUCUACGGCAAAAGCCGUCUUGUCCAAUCCAAUGCUAUCGAGUAUGGCCACUACCGAAAGUUGAGGCGGUCCCUCUGUCAGUAGAUCUAAUAACUCCUCCAUUUUAUUAUCUAGACCCACCGUGUCCCUAUUCUUAAAAGACAAGGAUGCAGGAAAAUUACCGGCUUUUGGUUCAAACGAUUUGAGCUCAUCAACGAUUCGGGAGUGGAUGUGCUGAACUUGCUGCAUCCGUUGUUUUAUAUCAAUGAUUUUGCUUUGGAGUCCUAGCAGAGCAUCACAAAUGUCCUUGCUGCAUCUGCUUUGACUCUUCUGUAGAGUGAUGCUAAUAGCAAAUGUGUCAAUCACAUUCUCAGAUACGUAUGAAAAACAAUGAAUUUUGUCAAUGAUAGCCUUAAAAUCUUCUAAUUUUGCCAGAGUUUAACCCUCUUCUGCAUUGACUUGCUACAUAAACCAAGCAGUGUUGUAUCCAGAGUCCCUCAGCCAAGAAGCAACGAUUUCAGUCUCAGUGUAAAGGUUCUGAAUAGGUUGUUCAGCAGCAUCGGGCACCGUGAAUUCUUCAGCAGCUAGCACCCUUCUCAGUCUCUCUGAAAAUAGUCCAAGGUUGAUGUCCAUAUCUCCUUUACUCUCGGUAGUCAGUAGCCAGUAGCCCUAGCAUGCAAAGAAAAUAAUUAAAAAAAAAUUGUUAAAAGCUCUCCUUUUAAUUCAACAUUAGUCAACAUAAUCAACUGAGGAUGGCACCAAUACCUCCUUCUGUCAAGAAGUUGAAUCAAGUUCAGGUGGCUGUUGAGGCAGAACAGAUUAAGGCAGAGCAGUACUAGAAAAUGAAUCUUAAAACUAAAUGCUGUAGAUGUCGUGGGGAUACUGAUUGAUAAAGAGGGAUUAUAUUGAGAAAUUAUUGAUGUACAAUAAUGAUUUUUUGCACAAAACCUGAGGUAUAAUGUACGUGUAUAUAAAAUAUUAAUUAUGCAAGAAGAUAAAAGGGUGUCUUAUAAUUUGUGUUAUAUGUAUAUGUAUAUGUAUGAAGAAAGUAAAAUAAGCUAUCAAGACUAGUUUCUUUUUUGCCCUCUCAAAAGACUGAAAGAUUAAAAAUAAUUCCACUGGGACCAUAAAGCUUGUCUAAAGAAAAAAAGCAUCACCUUAGAAUUUGAUUCAUUGAUGCAUCUAAUGCAUAAUAGUCCCUAUUGUUUAGAUAUUUUCUUUUCAAGCGCUCUACAGACUACAACAGAAUGCGUUAUAGUUUCAAUGGUUAGAUGAUCAUUCAAUAGGGCUAAAGGUGUGCAUUGGAUUGGAUUCGAAUAGAUCUGAUUUGAAUUUGGAUGUUUUAAUCUAAACAAUCUGAUUGGAUUGAACUACUCUACAUAUAUAUAUAGAAUUCAUGAUUGUUUUGUAAAAAUUAUCAAAAAGACCUAAAUUCGAAUUCAAUCCGAAUUUAAAAUACUAUUUGAAUUUAAAUACUAAACAAUCUAAAACCAAAUUCAUCUGAAAUAUCGAUUUAUUUUGAAUCGAAUUGAUUGUAUUUGAGAUUUAGGUUGGAUUUGAAUGAUUUUUUUUUCCUAAUCCAAACAAUUCAAAAUCCAAUCGGAAUUAUCCAAAUCUAAAGUGCAAUAUUCAUCUCUUUUUCAUAUAUCCUUCGCUAAUUGAAAGCAUCAUGAUGUCGGGCCCUUCUUUAAAAAAAAAAUAAAAAUCUUCAACUUAUAUGCAACUCCUUUCUCAUUAUUAGAGCUGACAAAAUUUGACACGACCCGAUUACCCGACACGAACACGACAUAAAUAAAUGGGUAUGGGUCGUCAAAUUUAACACGAUUAUUAAAUGGGUCGAGUCCGGGUCAACACUAUUUUUUUCCGUGUCGGGUUAGGGUUAAAAUUCUUGACCCAUUUACCCGAUCAAUGAUCCGAUUAUAUUUUCUAUUUUAAAAUAAUUUACAUAUUAUUAUCAUUAAAACUCAAAUAUUAGAGAUGAUUUUUUUUUUAUUCUUUAAAAGGGUGAAUAUAAACACAGUGUUUUAUUUAUAAAAUUUUAAAUACAUUUAGAGCUUCAAUAGUGUAAAUAUGUAAAAAUUGAUAGACAUGUAUAUUUUAUAAUAUACAUAUAUAUAUAUAUAUAUACAUACAUACAUAUAUAUAUAUACAUACAUAUAUACAUACAUAUAUAUAUAUAUAUAUAUAUAUAUAUAUAAAAAUUCGUAGAUAUGUAUAUUUUAUAGUAUCGAUAAAUUAUGUAUGUAUGUAUGUGCAUACGUAUGUACUAUAGUGCAUAAAUAUUUGAUGUAACUUUUGUUCAAUAUAUAGAUAUUAAACGGGUUAUUGGGUUACCCGAUUAUUUUUCCGUGUCGGGUUUGGGUCUCAAUAUUUUGACAUGAUUAUUAAAUGGGUCGGGUUUGGGUCGACCUAAAUUUGACACGAUACGAAGCUGACAUGACACGAAUACGACCCGAUGACCCGUUUUGCCAGCUCUACUCAUUAUUACUCUUCUUUGUGUUCGACUAUUGUAGUGCUUUUUCUUUUGAGAUAAACUUUAUGGUCCCCAGUGGGAUUGCUUUUACCUUUUCUUUCCUGAAAGUGGAUAAAACAAAUUGAUCUUUGAUUGAUACUUGAUGAUGUCCUAUUUUCUUUUUAUUUUCAUAUUUAUUUUUUUUAACAUAAUGGAAGACUGGAAUAUAGAUAAAAGACAGUGUGUGCCAGCAAGAAAACUUUUUCUCAAGAUUGAAAAUGACUUAAAAAAACCAUUUUUCUCCAACUAAUAUCUUCAAAAUCAUUAUUGUAAUAACAGAACCCAAAAAAUAAUUAAAUAUUCUCUUGUUUAAUAUGUUGCAUGCUUGCAGAAAAUUGCGGAUGAUUGCACCAAUAAUUCAACCUUUACUCCGUGAGCUUUGAACUAAUAAUAUGUCAUCAGUUAUUGUCUAAAUAAAGAAAUUUAUGAAUCGGUAUAAAAUGGGGUCCUAAAUCCUGACCUACAUUGAAAAUUGGGAUAUGAAAUUUGUAACAAAUCUUAUAUAGGGUUUGUAUCUCGAUUGGUAUCUGGAUAAUUUUGCCAGCCUAGGUUCACGUAUUAACAGUUAGAGCGGGAGAUCCCAAAAAAGGGUAUCUUGAAUUUAACCAAAUUCAUUAUAAGGAUAUAUGGACCCAUUUGAUUGCCUAAGGGAUCUCGAAUGAGAUUUUCAGACAUCUCAAAUCCCGUCUUGAAUAUUAAGUUGGAAGAAAAUUAGAUCUUGAAUCUCAACUCGAAUAAUAAAUCAGAAUGAGAAACUUUUAUCAAAUCUUGUAUCAUUUAGGACGGAUUCCCAAAUUCCAAUCGAGAUUUGAGGAAUUUUGUAUUAGCAACCAAAGCCGAAGAUCCCAAAAAAUGAUAUCUUGAAAUUAACCAAAUUCACUAUAAGGUAUAAACUCAUUUGAUUGCACCCUUAAAAAGUAUUACCGAUGACACCACACAAUCAUAUUAUUAAAACAAACCAAACCACACAUAUCCAAGCUUAACAUGUAUAUAUAAGAGCACAAAAAAUAACUUCUUUCUCGUUAUAAAGGAGAACAGAAUCAGCUAGAAGCAGGGGAAUCAAUGUAUAACAGAAAAUAAAAGGGAAAAAAAAUGAUACACAUUCAUUUUUUCAGCAAAAACCAACGACUAUAAGGUGAACAUGAGGCAACAACCUCUAAAAUUGGACAGAAUCGGCUAAUACCUUAAAAUUCACAUGCUAAUACUAUUUAUAAUUUCUAUGUCAAAAAUUUAAAAUAAUCGGUAGUAUUUGUUCAAAACAAGCAUUUGUAAUCAAUAUUUUUCCUACAUUCUUAUUUGGAUUAUUAUUUAGAGAAUCUAAGAUAAUAACAAUCCAGCAUUCAAGUUAUUUAUGAAUGAUAAGGACUUGAAUCUCCAUAAAAUUGGAGAUUCUGAAGAUUAGGCAAUAUGCCCCAGUUUCUAUUUCUUUUAUUUAGUCCUCUGAUGUAUCAACAAUCAACGCUAGAAACGCAAUCCCCGAAAUUGAAUUAAAAAAAAUAUAGAAAACAUAGAGCAAAUCAACAGUAGAUUCAGCAACAAUGGUGCCUACAUCCAAACUUUUCUUCUAAUGGAAGUGAUGCAGAAUUCCCUUAAGACAAUUAUGACAAUUAACAUGUAUUACACAUGGUACGACCAAACCACACACGUCCACACUAAGUUGGAGUUUCAAGCACAUUACAAGAAUGAAGACACACGAAUAGAAUAUACACAGUGAAUCCAAAAACUUGACAUUAUUACUUGUAGCAGAUCCUUGAAAACAAAGAAACCCAACAAUGUCCUGUAUCAAUCCUGAGGACUCAAUAAUGUGUAGACAACAUAAGUGAAUACUGAAAGGAUCAAGGCCGGAUUCUGGUUGAAAUUGAAACUUUUGCUGCACUACACUUGACAUAUUUCCCGGUAUGAUUUCACCUGCGCAAGUAAUUUAAGAUCUGAAAUUAUAGUUUUUCCUGACUGUUCAACAAUCAAUACACAAGGGUUCUUCCUCUUCUAAAAAUAAUUAAGGGAAAAUGGUCGGGGUCAGCAAUAGGAACUGUGAUGAACACUUUAUGUCUAAUGUUGAGACAAGAAUUAGAAGCAACCACAAUUAGAAAACACUUUAUAGCAUUAGCAAGCUGCGUACUAUCAAAUAUAUUGAGGAGAAGAAAAAAAAAUGUAUGAAAUUAGAUUAAUAAUUAAAGGUUGAUGAUAUAGCAUAAAAUGAAAAACUUACAUCUAAUUAAAUCCAUGCAAAUCAAAUUCCAUAAGGAUAUACUUGAUUGUCAUACUGCGCCUUAUCCUCGAAGUCCCGUAGCUUUUGUCUCAGCUCCGGCUGAAGCCACCAACACUCGAAUUUGUUUAAGCUCUUUGUGCACCAGAGCUAUUCAGGAAUCUUUUUCUAAUUAGCACAAGAAUUGAGAAUCAAGCAUUCCAGUUUUGGCAUGGCUCCAAGCCUCAUAGUCCACUUCUCUAGCCAUGGCAUUGAAUUCAGGUGCACUAUCUUGAGCUUUGGGAAACCAUCACGCCCACAAGUCAGCUAUUUACCUAAAUAUGAGCUUUGCUUCAGUUUGAGCACUUGAAGAAGUGGAAACGUUUCUAGUGCAGGCAUGGGAUCAUCCAUUUGUUCAAUAUUUGAAAAACUCAAGUGGAUUAGACUUUGAGGAAGUAGGUAUUUGGCACAGACGAUUUUGAAGAGCCUUGGCAUCUUGCUUUCAUUCACCAUCUUCAAUGACUUGAGGCAUCUGAAUCUGCAAAGGCUUUGGGACAUCAAAAAUUGAUAAAAAUAUAAAUCUCCUCAUAUCCAGAGAUUUUGAGGAUUAGGUAGUCUGUUCAAUAUAUCUUCAAUACAGCAGCAAGGAUGCGUGGCUGUAAUGAAAUUGAGAUUUUCCAAAGAGCCGCAAUAUUUUCCUGGAUGUGCGGGAGGUAUGAUCGAGCCAAAAUUUAGAUGCCUGAGUUUGUUCAUCUUCCAAAAUUCAUCUGUUGUAUGAUUUAUGUAGCUAAAGGGAAUGGCUAUGGUGUAGAGAUUCAGAGAUUUCUUAAUAAUGAUAAAGCCAGGCUUUUGAGGGAAGGGAUAUUCAGCUUCAUAUCAAAAGAAAUAAAGUUUCAAUUUUGGAUGGAAAUUGGCUGAGAACAAGAGAUCCCAAGUCCAUUACUCAAAACAAUUUUCACCCAAUCUAUGGGGUCAAGGUGGUCGCUUUUUUAAGUAUAACAAAUUUUCAUCCAAUCUAUGGGGUCAAGGUGGUCGCUUUUUGAAGUACGACAAAAGAAUGCGGGUGGGAGUCACAAUCAUCUAAGUAAGCAAAAUCACUCUGUUUUUAAAAAACGUAGACAUGGUUGACAUUUUUUCGCGAUUUACCUUUCUGAUCCAGGAUAGGAUGAAAAGAUAAAUUCUGCUUUGAGAGCCGUUUGCCACAAUGAAGGCCAGCAACGACUACGAAUAGGGCAUGCGUUGAUUUUGCCUCCAUCACUUCUCUUCUUUGCAUCAACAAAGACUCUAUUCAUUAGUUGUUCCAUGUACUUCAAAAAGGUAAACAACUCUCAAUAUUAUGUCUGCUUUUGAACUGAAAUGCGAUGACAAUAUCAAUUUCAGUGAGUGUUAUUAGUACUCCACAUCCAUUCUGAUUAUCCAGAACAAUUUCUCGAAUAACAUCCCAGACUUCAAUGCUCCACACAUCAUCAACCACAAUCAAAUACCACUUGAUCAUUAGAUGUUCUUGAAUUUUUUUUUCAUUUCAUAAUUUUUAUCCUUUAUUAUACUCAACCUAGAUAAAGGCAUUAGAAACUUAAUAAUGAUAUCUAAUAUUUGGUCAUCAUCAGCGUCAUAGCUGUAAGGCUCUGGAACCCAAGCGUGACAAUUAAAAUAAUGCUUCACAUCACUGCUGCUGUAAGCCUCUGCAGCAAAAGCCACAUUGUCCAACCCAAUGCUAUCAAGAUGGCCACCACUGAAAGCUGAGGUGGUCCCUCUUUCAAAAUAUCUAACAACUUCUCCAUUCUGUCUUCUAGACCCACCAUGCCGCUAUUCUUAGAAGAUGAAGAUGCAGGAAAAUAGUCAGCUUCAUCUUCAAUACUUUUGAAAUCAUCAAUGAUUCCGGAAUCUAUGUAUUGAAGUUGUUGCAUCCGCUGUUUUAUAUCAUUGAUUCUACUCUGAAGUCCUAGCAGAGCAUCACAAAUGUCCUUGUUGCACCUGCUUUGACUCUUCUGUUGAGUGAUGCUGUUGAGAAUGUGUCAUUGACCUUCUCAGAUUCAUAGGUAAAGCAAUUGAUUUCUGCCCAAGGUCUGGGUUGUCAACUUCAUCUUCUCCUAUGUUUUGCAGCAGAAGCCAGGACAUAUCGUAUUCAUAGUCCCUUAGCCAAGGAGUAACGAUUUCAACCUCGGCAUGAAGGUUCUGAAUAGGUUGUUUUGCAGCAUCAGGCAAUGUGACUUCUUGGCCAGCUAACACCCUUCUCAGCCUCUCCGAAAAUAGUCUGAAGUUGAUGCCCAUAUCUCCUCAUUGAAAAAUUAGUGUUGGCUCCCAUUCCUCCCUUCUCUUAGCUAGUACUCCAUCCAAGAAGUUGAAUCAAGAUUGCUGACUCUCAAAUUAGAACAGAUCAAGGCAGAGCAGUGCGGGAAAUGAAUCGUACAAUACUUUGUCUUCCAUAUAUUGUAAAAAGAAUAAAGCAGGGAGAAAUAAUUACAACAUCAUCAAGUAUCAGUCAAGGCCAAUUUGUUUUAUACAUCCACUCUCAAGAAAGAAAGGGAAAAAGCAAUAAAGCUUAUCUAAAAAAAAAAAGAACAGAGUAAGCGAAAGAGCAUUAUCAAUUAUUUAACAAUUGAAGCUGUGGAAAAAUAGAAAGUCAUGUCUGCCACUUACUAAAGAAGUAAUAACAUAGCAACUUUAUAAAAGCACUGGAUACAAUCAUUGCUAUUAUGUUGAAAUUAACCAACUUCACAAUCUGGACAUGAACUCAUUUGAUUGCAACCUUUAAAUAGACUAAUGGAUCACUUGACACAUUGUCUUAUAAAUGGACUAAACAUAAUUGUGAUAAUUUUUUCCCAAACACACUUGAUCGUUGAGAUUGUCAACAAAAGAUGAACAUUGAUGAUUGACAUGUAGUUUUCAAGUAUUUAGAGUAUGACGCUGAGAUAAAUUAGAACUCUACAUGACCAUCUGAAGAAAUUUUCCUCAAAUGAAUCUUUUGAGUUGGAAUUUAGACACAUUCACUAUCAAAGUAUCUUAAAGCAGUGGAGAAUACAUAUGACAAAGGUUGAAGUAACUAAUUUUAUGAGCAGGAACUGAAAUGAUUUUGGCAUGAGAUUACAACAGAUGAUUAACAUAUAUGCUUUCUCUAAGGCAGCCUCAUUAAAAAUGUUAUUUCGUCAAGUCAACUGUCUUCAGGAGAAAAAUGAAGCAACGGUAAUAAAGUAGGUGGUUGAUGCUCGUGAUUCCUCAGUGCGGCAGCAGAAAUAAAACUAAAUUUCAGACUUGCUGUUGUCAUAGAAUAGAUUCACCCUGUCCUUGUCCUUGCCCUUGUCCCUCUUUUUAUACUGAUGAAUUUGAGGCCGACGAUAUUUCUGUGAAUAAAGAAAAUGAUAAUAGAAAUGGAACCAUUGGGCAAAUGGUAGUGUAACCUUUAGUCGACGAUGUGAGUUCACCUUUAUGUACUAUUUAAUUUCCAUUUGUUUCUUGAAACAUAUAUAUGCAAACUUUAGAACAUCAAGGGAAAAACUUGGACAAAGAUUCCAUUUCUUUAUUCACAUAAACAUAUCAACAUCAGUACAUGUCUUUUCUUCUUAUACUUCUUCAAGUUCACCGUCUCUCUUCUUAUCUUAUUUUCAACCGUUAAUAGAAAAAACAUUAGUAAUUAAGAUUUAAAGUGAUAAAACUCAAUUAAGGCAUGCAUGCAAAUUUCAGACCCCCUCUCCCAAAACCAAAAAAAAAAAAACCCACAUUGCCAACAAUUACAGUAAUUUUAGAAAUUUUAAUUAAUUGCAUUUGUAGGUAAUAAGAAUGUUAGGACCCUACUAGUUUAUUUUAUUUUAAUUGCUUGUUUUAAUUUCUUUCCUAUUAGUAUUAGGUUUUCUUAUUUCAAUUAAAGUCGUUAUUAAAUUACAAUUAGGAUUGUCUUGAACUACUAUAAAUAAGUGGUUCUUAUUAUAAUUUUAGGAGACAAGUAAUAAAAUUAAUUCUAAUUCCUAUUAAUUCUUCUCCCUUCUCUUUAAAUUCUUCAUCUAUUCUCUUUUAAUUCUCUAAUCAAAACCCUAGAAUCCUAUCAUCUGGUAUCAGAGCACAUCCUUCCUGCCACCAUUUUUUUUUUCGUUCACUAUUUGAAAAAAAAAACAGCAACCAAACUUUUGUCAAUAUCUCUUGGCUUUUGGAGACUUGAACCGGGCACACCCUCCAAACUUUUUCCAGCAUCUAAAUUUUUCAACCAAACGUGAAUUUUCUUCGAACUUUUUUUAGGCAUCAUGACUGUUAAAGAGCUUGAAGGCCAAGUUGAGCAGUUAUCACAACAAUUCCAUGACAAGUUUACAGCCAUCGAUGAAAAGGUUACAACCUUAGCCAAGCAGAAUAACGAUUUGCAGGAACUCAUGCACGGCAUCCUUCAGUAAUUGAGUUAGUUGUGAAAAGGCAAACAACCAGCUACUGAUCAACGACAAGUUGAUAUAUUUACUGGAGGGACCUCUGCUCCUCAAACGGUCAUUGCUACCCAUUCCCCUCUUGAACCUACUGAACGCAUUGGAAGUACUCUUGUGCAAGCUCGUAACAUAUGCCUUGACUUUCCUAUUUUUCAUGGUGACAAUCCAACGGGAUGGAUUUUUCGAUGUGAGCAAUAUCGUCGCCUUACUGGAUUAUCAGAUGCUGACUUAUUGUCUUUAGCUAUUGGCCAUCUUGAUGGUGAUGCGGUACCUUGGUUUCAUUGGCUAGAGCAGACUAUGGGCGAAAUGACUUGGGCGCAAUUUACACGGGCUUUGACUACUCGAUUUGGGACAUUAGAAGAGAAUGAUGCAGUUGGCAGUCUUACCAAACUAUGUCAAACAGGGACUGUUCUUGACUAUCAACGACAAUUUGAAAAGUUGGCUGAUCGGACUAGCAAUUUAACGGAGCCUUUCUUCAUUAGUUGUUUCCUCUCUGGGUUACGUGAAGAUAUCUAGGCUGGCGUACAACUAUUCAAACCUGUUAGUCUCCUACAAACUUUUGAACUUGCUAGAUUUCAGGAAAAGGCAAUUACUUUACAAGGCAAUUGUUCCCCUAUUCCUGCCAUCCAAGAUCCACUCCCACAAUUACAGUCAACUCCUACUCCACCAGCACCCUCUUUAUUAGGACUGGUUCCCUCUAUCUUACCUAAUAAUGUCAAACGUUUAUCCUCAACUGAGCAGGCGGAAAGAUGUUCUAAAGGGCUUUGUUUCAACUGUGAUGAGCAAUUCAAGCCUGGACAUCGCUGCAAACAAUCUCAACUAUUGCUUUUAGACGCUAAUAUACCUCUUCACAACCCUCAAAAACCACCUGACCAUCAUGUGGAUUGGAAGAUCUCGGUUAUUGAAACUGGGUAAAAGGCUUGCGGACAAGCCUGUUUUAAGGGGCAGUGAAUGUUAGGACCCUAAUAGUUUAUUUUAUUUUAAUUGCUUGUUUUAAUUUCUUUCCUAUUAGUAUUAGGUUUUCUUAUUUCAAUUAAAGUCCUUAUUAAAUUAUAAUUAGGAUUGUCUUGAACUACCAUAAAUAAGUGGUUCUUAUUAUGUUUUUGAGGGGCAAGUAAUAAAAUUGAUUCUUAUUCCUAUUAAUUCUUCUUCCUUCCCUUUAAAUUCUUCAUCUAUUCUCUCUUAAUUCUCUAAUCAAAACCCUAGAAUCCUAUCGAAGAACUUUCAAUCUCCAUCGAAUUUUUUUUUCUCUAAGCUUAUCAAUGUUUCAGUUUAUCUCCAUCUCCAAAAAUCAACCACUAAAUUGGAUAUGCAAUUUAAGUCGGAAGCCAGAAAUUGGUCUAAUUAAAUAAACUUUGGAAGCAAAAUAAAAGUAAUUAGUGGAAACGUUGAUUAACUUACCUCGGAAUUUCCUGAAGAACGAAGCCUCGCUACUAGGUUUCCGUUCCAAAAUAAAAUUUAAAUCAGCUUCAGGUUUUAACUUGGUGGGACACGUACCACAUUUAAAUCAUUUCAAAGAAUUAUUUAAAAAAUAAUUCACAUUUUUUCAAUUUAAAAUAAAUAAAAUUUAAACAAUUAAUCAAUCAGAUCUUUCUUGUAAUUAGUAAAUUUCAUGGGAAAAAUAAUAUAAAUUUUUUGAGAUAUCAUAUCAUAAAUGUAUUUUAAUUAUUUAAUAAGGAUUUAAUUAGUCAAUUGCUUAUUUUAUUCUUAAUAAUUUGAAAUCGUUAAAAAUAAUGUGAAUUUUUUAUGAUUUAAUUUUUUAAAGUGAGGUAGGUUUACAAAAUUUGAGCGAUGGGAAUAUCACCACCCUAUAUUCAAUUAUAAAGCAAAGCAAGAUCUCUCUCUUUAUAUUAUAGAGAUUCCGUGUGAUUUUCUACAACAUCAUGUGGUAUUAUAGUCAAUUGUAAAAACAUGUUAACAUCAUAUGAUUUUGUAGUGAAUCCGCAUGAAAUCCAUAUUUAGACUUCUGCAUUUAAAAGCUUUGAUAUAUAGAAAUUCUCAAGUGUCGAUAUGUAAAUUUUGUGUAAAUUCGCUAUAACACUAUAUAAUGUUAAGUAUAUGCACUCAAGAAUCUCUCUCUCCCUAUAUAUAUAUUAAAUUAAUAUUUUUAAAAAAUCGUUAUUGAAAUUUGACUUCCGAUCUUAGAAUUCUAAACGACUUCCACAAAAAAAAAAUAUUUAAAUUGUUACAAUCUAAAGUGUAAUGAGAGUCUAGAUAUGUAUAAUUUUAGUACAAAUAAAGGUCUGGCAAACAUUUAUUAAGAUGUAUAUAUAGCUAGUACAUAUGAUUUUAUUAAAUCCUGAAAAUCAUGUAUCUCAAGACUUUCGUAAAUAUAUAGUUUAAUUCAACCUUGGGCAAAAAAAAAAAAAAACUCAUAUAUAUAAUAUAUGGACUUAGCAUUUCAAUUUAAAAUAAUUAAAAUUCAAAACCGAGUUAGAAGUUUGAACUCUUUUAAAGGUAGUGAGGUGCAAAGAUCAAAUUAAUUUUUAUCAUCUUUCCUCACCACAACUCAAACUUAGGUGGUUAGCUAAAUAAAACUACUUGAAAACUAUUGAGUUAGAGCUCCAUGGAGGCACACCACUAGCAUCUUCAUUCAUGUGAUAUAAGACCUGUAAAUCUAAGGAUUUAUACGCAAGAGUGUGGCAAGUAUGAUGUUCAUUGUUGAUGCCGAAAAACGACCUCAACAGCUAAAUUUGUUUUCUUUUGGGGAAUUACAGUGCGAAUCCAAGCUCAAACGUCGGUCUGAACCCAGCUUUAUAUACCUGACAACUAGAAAACACGGUUAGGAUACGCCUGUGGGGUCUCGACGUAGACCAUCUGAUUCUUAAGUUAGAAAUUGUGUAUAAGAAAAAGGUAAACGAAAAGGGAAAACUGAAAAUUAAGGAUUUUUUUCAGUAGAGAAAACUAAAAAUAUUGUCGGGAAUCCUAUGACUUUUAGAUAGGUGACUUAUAAAAUUUUUGGUUCAUUUUUCUAACCCCUUCCUCAGAUGCCCUUUUUAGCUUAAAUAGGCCCUUGGUCGUGGGUGGUUACCACCUUUAACUUCUGCCCAUUUUCUUCAACAGUUGCACGUGGUCAUCAAUUGCAGACAGUUUAAAUGGAUUGUGGCACACAACUUUCCUAGAAAUUAGGCCACGUUAUCUCAAUCGAUAGCUUUCUAUGUCAAGCUAAUUUUUGGGUCGAACAAAUAAAUUUCGAGAUCAGAUUUCUUCACUUUCAGGUCGGACCAGUGAAUUUCCUGGUCGCUCAUAUAGGCUUAAGGUUGUAUUCUUAAAUCAGGUCAUUUACAUAAAUCUCAUAUCAUACUUGUAAACCAGGCCGCCAAAAUAGGAUCUAGGUUGUACUUACGAGAUUAGCUCGACGACAAUGAGUUCUGAGUAGAUUGGGGUCGACUAUAUUUCUAAAUAUUACUAGAAAAAUCCAACCCGAACAAUGUUGACUCUUUCUAGAGGUUAUCAGAAAAAUCCAACCCGAACACCAGUCUCAUAGUUUUCAACAUCAGGAAGCUAUUUUCGGUGUUGGACACUAAUUAAUGAAAAAUAUAAAAAUUCUUAUAAAUUGAACACCAGUCCCCUAGUUUUCAGUACUGAGAAGAUAUGAACGGUAUUGGAAACUGAAACAAUGAAGAAAGCGUAGUAUGGUCUCCAGCAGAACAGGGGUAAUGUGAAGUAGAACAAGGAUAGUGUUGCGUUAAAAUAGGCUUAAAAGUAAGAAUUUGGCAAAAAUAAUAAUAAAAAAUAAAAAUAAGGAAUAAAUAAAGAAUAAAGUAAAUAAAUAAAAAAGCGAGACCAUGGAGAAAAAGCAUAAGCACGUGACUUAAAGGCAAAUUGAAAACAUACAUUUUGUCUUUUCUCAAUACCUUUUGGCUUCUGUUUCGUUUGGGCUUCUGUUUCGUCCUCAUCCUCCACACUUUUUCACAAUAAAAGUGAAAUAUUGAGCUGUCGCCGUCCUGCGAUUUUUGGGUAAAUUGAGCAACGACGCUACAGAGCCAUAAUCAAACAUGUUAGUGAGUACCUCGCGCGCCAUCUUCUGUUGUGCUUUUUUUUAUAAUAAAUACCAGAUCUAUAUAUGUGUGUAUUGAAACCAAACGCCCUUUUUUUUUUUUUUAUAAACAGAACUCGCCUUUUUUUUUUGUUUGUUUUUGUCACAACUCAACUUCUUCUUCUCUUUGCUGCGUUUCUCUCUCUCUGUUUUUUUUUUUGUUUUGCAUUCUCCCUCUCUCUUUGUUAUUGUCGAAACUCAAACUUCUUCUUCUCUUUGUUGUGUUUCUUUUUUUUAAACUACUCUCAGCUAAUGUUGCAUUUUAUUGAUGUAGAACCAAUGCUGAAUGAUGUUACUAUUGUUGACUAUCAGCAAAACUGGAAUCCAUUAUGACUAAAGGAGAUCCGGUGAGUUGUCUCAUCCCAAGCGCAUUUGCUUGUUGCUGUGUUUUGUAUUGUGUUGGAUGUGAUGUUGACAAUGAAAGGUUGCUUGUAAUUUGCUGUUUACAUACUGGGUGUUAAUAUUGACUGGAAAUGAGGUUUUGUUAAAUGUAACAUUAGGUAAUAAUGGAAUUAAGGAGUGAAGAUGGGUCACUUUGUAGCGAUUCGCAAAAUGCGAAUAAGGAGUUGUUGGACGGGCUUAGUGAUAUUGCAUCGGGUGUAGAUGAUAAUGGAAAAGUCAGGGAAGAUAAUGUAGAAUUAAAUUGUAACGUGGCCGAAAAUAAGUCUAAGAAAAUAAGACGCGGAAAUGAGGUGAAUGAGGAAUCGAGUUGUGCACAAUUUGAAGAUGAGGGAGAUGAGCAUGAAGAAUAUGGCGUGAAUAGACUAAACUUUGAUAAGACUAAACUUUGAUACAAAAGAGAAAGAGAUUGAAGAGUUGAGGAAGGAAUAUCUUAUUGCAGACGAUAUUACACUUAAGUUAUUGGGCGAAGAUGAGGUGGCAAGCAAAUUGGGUAAUGGAAAUUUUUUAACUUGGUUUCAAGUUGCUCAUUCAACCUUACUUUGCUCGAAUGUUGGUGAGAGUGGGUUUGAGUCCAGGUCAACUUGACCAAAAUGGCUGGAGGGUUUUAGGUGGUAUGUAUGUUGUAUGGGCUGAGCAGAAUAUAACCGAGCCGUGUUUUAAGGAGUUUACUCACUUAUAUUUUUGUAAUGAGCAUGGGAUCAAUCACAAAGGAUAGUACUAUUUUAUGUCAAAAUCAAAUAGUAGAAGAAUAGUACUUGACUUUCCAAGCUCAUGUAGAGGUUGGAAAAACAAGUAUUUCGUGGUGGGUGGAAAUUAGGGUAGGGAUGUAGAGCUGACCAAGGGUUGGUUUAAAAUUCCCACUCGUUUUAGUAGACUAGGUAAUUCAAGUUUUGUUCAGGUUGAGGUCGAAAUAAGGAUACAAUCUAACACAUGUUUUUACUGCAGUGACUUUGAAGAAGAAAGUUGAUAUAAAUGACAAGCUGAGUGCUAGAGUUGAGAAAUGAUUGCUAAAUGCAGGAAACACGUCUACUGCUAAGCGUACCCCUGCAGAAAUUGCAAAAGCCGUGAUCAAGGAGAUAUCGAACGAGAAAGGAAAACCACAUAGUAAGAAACCAUGGCGGGCAUCACAGAAAAACAAAGCUGAUGAGAAAAAAGAAAAAUAACUUGCUGUUUCAGCUUGCAACAUGCUACCUCAGAGCAAAAGUGACCGAGCUAGCGACUCUCGUCCCUUGCGCAUUUUACCACCUACCUCUUCCCCGAUAUGUCCGAAAGGAAGCUUGCUUGAAAGCAAUGACAUCAUAGAGUCAAAGUGAGGAAGAGCGGAGGACUUACUACCCAUGGUGAACUUAGCUGCUCGAUUUGUGAGCCAGGGUACCAUCAAGAAUUUUUCCCACUUGUCAGCUACUCAUGCUCUUGAAGUGCUUGCUCGAAACCAAGCUGAGGUGGGUAUUAAUUCACAAUCUUUAUUUCUUUGAUGUUUAUACUUUUCUUCUUAACCAUCAUGCUUUCUUUCACAGCAAUCCUUGAUCAUGGCCGCGGAUAUCGAGACGUUUGCAAAGUCAUUGAAAGGCCAUGCAAAAAUAGAAGAAGUCGAGCGCGCUUUGAUGAAAGACAACCUCACGAACAAAAAGACAGCAAGCGAGCGAGAUCAGCUCAAGCGUGACCUCAAUGCUCACAACGAUGAAAAUACUCACUUGGCAGAAGACUUGGUAGCCAAAAAGAAAUCUAAUGCGAGUAAAGACUCCAAGAUUGCCGAUCUUAGCUAUGAGUUGGAAAAAGUUAAGUCUGAUGUUGAUCAACGCAUUCGACUGGAGAAAAGGCAACUGAAGGCAGAUGUCAUUUAGACAUGCAUUGAAUUGUUCCAAGAACAACACCCGGACAUGGACUUUCAAUGGAUGUUGACUGCUUAUGUGAGCAAAGAAAAGGCUAAGAAGAAGUCAUCGAGUACGGAUCAAGAAGAAAAUCGAGUUCUUCAGGGUGAUGAGAUUAGAGUUGAGGGUGAGACAUCUUUAACUAGCAGAGUUAUUGAAGACGAAGAGCAUGCUUCCUAAGUAGAUUUGAGAAGUUGUUAUAAGGCUUGCCUUUAUGUAAUGUUACGAACUGAUAACUCUUGUUGAGCUUUCAUUUUGUUUUUGUAUUCGGAUAAUCGUUACGUAGCCUGGACGCUAAUUUUUAACAAAGCUAAUGCCGACCACAACAAGACUGAAGAUGUUUAGGCUAUUGCUGAUUGUAACUAGGCUGGAAAGUCGACCUUAAGAAGCGCGAAGCUGACCUCAUUAUAGAUUCUUACAAAGUUAAAAUGUUGCCCUCCACCGUAGGUCUUCCAAAUCUAAAGUGUCGACCUCAAUCGUAGACCUCAAAAAACUAAAUUGUCGACCUCAAUCGUAGAGCUUACAAAGCGAAAGCUUCAACCUCGACCAUGGAUCUUACCAAGAUAAAAUGUCGACGUCAACCGUAGGCCUUACAAAUUUAAAGUGUCAACAUCAAUCGUAGACCUUACAAAACUAAAAUGUUGACCUCAACCGUAGGCCUUACAAAUCUAAAGUGUCAACCUCAAUUGUAAACCUCACAAAACUAAAAUGUUGACCUCAAUCAUAGAGCUCACAACUCAAAAGUGUCAACCUCGACCAUAAAUCUUACCAAGCUAAAAUGUCGACCUCAACCGUAGGCCUUACAAAUCUAAAGUGUCGACCUCAGUUGUAGAUCAUACCAAACUAAAAUGUCGAUCUCAAACGUAUGCUUUGCAAAACUAAAAUGUCGACCUUAAAUGUAGAGCUCACAAAGCAAGUGUCGACCUCAACCGUAGGCUUUACAAAACUAAAAUGUCAACCUCAGUUGUAGAUCCUACCAAACUAAAAUGUGGAUCUCAAUCGUAAGCUUUACAAAACUAAAAUGUCGACCUCAAUUGUAGAGCUCACAAAGUAAAAGUGUCAACCUCGACUAUAAAUCUUACCAAGCUAAAAUGUCGACCUCAACCGUAGGCCUUGCAAAUCUAAAGUGUCGACCUCAGUUUUAGAUCCUACUAAGCUAAAAUGUUGACCUCAACCGUAAAGCUCACAAAGCAAGUGUCGACUUCAACCGUUGGCUUUGCAAAACUAAAAUGUAGACCUCAAAAGUAGAGCUCACAAAGCAAGUGUCAACUUCAACCGUAGGCUUUACAAAACUAAAAUGUCGACCUCAACCGUAGAGCUCACAAAGCAAGUGUCGACUUCAACCUUAGGCUUUACAAAACUAAAAUGUCGACCAAAGUUGUAGACCUCACAACGCAAAGGUGUCGGCCUCAAUUGUAGACCUCACAAAACUAAAUUGUCGACCUCAAUCAUAGGCCUUACAAAUCUAAAGUGUCGACCUCAAUAAAUUGAAAAUUGUAGAACUUAAAUGUUAUGGCUAUAGCCGACCUCAACGAGUUGAAAAUUGUAAAUCUUAAAUGUUAUAGUUAUAGUUGACCUCAACAAGUUUUCACGUUGGACCUCAACAAGGCCAAAAUGUUGAUCUCAAUCUCAAUAAGCUUGGAUAAAUUUUUCAUGUUCGGUCUCAAUAAGGUCUAAAUGUCGAAACUCAAUCUCAAUAAGAUUUGAUAAAAAAUUUCACGUUGGACCUCAAUAAGGCCAAAAUGCUUAUCUCAAUCUUAAUAAGAUUGGAUAAAUUUUCACAUUCGGCCUCAACAAGGCCCAAAUGUCGAUCUUAAUCUCAAUAAGAUUUGAUAAAAAUUUAUGUUGGACCUCAAUAAGGCUCAAAUAUGCCAAUCUCAAAGAAGAUCAGUCACAAGUAGGUAAGAAAUAAAGUUGCAUUUCUGAAUAACCUCAUUGAUAUUAAUAUGACAGAAAUUACGUAAUUGAACACAUAACGAAUUGAAAUAACAAAGAAAAAAACUAUCAUAACAUAUUUAAAAAAAAAACAAACAAGAACAUCAUAAAUAGGAUUGGCCAACUGAUAGUAUUUUUGUAAGUGCUCUGCUUUCCAUGACUUGCCGACGACCCUGCCAUCCGGAUAACCUAACUUAUAUGCGCCAUUACCAAAUGAGUGUAGUACUUUGUAUGGUCCUUCCCAGCUCGGCCCCAGAACUCCAUCAGCUGGCUUUUUGGUUGAUUGAUUGACUUUGCGGAGCACCAGGUCCCCCUCCUAAAAUUGUCGUAGCUUGACAUUCUUGUUGUAGAACUUAGCCACUUUUUACUGGUAAAUUGCUACUUGACCUCUUGCCGACUUUCUCUUCUCAUCAAGCAAAUCUAAAUCCAACAAUAUAUAUUCCCUGUUUAUUGUCUCAUCAUAAUAUUUUGUGCAGUGUGUCUCCAUGCCAACCUCAGCUGGGAUUACUGCCUUAUGUCCGAAAGCAAGUGAGAAUUGAGUCUCCCCCGUUAAAGUCUUCACGGUCAUUCUAUAGGCCCACAGUACUCCUGAAAGCUCAUCCACCCAAGCUCCCUUCUUCUCACCUAACCUUUUCUUCAACAAUUGCUUUAUAGUUUUGUUCGCCGCUUCCACUUGUCUGUUUGCCUUCGGAUGAGCAGGUGAGCUAAACCGAAGUUCAAUAUCAAGCUGACCACAAAACUUCUUGAAAUUCUCAUUAUUGAAUUAGGUUCUAUUAUUAGUGAUAAUAGCUUGCGGUAGGCCAUAUCUGCAAAUCACAUUCCUCCAUAUAAAAUAUGUUGUGCGCUUCUCGGUUAUCUUUUGUAACGGCUCAACUUCAAUACAUUUAGUAAAAUAAUCAAUGGCUACCACCGCGUAUUUCAUUUGGCCUCUCCCGGUUGGCAUUGGUUUGAUAAGAUCCACCCCCCAUUGUGCAAAUGGCCAAGUGCUCCCCAUUGUCAUCAUGUUUUCUGGUGGUUGUCUUACAAUUACGACGAACUUCUGGCAUUCAUCACAUCUCCGAACUAACUCUUGUGCAUCUUCAUGCAUGGUCGACCAAAAAUAACCAUACCUUAUUAUUUUAUGGGCCAAUGCCAUACCUCCGCUGUGAUUUCCACAAAUUCCCAUAUGCACCUCUCUCAUCACAUAGUUGGCAUCAGCUGAGCCCAAACAUCGCAGGUAAGGUAAAGUGCAACUUCUCUUAUAAAGCACAUCUUCGAUAAUGGAGUACCGUGUUGCCUGGCAUCGCAGCCUUCUUGCCUCUGCUUUAUCUUGAGGUUGUUCCUCAAAUUCAAUAUACCUCAUGAUAGGCACCAUCCAGUUCUUCUCAUCUUUUACCAUACAAACUUUCAUUUCAGAAUUAACUAUUGGCUUUGAAACUGACUCCAAUGGAAUUCCUCGUUGGAACUUUGGGCAUUCUAUAACUGCCAGUCUUGCUAUAUAACCUGCUCAGUAAUUCUUUCCCCUCAGAACUUUCUCCAUUGUAGCGUGAUCAAAACUACCACAUAACAGUAGUGCUUUGCUCAGAUACUUGGACAUGUUCUCACUUUUGGCUUGAAAUGUCCCAUUCUAGUAGUUCACUACCAGUUGAGAGUCACUUUUCACCUUCAAAUGCCAAACUCCCAAUGCUCUUGCUAAUUUUAGACCCGCACUGAGAGCUUCGUAUUCUGCUUCAUUGUUUGUAGGAUGGAAUUCAUACUUGAGAGAGUAGCAUACUUCUUCCUGGUCGGGUGAAACAAGAACAAUUCCCCUGCCUGACCCUUAUGGGUUUGCAGCUCCAUCUACAUUAAGCUCCCAUACAUCAUUCUUCUUCUCUGCCUCUUUAAUCUCCUGCUCGGCAUCCAUCUCUUCACUCCCUUCACUGCAAUUAUUAAUGAAGUCGACCAGAGCUUGUGCUUUAAUUGCUGACCUCGAUUGGUAACCGAUGUCGAAUUCACUUAGUUCUACUAACCACUUAACUAGUCUUCCUGAAAUGUCUUAUUUUUGAAAAAUUGAUCUCAAAUGUUGAUUAGUGACUACCACGAUCUCAUGAGCUUGAAAAUAUGGCCUCAGCUUUCUUGUAGCUACAACAAAAACCAUUGGCCACUUUUCUGCAAUAGGAUAUCUUACUUUUGCCCCUGUAAGAGAUCUGCUCAUGUAGUAUACAAGUUGUUGUACUUCAUCUUCUUCUUUUACCAUGACUGAGCUAGUUGAAUAAUUUAAGACCACCAAGUAGAUCAAGAGAACAUCACCCACUAAGGGCUUAGCCAAAGUGGGUACAUUGGCCAAAUAUGCCUUUAAUUGUUGAAAUGUUGUCUCACAUUCUUCCAACCACCUCAAUCUUUUUCCUUUCUUCAUCAAUUCAAAAAAUGGAUGGCAUUUCUCUGAUGAUUUCAAAAUGAACCUACUCAGCGCAGUAACCUUUCCAGCUAAGCUCUGAACAUCUUUAAGAUCCUUCGGCGACCUCAUCUUGGGGAUGACUUCUACUUUUUUCAGAUUAGCUUCUAUCCCCAUUUGACUAACUAGGAAGCCCAAAAAUUUCCCUGAUUCCACUCCAAAGGCACACUUUUCCGAAAUCAACUUCAUCUUAUCUUUUGUAGCACUUCAAAUGUCUUACGCAAAUGCGUUGUAUGUUCCGCCUGCUCAACAUACUUGGUUAUCAUGUCAUCUAUAUAUACCUCCAUCAUUUUACCAAUCAAGGGCUUGAAAAGCUUGUUUACCAACCUUUGAUAAGUAGCUCCAGUAUUUUUUAAUUCGAACGACAUCACAUGGUAGCAAUACAAUCUUUGGUCGGUCACAAAAGCUGUCUUUUCUUCACCUGCUGUGGACAUACGAAUCUGGUUGUAUCCUGAGAAUGCAUCCAUAAAACUCAUUAAGUCAUGCCCGAUUGUUGAAUCCACUAACUAAUCAAUCUUUGAGAGAGGGAAACUAUCUUUAGGACAAGCUUUGUUGAGGUCGGUAAAGUCUACACACAUCCUUCAUUUUCCAUUCGCCUUUUUAACCAUUACCACAUUCGAAACCCAUUCUGGAUAGUUCACUUCCCUUAUAAAUCCCACUUUCAACAAUUUAUCUACCUCAUUAUGGAUGGCCGCAUACCUUUCCUGGUUGAACACUUUUCUUUUCUACUUCAUUGGCCUAUGUUUUUUAUCUAUAGCCAACUAGUGACACAUGAUUCGUGGGUUUAUUCCCAGUAUAUCUUCAUGUCUCCAAGCAAAUAUGUCAUUAUACUCCACCAAUAAAUUCUGAAGCUCAUUAAAAAUGUCAUCUGUUAUCUUUGUUCCCACUCUUACUACUCUGCUCGGAUCAUCCUCACUUACUGGUACUUGUUUCAUUUCUUCAUUAGGUCGCUAUUGGCAUAACCUAUUUUCAGCUCGUGGAUCGAUACUUGUGAUCUUCAUGGAUUCUCUCACAAUUUUAGUGUAACAGCUUCGAGCCACUUAUUGUUGGCCUAUCAUCACUCCAACUCCACCUUGAACUCUAAAUUUCACACAUUGCAUAUAAGUUAAGCUCACUACUCAUACUAUCCUAUUGAACGGUCUGCCCAAAAUAACUUGAUAAGGGCUAAGCUCAUCAACUACCAACCAUGUCACUAUCACUGUCUUUUGUAGUGGGUUGGACCCUAUUGUCAGCGGCAAGUCAAUCAACUCAAGUGGAAUCAGCUCAAAUCCACCAAACUCCUUUAGCGAUGUUCUGACGGGAUCAAGCCUGAGGUCUCCUAUUUGUAGAUCAUCCAAAGUUUGCUUAAACAAAAUGUCUACCGAGCUUCCCCCAUCUACAAAAGCUCGAUUCAAUUCUUGCCCUGCCAAGACAACCUUCACUACAAGCAUAUCCUCAUGUGGAUGUACGAUCGCUUCCUCGUCCUCGUCCGUGAACAUGAUCGACACCUUGUGAAUCCGCUGCUUCUUUAGUGCCAGAAUAUUAAAAUUCACCUCGAAACUUUUUAGUGAAUAUCUGCUAUAAUUUCUCCUCAAGCGGUUUGAGUCUCCUGCUAAGGUCGGCCCUCCUAUAAUCAUCAUCGCUAUAUUAUCUCUAAUGUCUUCUCUUCUCCCACCUCUUCUUUGGUCAUCCACAUACUUCUUUAGAUAUUGAUUUUACACUAGCCAUUCAAUUUGUUCCUUCAAGUCUAUGCAAUCUACAGUUCCAUGUCCGGUCACCUUGUGAAACUCACAAUACUUGUGGUGAGCAUUUCCACUCAAACCCCCUACAAUCGGCUUUGGCAGUGUUAGUAACCCCUUAUCUUUUAUUGUAACAUAUAUUUCUACUUUGCUUAUGUUUAGUUGUGUGUAUCUUCCACUCUGUUAUAAUAAAUUCACCCCAUUAGCAGGUCUCGAUCCUCUUCGGUCUACAGGUGGUGGCAACCUAUUGUAAUCUUAUACUUGGCUCUCCCGUUGGUUCCUCUCAUAAUUAUUUCCUCCCUCUCGACCCCUUCCUACUAAUGAGAUUUUUCUUCUUUCAUGAUUUCCUUCCUAAUUUUGACUCGGCCUUUCUGGUUGUCUAUAAUUGAACAAUCCUUUGUCGUAAUGAUGCUUAUCAUUCGUGUUCAUCCUCGAGCUAUACCCAAAGUUAUCUCAUCUUCUUCUCAGGUCCCCCCUUCUCAUCGGAUCCCAUGUCUGCAUUUCCAUUCUCCUUGUUUCUUCCUCUGCAUCUUCAAUUUUCAUAUCCAAAUUUUCCUGGUCAUACGCCUCAGUAUAUGUUGUUAUCCUCUUACUAUAUGAGUUAUUCCACAAUCGAUUGAUUCUCAACCCUUUCUUUAAUCCCUCUAGAGCAUCUGGAUGAUCAAAGGCCCCUAGAUCAGUAAUCUCUUUAUGAUACCUGGUCACAAAACUCCUCAAACUUUCAAAUUCUCGUUGGACUAAUUUUUUUCAAUCUACUCGUAUCUUACUCUAGUAUGCAUGAACAUCUAAAACGCACAGCGAAAAGCUCACAUAACUCAUUGAAAUUUUCUAUGCUUCCCUUCUUUAAUCUCUGGUACUACUCCCGUGCUCGUCCUUCUAAGGUUAAAGGAAAAACACGACACCUUUGAAAAUUAUUCAAACCUUGGAUCCCGGUCAUCUUAUUAAACUUCUCCAUAUGAUGAUUCGGGUUAGUUUUUCCUUCAUACACCAAGGCUGGAACCACAUACUUAGAUGGCAAAGUUACCGCCAUCACUUUACGUACUAAGAGGGACUUGUCAUCAAGUAACAACCUUCCUACCACUUGCUUGCCCUCUGUUUUCGCCUUUAAUGCCUCUAAAGUUUUUUAAAAUUGCAGCAUUCGCUGCUCAAGCUCAUUUGCCUGGUGGGGGUCUCUCAGCUCUUCCCUCUCUCUUUCUUGAUUCAAGUCAUUGAUUCUCUAUCUCAACUCAUUCACUUGUUCUCCUACACUUCUAUUUUCUUGUCGUACCCCAACUUGUGGUAGUCCCAUUCUGCUCUACUGUUCACCACCAAGCUCUUCCCUCUCUCGCGCUCCACUACUCCCUGGGUCACUAGCUCGAACUUGAGCCCCUCUGACUUGGGCAUUAAUCAGCCCCCUAACCAUCUCCUCAAAUUUUGCCAUGUGCCUCUCGAUCCAUUCUCUCCAUCUCUUAUCAGCCCCCUAACCCUGUCUGGUAUGCUAGCUCUGUUCAUUGAAAGCAAAAGCAAUGGAAUCUUUGACCUUACUGCCACAAGAUGAUUGUCAUGGAAGGCACCAAAGUUUCCAAGUAUGUAUGCAUAUCACACACAUACUUGCAUGUAUGUAUAUCACAGAUAAAAUUUGUAUCCCAGGGUUAUAAAUGUGAAUUACUCAAAUAAAUAUGCAUUAUUAAUCAUGUCCGAUGCUCUCUUAUUUCUUCAACGAGAUUUAGAGAAAGUACUAAAUCCUUUGUAAAAUUUUAUAUUUAAUAUAUCUUCAUUUUAAAACUACAUCCAUAUCCCGCAGAAAUUUGGGGAUCUUUUUAGCAUUAUUUUUUAAGAAAUGCAAAAUGAUAAAGAGUUCUAACCGUGACAUAAGGGUGACAAAAAUAAUAGUAAAUUGUGUAAUGUUACAAUGUUAAUUCAAAAAUAGUUAUAAUUUUUUAUUUAAUACUGUAAAUAAAAUUUACAAUUGUUUUGUCAUCAUUGUAUCAUUCUUUGAUUCAAAUAUCAGUAUUAAAUGAACCCUCACCUUUUUGAAAGGAUUACAUCUUAAGAAACUAUUUAUAAUUAUUUUCAUUUGAGUCCUUAGUGUUAAAAAUAUAACAAUGAAAUUAAUGAUAGUCGAAUUCCAAGUAGGAAUGACAGAAAAAUCCGGUCUAACUAGAGCAUGUUUUCUAAGUACUCUGGCUGGACUUGGACUUUGGUUUAAAAGCCCGAACCCAACCAGAAAGCCCAAAAAAUAUUGAAAAUUUUAAAAAUCUAUAUUACUUUAAUUAAAAUACAACUUUUUACAUAUAUGUAAUCCACUUAUAGCAUAUAUUUAAAGUUUUAAGUUAUUUGAACCCAACUAUUAAAGCCUGAUCUAACAAAGAAAAAACUAAAUUUUAUAAACUAUAAAAUUUGUAAAAUAUAAUGAAAAAAGUUUUUUAAAAAAAUACAGAAUGUAUACUUCAAGCUUUUUGGCUUGCCUUUGGAAAAAAAAAAACCAAUGUUUUGUCAUCCCUAAUUCCAAGCCUUAAAUACUUCUCCAAAUGUAUAGUACAAUAUUGUAUAAUAGGACCAAUCACAUGGAGAUGAUUUGUAAAUUUUUGCAUGCAAUUUUAAUAUGCACAUCAGAAGAGAGGCAGCAAUCUUAGUUGAUACUUUUAUUUGACAUAUGAUGUAAGAAAUGAAACAAAGAUUGUAACGUUACAAAUUUUGCAAUUCAGCAUCCAAAAUAUCACUAGAACUUGCAAUACAAGCUUUAAUCUCUUCAACAACACAUUGAAUUGCGUCCAGGAACACAAACAAAAAUAUAGUUAAUUAUGCAUGCAUUAAAAAGAUGAGGAAGAGAAGAUUAAGGAACAACAUGAGGCCACCAAGAGAGUGAUGAAAAAUGUGGAUUUAAGUUUAAGUUCCACAAUGUUUAUGUAAGCAAAAGUGAAAAACUGAGAGUCUGAGGAUAAUGAUAUUAUUAAAUUUAAUAUGGGUUUGGUUCGUUUAGAUUCAUGAGUUUCUCUAGACAGUAUAUAUGGGGAGGCCAAAACUACUUUGCAUUGUAGGUUUUGUACACCACUCAUUUGUCAUUUACCAAAGUCACCGUUGGAUUUCAUCUGAUGGCUAGAAAAGAAACACAUAGAGAAAUAGGAGUAACUAGAAAAACAAAUAAUGGGCCGGUCACCUAGAUUGGUAAUUGAGCAUAGGGAAAUUAAAAAAAUUAACCUAAAAAUUUAUGAAUUAUUGGCUACUUCCAGCAAAAAUCUAAACCAGCAGUUUUUGAUCAAGCAAAUAAAUUAAUGGCAACAACAACGGCUAAUCGAUGCCGCGACGACAAUGGCUACUUCCAGCAAGAGCGGCCUCUUUAAUUUGAGUUAGUUCGCUGAGUUUAUGUCCAAAUUCUUAAAUGGAUAAUGGAUUUAUUGUUUUAGUACUAAUUGUUGAUGAUUAUAGGUUAGAUCUUGUUGAGCGAUUAGUUUUGUAACAUUAAGCUUGAACUAGGAAUGAAAAUUGAUAAAAUGCUUAUGGAAAUAAGUUUGUUAAAUAUGACAAUACAAAUGUUUGCUAAAUGCCUCAAAGAAUACAAUUUUUUGUAUAGGCUUAAUUUUGCUAUUAUUUUACUUGAAUGAAUAUUUAAGAAGGUUGCAACUAGUAUUGUGGCUUGAAUAUAGGCAAUGGUAUGGUGUUAUAGGUGAUUAUGAGCAAAAGUUGUUUGUCACGAUAAACUUAUAAGUGAAAACCUUCUUUUUCUCAAACAAAACCCAGAUUAAGAAGAUUCAAUACUUCAUCAUAGCUUUCAGAAAACAGUAUCAAGACAAUAAUGCCAAGAACCAUCGCCUGUAAACUUUAUCCGUCGGAAAAAUCGCAAAUGAUGCUUACACGUACAAACUUUUUUUUUCGAUUUACAGGUGCUACGCCUUCAGCUGGUUACCCAUUUUCCAAAUGUUAAAUCUCAAUUGUUAGAUACAUUUCUUCACAUUCUAAAGGCUCAUUCGCUAUAAGACAAAGGACUAGGGUACCAAAGUCAUGAUGCAAGAUAGCUGGAUCCUAUAUGGGGGAAAUUUAAUCCAUUUGACAACUAAAAAAUUCAGAAAUCAGACCUCAAUUUGACAAAUUAGAAAUUGAAACAAUUAAUUUUGUUCCAUAUGCAUGCAGAAAAUUAGAUGUAUGUAACUUGUCAUAUGAUAUAUAUAUUCUAUCAGGUGGAAGAUUUUCCACUUCAUUUGUAUGAAAUAUAUGGUAUCAAUCAAUAAAUUCUUAUUUUGUUAUAUAUACUAAUAGUAUCUUAUAGUAAACUAAGAAAUAUUAAAGAUCUUCUAGUGUGUUUUUGAGUUGUAAAAUGUUUUUUUUAAAAAUUGAGUUGUAAAGUAUAAUUAACUAUUUUGUGUUCCAUUACAGGUAUUAUGAAAGGUUUUUGAAGUUUUUAGAUGUUUUUUGACCCAUUUGUCAAUAAGUGAAACUAUUAGCACCACUUUAAACUCCUCAUAAAACCUUUCUUCUAAAAAUACACCAUUAAAAACAUAUGUAAAUCACAGUACUUUUAACAACACCUAUGUUAAUUCCACAAAUAACCUUAUAUAUUCUUUUUUCUUAAAAAAUCAUAUGAAAACAAAAAUCUUUUAGUACAAAACCUUUUCACCAAUUCAAUCUGAAGCCCUUGUUCGGUCCAUGAGAAUCAACUUUUCAAUUUAGAACUGUUUGAGCUUCUUUUUCCAAGUUUUUAUUCUUAUUCUUAUAUAUAAAUGAGAUUCUUAUAAUAUAGAAUUCAUUUUAUUACUUUAUUUUAUCAUUCCAUGGGAAAAGAUAUCAAAACAUUACUAUGAAGUAAGUUAAACUAGUAGAAAGUAGAAUCUAAAAACUAGAUAAGAAAUAUUCUAGGCCAUCCUCUUGAGUGGAUCUAUUUUAAUUCCACAAACGUCCUUGUACACUUCUUUCUCACUAACUUUACUAUGAGAGAGAGAAAAAAGAAUUAAAUAAAUAUUUCUUUUAUACUAAAAAAGAUUGUUUGAAGCUAAUCCAAUAUUAUUUUAUACUCUGAAUGUGACAAUUCACAUACUUUUAUAUGAACACGUAAAUUGAUAAAAUCAAGAGAACAAGUAGCCAUAAAAAAAUAAGCCUUUCAUAAUUUGAAAAUAAUGAACUAAAAUUUCAGUCCACCAGAAACCACUAAUUUAAGAAUAAAAAUAAAAAUAAAAAACAUUUUCACUAAAACAACAAAAUUAUCUUUUAUUUAAUAAAAAUAAAACCCAUGUGGGGUUAGAGGAAGAUAGAUGAAUAGUCAAACGUGAUUUGAUUAAAGUUAAAAAUAUAAAUUUAAGAUAUAAGAAUUCUUUUGGAGGUGCCAAUAGCUCCACUCUAUUCUCUUUUUGUAGUUCUGCAAGUUUUAAACACAGGGUUCUAUGAAGGUCUUAGAGGGUGCCGAUAGCUUUCAUUAAUGUGCAUAUAGGUUAAACAAUAUCAAAUUAUUAGAUGGACCUUACUACCUUGCAGAUUCUGUGAGGUACACCUCUCUAAUAAGAAUGGAGCGUGUCUCACUUAAGACCACCUUUAUUUUACUUAUUUUGGAUGGACGUACCUUACAGAAUCUAGGUACCGUCUUCUUAUUUGAUCCAAUGUAAUCAAACAAUCUAAUCUAAUUGACUUGCUGCUUUAUGUUAAUAUAUAAUUAUGUUUUCUUUCAAUUGUUCUAAUAGUUGAGAGUUUUAUCGGGAAGAUAGCUCGAAAAUCAGCACUAAUUCCUACUCAGAAGGGAGGGGAAAUAAAUUGUGAUAGAAAAUAAAUUAUUUGAGUGCUCUGCGAGUCGAAGACCCACUCUCAGAUAAACAACUAUCUUUGUAAAGCAGAGCAGAAUUUAGAAAUGUCAUUCUUCUCAUUGGGUCAUUUCUUCAAACGUCCUCCGUACAAACAACUCACCCGCCAUCAGAAUCUAUUUCCGCUCAUAAAUCAAAAACCCAGAACCCAAUCAACAGCACCCUCUUCCGUUCUCAUAAAAGUUUUAGCCCGUUCUUCUUAUCUCUCAGUUCGCAUUUGCUGUCAAAAACAUGCCUUAGUGAGUUUCACUUUUUUUACUUGUCUGUGUUUUUAAGCAUUUUGAAUUAGUAAUUAUUUGGCAUUAAAAUUGAGGUGCCUUAACUUGUGUUGUCAGGAUAUGUUUUCUGAAGCUCUUCUAUGUUUCGGUGCAAGUUCUACAAGCGUGGAUGAACAUGAUAAUGAUGCUGAUGAGAAUUCUGAUGAGGUUGAAACUUUAGUUUUUAAUUUCUUCUUUUUUCUUUUCUUUGAUUAUUGAUUCAUGUCUUGUAAAGGAUCUUGAGAGCAACAAUAAACAAGAAAUGAAACUCAUUUCCCAUUUGCAAAUUGGCUUCUAUUUGUGUUAAAAAUGUGCUUCUAAUUUCCAAUGUAAUGUUACCAGUUAGCCUUAGAUUUUUGUUGACUUUGUUGGUUCACUUGCUAGAAAGGUAGCAAGAGGAAAAAAUUAAUAAUAAUACUAAAUAAGCACAAAAUUUUCAAUGUUUGGUAUGGAAUUGAAAAUUGUCUUCUUUCUGUGUUAAAAGAGUGCCUCGAAAACGCCAUUAUAAUGUUACUAGCUGGUCUUAGAUUUUGUUGAAUGUAGAGUGGCUUCUGAAUAAAAACUAUAGUUGUUUUAAGUAUUACUUACAGAUUGCUUUUAUGCAGAUCUAUAUUUAUUCCAUAUUUCCUGAAUGCGAAGACGUGGAUGAGUGCAUAUUAAAUGCUGCUAAUUCCAUUGGCUCGAAAGAGACACCGCGCUAUGAAGUUAAAAUGGGCGAGCAAUGCAAUUGGAUAAAGAAAACUCAGGUUUGUUUGCUCUCCUUUUUCUCUCUAUCACAACGGUAUAAUUGGAAUUAUUGUUAUGUCAAUUUGAUUAUGUUUUCUUACAUGUUGCAGGAGUCAUUUCCUCCCGUUGAGGUGACAAAAUGACUAUGGAUUGUGCCCGAGUGGAGUACACCACCAAUAUGAUUAUGUCACUCCCUUGGGAGGUUUUGUUGCAGUAAUUUCUCAUCUUUUAUAGGGUACCCUCUUCUUCAUUGCUUCCGUAGAAGUCAUAUCAGCUAGUUGCUUCCGAAUCUUUAAAUUUCUUCAAUGAGGAACCUUCGUUUGGAAAAUUGAUUUUCAUCUUAUUCGAGAAGGUUGCUUUGAAGGAGAGAGCUUAUGAAAUGCAGCAAGCAAAAUCAUAACUACAAAGCAGUAGACUAAUUGUUAGCUGACUCUAAGCAAAGGCAACAUUCAUAAAAGAUGAAGAAGAGUUUCUAAUAUUUACCAAUAUAACUUAUAGCAAGUGCACAGAAUAGAGCCAUAUGAACAUUCAGGAGCAUAAGAACAACCAAUGUAGCUGCAAAGAUGAGAUGUAAUUACUACCGUGAAGACGAGGAAAGAAUUCCAUUAUUUAUCAACAGCUAGACUGUAGUAUAAUGGAAAGACUUGCUAAGGAAAGUUUAAAGCAACACUCAUCCAGAGAAGGCAAGAACAAGUAUAGAAGCAAAAGUGCACACAUUCAUAUAUAGGGGUAACGAGUAAUGUAUCAUAAAUCACUUGCUCUAGCUCAGGAAAAAAAAAACAACGCAAAAUUGCAAAUUCAUAGUGUUGUUAUUUAUCAAUUGGAACCCAGAAAAAAAAAAUCUAUACUUAAUUAUUCAUUUAAGCAGAUUGAAACCCUUACAAACACAGGUAAGCAAAUCAAAAUUAUCAUUAAAAAUCCAAUCAAGGCCACAUAAAUCUAAUCACAUCCAAAACCAUCCCAAAAUCUCGUUCAAAAUUCAUAUACCCACAUACAAAAACCAUUCAGAAAAGGAAACUAAAUUCUUACAGAGAGCAAGCAAAGAAGAGGAUGAACAAAAAAACAGAAUUCCUGGCAUAAAGUUUAACAUUCUCAUGAACUCUUAACUUAAGGGUGUGUGGGGAAGAGGGAAACGAGUAAGACCCAAGAGCCCCAAUAAACUCACGGGUCCAAGAUGGGGUCUUGGCUGAGAAAUCAUCAGUGGUGAGUUUAGCAAAAGGGUUGACGAUAAGAAGAGCGACAAAGGUGUAUAAAUAAUGUAAAAGGCUGUGAGUUAUGGUCGUGGCUGUGGCUGUUUCUUUGGUGGAGGCUGUUGUGACGGCGGUGGCCGACGUGGUUGUGGCGGUGUUGAGGAUUUCGAGGUAGCCUGAGUC